UGUCUCCACAAAAAAAGUUUUGUUCUAUGAAUAUCAUACCUGAAUCACUGAUUUGAAGCAGUUGAAUAGAGAAGACCAGAGUAGACCUGAAGAAGUUUCCAGCCGUGUGCACUCAUGUACAUCUAAGACACGCAAACUGGAUGGAAGCGCUGGAAUUUGUCGAAGCUCUUGACAGUGACCCAAGUCAAGGAGUCUCAGCAUAGAAAGUUGAUUGACCCCAGCAGGUAUGCUCCUAAAAAGAUUCCCGAAUAGCAGUAAUUGUCGCAGAGACGAUAGGUGGCAAAUUUCGGUGGGGAUUCCUCCUUCAUCUAUACUGCAGAAAGAUAGAUCUAACGCUUUCAACGAGUACAAGCAGCAAAUAUCACUCAGGAUUUCUCCUUGCAUUAGCUUUGACCCAUGUAGAAUUAACUUCUCUAAGGAGCAUAAACCUGACAAAGAAAGCAAUUGGCAACAUGUUGAAUUUAAGCCACAAGCAUGGAGAUGCUUCAAGCUUUGCAGCCUCCCCAGGUUUUGUGGCAAUUUGUGGAGUUUUGAACAGUAACUGACAUCGAGAACUUCAAGAAAGCAUAAAUUAGAAAUGCUUUCUGGAAGAGUCACAAGGUUUUUGCAGCCAUCCAGAUUCAAAACUUCAAGCCUAUUCAAAUGUUCGAUUGAUGAUGGUAGCUCUUUUAUAGCCGUUUCAUUCAAGUGAAGCUCCCUUAAGUUUUCUAUAUUCUCCAAGACUUCUGGAAAGUAUUGUAAUUGUGAACAGUGAGAGCAAAAGAGAGAUUUAAGGGAUUUGAACUCCCAAAUGCUUGUUGGCAGACUCUCAAGGUUUUUGCACUCUCGCAAACAUAAGGUAUCAAAUUCAGAGGCACGCUCAAUGGGUAGUAGGCUGAUUGUCUGACCCUUUAAACAAAGCCGUCGGUGUUCCACGUUCCUCUGACAUUCCAAGCAGCUAGCAUCCACAUCCCCAGUCUGUACUAUUGGAUCUUGGGCGUAUAUAGGUUGGAGCCCACACUUGACCACCUUAAAAUGAUUGCGAGAGCCCAUAAAUAGAGCCUCAAGACACAUGAAUCGAUUGGUGUGACAGCUCUCCAGAAUAGCAGCCUUGGGAUAGAAUAUCACCCACAUUUGUUCUGAUACACCUCCAUUAUGGUAGCAUUUACAAGCAGUGCGAAAACUGAGAUGUCGCACACGUAGGGAAGAAAAUCCAUGUACUUCACUCAAUGACAAUUGACAUUUUAACUCAGUGGAGAUUGAAGAUUCAGCUUCAAGUAAAUCAUCAUAUUCAUUUAGGGCUUCGUCACCAGAUUCAUUCUCGGAUGUAUGUGCCAAAUCAUUUUCUGGUAUGUCCUCACAUUCAUCAAGUGGAGCAUAAACAAAGCAUAUAGCAAUUCCCAAGAAGUCAUCAUUUUCAUUACAAUUCAGAGGAAGCUCCAUUGUGGUCUGAUAUCCCUCUCUCUGAUUCCUUAUCCACUUGGGAAUUCCACUGCUUCCCGGAACAACAAUACAGAUUCCAUGGUCAUUGUAGUGAGAAUCAGCGAGAAAUACUCCAUUUGAAUUGCUCUCGUGUUUCAAAUCCUGCACAAAAGGUCAAUGAAAAUCCAGUGGGUCUGCCAUUAUGUGAGUUUUUAUGAGAGAGUUUGUUAUCAGUUUUCGAUAAAUUGAUUCCCAGUAUUAACUUUCUUUGAUCUAUGCUCCUGAAUCUACUUAAUAUCCCUUUUAGAUGACGGAUAAUCAAUCAACAUGAAAGUGAAUGCCAAGAUUAAGUCUGGAAACUGGAAGUGAGUGGAAACUGAAACCGAAAGUGAGUAGAAUAAGCAGAUCUCUUCUUCACUUGCAGUAGCUUCUUCUCCAUACAGAUUCAUAGAUCUUAGAAUUGUAGCUUCAACUUAACUCUCAAAAUCUUGAAGACAAAGUUCGCUCAAGUUUUAAAAACUCACAGAAAAAUUUCUCCUCAUGUUUCUCUUAAUCCCAUGAGGUGAGAUACAUGUAGCACACACUUAUUGGCUUUUUUCCAUGCAAGUUUCAAGGUGGAGCGUCUAAUGAACUAAAACAUUCCCUCAAAUCCUAGUGGAAAUUCACACUAGAAAUUUCAGAAUUUGCUAAAGAAAGGUUAAUUCAUUUUAUCCAUGAAUAAAAAAAGCAUGUGAGGACAUUUUAACUUCCUAAUAAUUAUUAUAUUAAACUAUAAUUCUCAUUAUUUAAACUUAUGAUCCUUAACUUUAUCAUCACAAUUUGAAGAGACAUUCGUCAUCUCUUCCAUGAAUUAAUUGAUGUUUAAGGAGGUAUAAUAAACUUUUAAUUGAAUUUAUAAACUAUUAUUAUUUUUUUAUACUCUUAUCAAAAUAAAUAAAAACUUAACAAAAAAAAAAAAAAUCAAAACAAACUUUGUAAAGUUAUCAACACUUAUUUACAUCCUUCUUUUUUUUUAAAAAAAAAUUAUAAUUAAAAAAAAUGUAAUUUAAAAAUUAUAAAGAAUAAAAUAUUUAGAAAAAUGUACUAGUUAUUUGAAAUAAAAUAUAAGGGAAAUCAAAAUUCUUAGUAAAUGAAUCGUCAAAACAACUAUAAUAGCUAUACAAAUGAGAAAAAAAAAUUAAAAGUAAAAAAAAAUUAUGAAUGUCAAGAAUGAGAAACAAUUUUUUUCUUUUUUUUUUUUGUAAAUUAUUUUUAUUCUUAUUUUAUGUAUUCAUUACAAUUUUUAAAUUAAUAAAUAAAGUUUUUAUCACAAAAUUUUAAAAUGGUAUGUAUGCUUUAAAAUUUAUAUGUUGUUCUUAGAUUUUUAUAAAUUUCGUUUAUAUCUUUCAAAUUAGAAUUAUUAAACUCACAUUUUAAAAUAAGAUAUCAAAUAGUUAUUUUUUCAUCCUUUAGCAAUAUCAAAUGUUUUUUGUACUUUAAUAAAAAAAAACUAUUUUUCUCUAAUUAAUGACUAUUUUGUAUAGUAUUUGGAUAAAUUAUUUAAUAUAUAAGUAUUACUUAUUUAAUAGUUUAUUUUUUUAAUUUAUUAGAGAAAGAGUGGUGCAUAUAUAAUUCAAAUAAAAGGUAAUUUCGUAUUGCAAGAAAGUUUGUGGAAAAAGGAAAUUUGAACAAGGAUUGAAAUUUAUAGGAACCAUAUUGGACACCUAGUUUUAGGUUUGUUCCAUUCGAACAAUCAUGACUUGAUAGUAGCCUAAUCUCAAAUCUAACUUUGUCAAGCCCUUCCUUUACUAAGUUGAUCAAACAAGUUGUUAACAAGCAGAAUAAGAUAUUUUUCACUUUCACCUUGUUGAGUCUUCAAUAAUCGAUACACAUUCAGAGGGAUCCAUUAUGUUUCUUUUAGAAUAAUAUUGGUGUGACAUGUGAAGCUUUAGUUUGUUGGAUGUAUCCCAUGUUAAGCAACUCUGUAAGUUGUUUCCUUAGUUCUUCUAAAUUAGGCAGUGCCAUCCUAUGGGACCCCUAUGGCAAGGGGCUUAGCUUCUGGCUCUAAGUCAAUUUUGUGCUCCCAUUCCCUUAUUUAUGUGAGUUUCUUAUGUAACUUUAAUAGCAUCUAAGGAUGGCAAAGUUUGAUACAAUUUGUCAACCAGACUUGAACCUGAGGCAUUUUUAGUGGGUUUGGGUUGAGUAUAAUCAUGUUUAGGUCAAAUUUGUGUAAACCUAAAUAACUUGUUUAAUAAAUAGGUUGUUUUUUUUAGUCAAACUACAUAAUACAAAUUUCACCUAAAUUGAGUUGUGUAAUAAUGAUGUUAAUUAACUAGAUUAUAACCAUAACCUAUUUAACCCACAUUUGACUCAUUUAAAACUUGAUUUUGAAUAAGUAGGUUAAUUAAGUCAUAAACAUGUCAGAUUGGGAAGUUAAUCAUAUUAACUUAAACAAGAUCUAACUUGACAUUAUUAUUAAAUAGGACAUUAUUAUUAAAUGGACUAUAUGACAUGUUACUUAUUUAAUAAUUAGGUUAUGCCCGAGUUCAUUCUUUUAACCUAAUUAUUAUUUUUGUGUCAUGUUUGAAUUGAUUUAUUUAAUCAAGUGUCUUUGCUUUGACACAUUGUGAACAUGAUCCACCAACAUGAAUUGUCACUUCUAGUGGCAUCACAUACUAGAACUCUUCAAGUACCACCUCAAUUACCUUGUGAAUGAGUUCCCUUAUUGUAUCAUUCUUUUCCUCCUUUAAUAUAGCCAAGUAGGUCAUUUGCUUAUUCUUCAAUACCUUCUUUACUUGCAUAGUUGAUAGCAAGAGGAUCUCAAGUGUACCUCAAUAGCUAAUGUCAUGAUUCAUUGUAAAUUUUGUCUAAUGUGUAAUCAUAUAUACAAAUGCACUCACCUUAAAAACCUCAUCCCAAUGACUAAGACAAGUCAUCCCUCCAAUUAGAAGGUAGUGUAUUAUAAUCUCAAAUGGAUUGUCUAAAUCCAUCAACCAACCAUGAACAAAUCAUAAAUCUUGCAAGGAACCCAUGACUUAAAUCUUCCGCGUAACUCCUAAUGCAUUUUAGUCAUGUACAAUACCACUAAUGCAUGCAUGCAUACUCAAAUCAAUAUCAAUGUGAACAAAGAUAAAUUAGUGGAAACUCAAGCCUAAAUUUGUUACAUCAUGUCUUGCUUGCAAGGGCUAUAUUUUAACACAAAUAACCAAAUAGGUUCUUGAAAUACAAUAUAAUAUGUGCUAUCUCUCAGAGCACUUUAUUUUUUGUUUCAAUAACUUCAUUUUUCUAUGAAGUUUUAGAUGUUGAAAGCUCUUCUUUAAUUUCCUUCUCCUCACAAAAACUCUAGAAGUCAGAAUUAUAAACUCCUUUCCUCUAUUAUUUCUUAUUGAAAAUCCAUUUUUAUUCAUCAUUUGAAAGCAUAACACUUUGAAUCUUAGGAUGUACUUCUUUCUUCCUAGGCAUUGCACUCUCAUAGGACCCAUUAAAUCCACAUGCAACAUCUUUAAGAUCCUAGAAGAAGAGAAAAUCGUCUUUUUCUCUCACUCAUCUGAAUUCAUUUUCCUAGAUAGAAUAAAUAGGAUUUUUAGGCUUUCCUAAAUGGGACUUGCUUUAAUUAGUUCUUUAUUUGUAAUCCUAGACAAAUCAUUAGAGUUUAAAUGCACUAUCAUAUAAUGCUAUAUGUCUUUGGAUGUAAAUUUCACAUUUUACAACUAUGUGCACUAGAUGAUGAGGAAGAAGUAGAGAGGCGUACAAAGGCAUAACAAACAAUAUAAAAAAUUCUAUUUCUUACCAACACACAUCCUUGAAUAGACACUAAUUUUGAGUAAAAUGAACAAAGCACAUACAAUCACAAAUUUAACUUGCGUUAAUUAAGUUUGCUUUCAAUCCCUCAAUAUAUAGUAACUCCUUGAGCAUAGGUAAAUUUGGACCUUCUAUGGUACCUUUUGGUUUCAAGUUGGUUAUAUGUAAUCCAACCAUCCCCAAAUACAACCAAACUUCCCUUUAUAGGUUCAAACGUGGAGAAAGACUCUAAGUUCAUUGUUGCUUUUACCUUUCCCAAAUACAACCAACUCCUUCUAUGAGUCCAAAAGUCAAGGAAGAUCUAAGUUCUAUGUCAUACAACUAGAGUAGCCACUCUCAAAAUCCAAAACGUGUUUUUCUCUAGCUCUUAGGCCCUAUGGUUAACUAAGGCUUUUUGGUUCUCCUUCUUUACCCAAUUUAUCUUUCCAAUGGGAAAUUUAAAGCCUAUUUAAGAAUUAUUUUUAAAAUUAAUUUUCCAGUUCUUAAAAAUAGAAACCUAUUUUCUAGACUAAAGCCAUGUUUGGUAACUUUUUGACAUAUUAUAGUUUUUUGAGAACUUGUUAUGAAAAUAAGGUAUCUCCUAAUAACAUAUUUUAAUUGCUUUCAAGUGUUUUCAUUUAUUUUGUAGGGUUGUUUUAAGAAAAUAAUGGUAAAAAUAUAAAGAAUGAUGAAAAAUAAAGAACUAAAAAUAAAAGUUAUUUUUAAGAAAUAUUUGGAAAUACAAAAAAUAUAUUAAAAACGUUCUAAGUUUCUAAAUAGACUUUUAUUUUAGAAAACAUUAGACCAACUAUUUUUGAAAACUUUUUUCAAUAAUGGUUUUGUAAGAAUUAUUUUUUAAAAAAAAAAAAAUCCUAAACAAAGCCUUAACCUUUGAGGAUCUAAAACUUUGCACUAAGUUUGGUGUUUUAUUGUUGGAUUUUCUUAGUCUUGCAAGCUUUAUGAUGAUCUUGCAAUAUUUUCUUUAAUUUACAUUUCAUGUUACCUGAGCAUUCAGUUUGGCUAAGUAUUGAAGAAUAACUUUGGCUUACAUUCAACUUUUUUUAUGGACAAAGGAAUGGAGCUAGAUCAGAUUUCUUUCAAUUUAGUCAAUUUUGAUUUACAUGGCUCAUAAUCAGAUUGUAAGACAUUCAAAUUUUUUAACAAGGUACCGUGCUCAUUUUCAAGGUAAGAGAUUUUUUUAAAGCAAGGAAGUCUUCUCUCAUACUUCUUUUAUUCUCAUCCAACUUUCACAAUUUUCAUCUUAAGGCACUGAUCAUACAAGGCUUCCUUGGCAAUCUCAAAUGACAACUUUUCUUCCAAAUAUGUUGUAUCAUGAGACGAACCUUCAAAAUUUUCAUAUUCAAGAUCAAUUUCAAAUUUAACAUUUUUCUUUUCAUUGAAAAGUGAUAUAGAAGGUAGCAAGUAUAUCAACAAUUUCCUCAGGCUUAUCAUGCUCAAAAGACACAAAUAUCAUCAACGUCAUGUGAUAAUAAAUCAUAAUUAUGUUUAUGCAUGUUUCCAGCAAAUUAAUGCAAUAAAAUUUCUACAUUCUUCAUCAAAAUCAUACCAAAUUACUUCUAUGACCUUAUCCUUUUGACAUUCAAGAAAGUGACCUUUCUUGACAUAGUAGAAGAAACUUUGAAUCAACUAGAUCUUUUUAGUGCUUUUUAUCUUUUUAUCACAUUUCUUUUCCCUUGUUUAUGGUCUCGAAGAGGUUAUCCUUUGUUUCUUGAAGCUUUUUGAACUUUUUGAAAGGUUAUCAAACCUAUAAAUUUCAAAUAUUGCUCAUUUUUUAUUCCUAUUCUGAUUCAGAUGCAUGUUUAAUUUUUUUGAUAGAUAACACAAAUAUAUUAAAGGGCAAAGGCCACCAAGCAUACAGGAAGUAUAGAAAUCAGCCUCAAAACGAGAGCACAAAAAAACAAGCACCCUUACCCUCCUUUAAGUGGCCGCUAGCCACUUCAAAAAACCUAAGAGUGAAGAGGACUCCUCUCCAAUAUACACCCUAGCCCAACUCCACAAGGUACAAACAAAAGAAUUUUUGAGUUUUUUUAUAUUUAACACCCCUCCCUUAAAAGCUAAUCUAUUCAUUUCCUUCCAUAUCAUUCAAAAAAUACACAACGGGAUAGAAUUCCAAAUUUUUUUCCUUUUUUUCCCCACAAAGGGACCCCUCCAACUGAAUAACACCUCCUUCACUAACUCUGGGAACACCCACUGAACCCCCACAUGGGCAAAAACGAUUUCCCAUAAGGCCCUUACCACUAUACAAUGUAAUAGAAUGUGAUUUACACUUUCCUCUUCACAGCCACACAAAAAACAACAGUUAGGAAACUGCCAACCCCUUUUUUGAAGCCUAUCCAAGGUGAGAAUCUUCCCUCACGCCACUUCCCAAGCAAAAAAUGCCGCUUUGGUUGGGACCUUGUCCACCCAAACGCAUCUAUACGGAAAGUCGCAAGCAUUGAUAACAACCAGCCCGUUGUAGGCACCCUUCACCCCAUACUUACCAUGGCCUCCCCUUUCCAAAGCACCACGUCCUCCUUUGAAGAUAUCUUGAAGUCCCUGAGCAUAUUAAGCAAUCCUCUAAUCAAGUCCAGCUCCCAAUCAUUGAAGUCUCUAUGAAAUCUAAGAUUCCAACCUCCUUGACCACUGCUAUGAUCCCACAUCUCAUUAACCGUUGCAUUCUUAUUGACCACCAUCUCAAAAAGCUGGGGAAAAGAAUGGGACAACAUCUCAUUCCCACACCACUGGUCAGUCCAGAAUUUUACUCUAGUCCCUUUCCCUACCUUAAACUUUAUGUUAUCCCAACACCACUUAGCUUCCUUCAUAAUCUCCUUCCAAACCCCCACUCCAUAAGUACCACGGGCUUCUUUAGUUCUCCACCCAAACUCUUCCUGACCAUAUUUCACCCUAAUCAUUAACCUCCAGAGGUUAUCCUUUUCAACGGCAAAUCUUCAUAACCAUUUACCCAACAAAGCUUUGUUUAGAGAGUCAAUCUUCCGAAUGCCAAGGCCACCUUUCUCCCUUUAAGUGCACACCACCUCCCAUUUAAUUAAGUGGACUUUCCUCUCCAAGCUACCCCUUCCCCAAAGAAAGUCUCUUUGUAAUUUUUCGAGUUUAUUUACAACACUCUUCGGCAUUCGAAAAAGGGACAUAUUGUAAAUAGGAAGGCUGGCCAUAGUAUUCUUGAUUAAGGUGAUACGCCCUCCCUUCGAAAUAUAGUCUUUUCCACUAGGCUAAUCUUUUCCUCAUUCUCUCUUCCACCCCAUCCCAAAUAGAGACAGCUUUGUGGUGAGCUCCAAGGGGCAGCCCCAAGUAAACAGUGGGCAGCAAUCCCACUUUACAACCAAGCUCCACAGCCAUCUCCUCAAUAUCUUCCACCUCACCAACCGGAAUUAAAACGCUUUUAUCUAGAUUAAUUCUGAGACCGGAAGCCGCCUCAAACCAAGCCAAAAUCCAACUUAGAGCGGACAGUUGCUCUUUGCUAGCUUCACAAAAGAUGAUCGUGUCAUCAGCAAAGAGAAGAUGGGAAACUAUCAUCUCCUCUUCCUCUCUCCCCCAAAUUCUACAACCUGACAAGAAGCCCCCAUCAACCGCCCUUCUAAUAAGAUUACUAAGUACUUCUAUACCCAACACAAAAAGAUACGGGGAGAGGGGAUCUCCUUGUCUUAGCCCCUUGGAAUUCGAGAAGAAACCAACCGGCACCCCAUUGAUCAUGACUGAAAAUUUGGCGGUUGAGAUGCACCACCAAAUCCACUCCAUCCACCGCGACCCAAAGCCCAUUUUAAGUAGAACUUUUAUGAGAAAGUUCCAAUUAAUUCUGUCAUAGGCUUUCUCAAUGUCCAAUUUACAGAUCAGCCCUUUCUCGUUCCUCUUGUGCCAAAAAUCGAUCACCUCAUUGGCAAUAAGAGACGCAUCCAAGAUCUGUUUGCCCCUCACAAAGGCGUUUUGGUCCCCGGACACCACCUUAUCUAACACCUUCUUUAGCCUAUUUGCCAACACCUUAGCCAAAAGCUUGUACAAACCCCCUAACAAGCUAAUUGGCUGGAAAUCACCCAAGUCUUCAGUCCCUCAUUUCUUAGGAAUGAGGACUAUAAAAGUGGAAUUAAGGCUUUUGGCAAAAGAACACUGGUCAUAGAAUUCUCUAAACAAUUCCAUAAUCUCCUCCUUCACUAGCUCCCAGCUUGAUUGCCAAAAAGCAAUUGUGAAACCAUCUGGGCCCAGAGCUUUAUCCCCAUUCAUACCUAUUAGGGCAGCAAAAAUUUCCUCUUCAGUAAACUGCACCUCCAAGGCUUCAGCUUCACAUGAAUUUAGACGCUUAAGGUGCAGUCCCUCAAUAUCCGCCCUCCAGUCUGGUUCUUUUGAAGGCACCUGCUGAAAAGCACUCACUAUUCCCUCUCUCAUCUCCUGUUCCUCAGUCAUCCAAACUCCAUUAAUUUUUAUUCUAGCCAGAGAGUUAUUCCUUCGGUGAGCAUUAGCCAUCCUAUGGAAGAAUCCAGUGUUUCUAUCUCCCUCCUUAAGCCACAAUUCCCUUGACAAUUAUCUCCAGUGGGUCUCCUCCAAUAAGACCCAUUUUUUAAAGGAAUCCUUGGCUUCUUUUUUCAGUUCAGUUUCACCUUCAGACAAGCUCCUUUCCCUUUCCACCCUGUCCCAAAACUCCACUUGUUGAAGGGUUGAGUUCUUAUUGGCUUCCAGUCUACCAAACACCUCCCUAUUCCACACUUUAAUCUUUUGUUUCAGCACCUUCAUUUUAGUGGCUAGUCUGACACUGACCCUCCUUCUUACCUCAACUUCCUGCCACCAACCCCUAAAAAGAUCCGUGAAGCCAUCAACUUUAAGCCACAUAUUUUUAAACCUAAACGGGGACGGACCUCUCCUUAACCCACCCCCCAUCAACACGAUAGGAAAGUGAUAUGAGGUAGGUCUGGGCAGCCUACAUUGCAUGACCUCAUUGAAAUGGUCAAGCCAACUCUGGGUCACCAGGAACCUAUCCAACCUGGCCCAAGCCUGAUUAUUUCUCCCCCUACUCCAAGAAAGCACCCCUCCUUGCAAUGGAAGAUCAAUGAGUUCUAGCUUAUCAGCAACCUGAGCAAACCUUCUCAUUGCACUCGUUAGUCUUCCCUGAUUGCUUCUUUCCCUCAGUGACAGGAUAACAUUGAAGUCACCCCUUAGACACCAAGGAUCCUCCCAAAUGCCUCUAAUUGCUCCUAUCUCCUCCCACAUCCACUCCCUUUCCUCUCUAGAGAAGGGCCCAUACACCCCAGUAAACAUCCAAACUAGCCCAUCUUCCACGUUCCUCAUCCUACAAGAAAUUGAGAAGUUUUCCACUUCCAUUUCCAUUACUUCCAAGGUCCUCUUAUCCUAGCAAAUCAGUAUCCCUCCCGCAGACCCAUGGGCAUCCAGAGUACCCCAAUUAAGAAACCUACCAAUGCCUAAGCUUCUCACCAGGCCCUCUGUCAUUGCCUGAAUCUUGGUCUCCUGGAGACAGAACAGAUCCACUCUUUGACUCUUGAUCAUGACCUUAAUCACCUUUCUUUUUGAGCUAUCGUUAGCUCCCUGAACAUUCCAACUCAAGAUUCUUAGCUUCAUUUAACCACCAUAAUCUGACACCCUCUUACUAGCAUUCCACUCUUCUGCUUCUUCCCCCCCUCGUAGUUAAUAGAGCAUUCCAACCUUUUCAAUUCCCUUUCAAACUUGGAUUUUUUUAGAAGGUUUUUGUUGUGGACUUUUUCCCUUCUUUUUUGGAUUUUAAUCAGAAAAUCCAAAAUUUCUUUCUCCAAACCUUCUGUUGAAAAUCCCAAGAACUUACUGAAUUUGGCCAACUCACUCUCCUCCCAACUUUCCUUCUCCCAUCCCUUUCCAUCUCGUGGCAUAGAUUGGGCUAACCUCAAUUCCUUUCCACAGCUAUCCUUGCAGUCGCUUGGGCCCUCCAUCAAAUCCUAGCGGCUUGCAUUCUCCUCUUCUUGGGAUCCCAGGGGAAGAAGCAUGCGUAAGGGGGUUUAUCUCAGGUGAGUCACCCUAUCAUCCCCAGAAAGGUCGCAAAACUCCCCCAAAGGAGUCCGACCAAAAAAGAAAAGAGAAGAAGGAGAGGGUCCAGACGCCAUCAAACCACAAGGGAUAGGAGCACACCCGUACCUCGACGCUUCUUCAAUUAGGGCACAGUCGGUCCUUAACUUCUCCGCGAGAAAGAGCUCCACCUCAACUUGCCUCCGCCUGCCAUCAUAAUCCCAGAAAGGGAAGCAUUCAACAUCUGGCUCCCUCAGAUGACUUGGACCAGCCCACACAAGAGGCAAAGCCACUCCAGAGCAGCCCACCAAGGACUGGGCUGGAUCACGACAAUCUUCCCUCCCCGUCAGCCCGCACAUNNNNNNNNNNNNNNNNNNNNNNNNNNNNNNNNNNNNNNNNNNNNNNNNNNNNNNNNNNNNNNNNNNNNNNNNNNNNNNNNNNNNNNNNNNNNNNNNNNNNAAAGGGAAGCCUUCAGCAUAUGGCUCCUUCAGAUGACUUGGACCAGCCCACACAAGAGGCAAAGCCACUCCCAGAGUAGCCCACCAAGGACUGGGCUGGAUCACGGUAGUCUUUCCUCCCAGUUAGCCCACACGUCCUAGUGGACUCCACUGGUCUAAGGCCCUCUAAUGACGAAGGCCCUACAGAUGACGAAGGCCCAAUAGGAUGCGGCCCGGUCUUAGGUGAAGAAUCGAGCCCAUCGGACCCAACACCCAAGGCCCUAUGCAAGCCUUCUAGGUCCCCUAGUAAUGACCCAAUUGGGCCUCGAGACCGAGCCUAAAGGGACCCCGACCCACCUGUUUGCUCCCUUGUCCCAUCAGCAAACUGCAGGUGGGUCUCGAGCCUCGCGCCGUCCACCACUUCCAUCACGCGCUUGCCCGCGCAUGUAGAGACAUCACCUUCAACCUCUCCUUCAACACCGCUGUUCUUUCCCCUCCUUUCUGCCGGCAGCACUCUCAUUACCGGCCUUAACUCCCACCAUAGGACAAGCAAAUAACACACCCCUUUGACCCCAAUUUCUAUCAUGCUAGGGAUCUCCUCGCCGGAUAAUUUCACCAAGAUUCUUGCCCACUGCAACUCUUCCAACCUCUCCGUCUGAGUAUCAAUCGCUAAGAGCCCCCCGCAUUUCUCCCUUACCUUUCUNNNNNNNNNNNNNNNNNNNNNNNNNNNNNNNNNNNNNNNNNNNNNNNNNNNNNNNNNNNNNNNNNNNNNNNNNNNNNNNNNNNNNNNNNNNNNNNNNNNNNNNNNNNNNNNNNNNNNNNNNNNNNNNNNNNNNNNNNNNNNNNNNNNNNNNNNNNNNNNNNNNNNNNNNNNNNNNNNNNNNNNNNNNNNNNNNNNNNNNNNNNNNNNNNNNNNNNNNNNNNNNNNNNNNNNNNNNNNNNNNNNNNNNNNNNNNNNNNNNNNNNNNNNNNNNNNNNNNNNNNNNNNNNNNNNNNNNNNNNNNNNNNNNNNNNNNNNNNNNNNNNNNNNNNNNNNNNNNNNNNNNNNNNNNNNNNNNNNNNNNNNNNNNNNNNNNNNNNNNNNNNNNNNNNNNNNNNNNNNNNNNNNNNNNNNNNNNNNNNNNNNNNNNNNNNNNNNNNNNNNNNNNNNNNNNNNNNNNNNNNNNNNNNNNNNNNNNNNNNNNNNNNNNNNNNNNNNNNNNNNNNNNNNNNNNNNNNNNNNNNNNNNNNNNNNNNNNNNNNNNNNNNNNNNNNNNNNNNNNNNNNNNNNNUAUCCUGAUUCAGAUGCAUGUUCAUCUACUUUUAGUGCAAUGUUAAUGUUUCUUCUUCUUAGGAACACUUAGGGUCAUCUCCAAUUGAAGGGAGCCAACUAUCUCAUCUAGCUUAAUUGAAUCAACAGUGUUCCAUUCCUCUAGUGUUAUGACCUCAGGUCUAAAACGAUCAGAGGGGAUCUUAACAGUUUUCAGGUAACCUUGGAAUCAAGUAUAUUCAGGGAUCUUACAUAGAUUGAAAAUCAGCAUUCACAAUGUCUAUGAUUUCAAUAAUAUAUUCAGAAAAUGUUUUUGUUGUGAUCAUUUGAAAUUCAUUCCUUCACCUAUCCCAACUAUACAUAGUUUUUCCUACCCUAGUGGAUAUAUAUCCCAUCUCUAUCUAGCACCAUAUCAGGAUAUCAACCAAAUUGAACAGAACUCCAAUCUCUAUCAGACUUCAUUUUCAGGAAGUACAUCUGUUUUACCUUGGAAUGAGCAUAAUUAUCUCCUUUGAAGUAUGGAGGUCUACCUAUAGAGGUUCCUUCUCGGUGAAUUUCCAUCUUAAGAGAAUAUAGUUUAUCCAUAUUGAGAGCAUGAGUAAACAUGUUUUGAUAUGAUUUAUGAGUUUUUAAGAGAGUAUGCUAUGAACUUGAGAUCUUUUUUAGAUGAUCAAAUAACAUAUGCACAUGAAUGUGAUUAAGUGAUUAGCACAAGGUCAUACGCUAAAAUGUCUCUAAUGAAAUCUCAGCAAACAAGCACACAAAUAUUGCACAAGAUAUAACAUAAAAAAUCUCUAAGGGGAGAAAGGAAAUAAAUAAAUAAAUAACAAUGGGUGCCUUUGUUGUUGCAAAUCCACUAUGAAUAUAAAUCCAGUUUUGCCUACAAGUCCUCCCAGAUCAAUCACCAAUCCCCUUAAGGAAUCCUCAGAGUGAUUAUUUCUUCAAUCCACACCUCUUUUUUAUAUGCUUCAAUAUGGCUCAUCAUGUGCUCACCACCAAUCUCUCGACAUAGCCUCCUUCAACUAUCUUCAAUUACCACGAUUUCUCUUCUCCUCCACUAAUUACAUUACAACAGAAUCACCUUCACUAUCUCAUUGAAGUGAUCUCCAAAAACUAUAAAACAAAAAUUCUAUUUGCAAAGCAACUUCUUCUUCAUAUAGAUUCAGAGAACCAAAAUAAGAAGAUGUUUUCACCUGUAGCAAAAUCUUCAUGUAGAUUUAGAGAACUGAAAUUGUAACUUCAAAUUCACUCUUAGAAUCUCAAUUAAGGUAAAGCUCUCUCACAUUUCAAAAUCCCCCACCAAGAGUUUCGCUUACUCUUCAUUUUGGAAAUGAGAGUAGAACCAACUUAGUGCCGAGGGACAUAAGGCACACCCUUAUGGGCCUAUUGUCAUGCAAAUUUUAAGGUGGAGCAUCCAACUAACUCAACAAAUGUUUUUUUGCUUCCAGCCAUUUGUUUCCAUGGUCUAGAAAAAUAUGUCCUAGAUGAUUCCCAUUGUUUCAACUCUUUCAUGAAAAAUGCUUCUCAAAUCACUCCGGUCUUUCACUCACAUUACAUGUGAACUCCAAUCUACAGUAGUGAAAUCCUAUUAACGAGCAACCUGGAACAAUUAGCUUAUCCUUUCAAUCCCAUUUUCAAGCUCAAUUCCCUCCACCAGUGAAAACAAAUGGUCUUAUAUGAUCAACUCCAUUCACUCCAGGGCUAUAAAGGAAACACUUGUGAGCUGGCAGGCAGUAGCUCCUCCCGACUCACCAUNNNNNNNNNNNNNNNNNNNNNNNNNNNNNNNNNNNNNNNNNNNNNNNNNNNNNNNNNNNNNNNNNNNNNNNNNNNNNNNNNNNNNNNNNGCAAUUCACCAAAGAAUGCAUAGGUGGCAAUGAGGUCCCAAUGGAGCUGUGCAUAUCUAACAGUCGCAGACUUGAAGGAAGCUCUGGAAUUUGUGAAAGCUUCAUGCAGUGACUCAAGUCAAGGGCUCUAAGGUUAGAGAGUUGACUGAUACCCACAAGUAUGUCACUGAGGGUUCCUCCUUCCUCUGGAUUGGACCGACUUAGAUCUAAUACUUCCAGUGAGGAUAGAUGGAAAAUACAAUGGAAGACUCCUCCAUUUAGAUUGCAGUUUCUUAGCCUUAAUUCUUUCAAUGCGUUCAAGCAGUUAUCACUCUUUAUUACUCCUGGUGUUAGAUUGCAUUGAUCUAAAUAUAGUUCCCUUAAGAGAGAUAAACCUGACAAAGAAGGCAAUUGACAACUGAGCGAAUUUAAAGAAAGAACCUCUAGACAUGGCAUUCUCUCCAGGUCCUCUGGCAAUCUGUCAAGUUUUGAGCAGCCUUCAAGACUUAGAACUUCAAGAAAUCUCAAAUUACAAAUGCUGUUCGGGAGACCCUCAAGGUUUUUACAAUUGUCCAAAUACAAGUUGCGAAGACCUUCUAGAAGUUCAAUCGAUGAUGGUAGCUCUUUAAUAGCUGUUUCAUCUAAACUAAGCACCUCUAGUUUUCCAAUGUUGCACUUGAUUUUUGGAAAACUAGUUAGUUUUGAACAGCCACUGCAAUGAAGAGUUAAAAGGUGCUUCAACUUAUGAAUGUCCCCAGGAAGACUCUCGAGGCUUACACACCCUAUAAAAUUCAAGGAAAAAAAAAGUUAGUUUUAUGACACUCUUAUAUGUGUGUGAACCUUAAGUAAAAUUAUACAACCUGAAAGAAUAAGUUCCUCCAAAUUUGGCACGUUUGAGAAAUUUGGUAAUUCAAUAAGCUGUUGUGAAUGACUGAGAUCGAUGUACCUUAAAUUUCUAAGACACUGGAACAAAAUAGAAUUUCUAUUAAUAAAUCAAUUUUAAAAAAUUUAAAAAUAUUAUGAAACAAAAGCAUAAAUAAAUAAUAAUCAUACCAUGUUUCCUUUCCAAAGUAGUUUUAUGUUACUAUUGCUCAAUUUGAGGAGAGCAAGAUCAUUUGGAUGAAAGUUUGAUGGUAGAGAUUCUAAAGAAUAUCCAUCCCAACUGAGACAUGUCAAGUCAUCAGACGAAAAUACAAAAUCUUCAGGAAGUUGUAUGCGAUUGUGGGAGACGACAAGCAAUCUAAGUCUAUUCAUCCUUUCGAAAGCUUUGCAUGUAAACUGUAUCUGUUCUGAUUUGUCCACAUCAAGGAAUAUCCCUUCAAUUUUUUCAGUCCCCUAGAUAAUAAGAGUAUAAAAUUAGAAAAGCACAAUACAUAUAAAUCCUUACUAAGGUGAUAAAGAUAAAUAACUUCUUGAACAAAACAUAUUUUCUAUAUAUAUAUAUCUUACCGUAUUUCUUUUUAAUACUCGAUAAAUAUCUGUAUGCCUCCAUAAUCUGCUCCUCUCUCCUGGCUCAUUAGGACAUUCUUCAUCAACAAUGCCCUUGCCCAUUUGGGCUAACAAAUCAUGCAUCUCUAUUGUCUUGUCCUUUGAAAUGGUUAUGAAACACCUAUCAACGAGAGCAUUUAUUCCACUUUCCGCAUUGAAUUCGGAACCAUCCAAUAUUCUUGAAACUAUUUCCACAUCACCUCCUUUAAAGAAACAUGCAAUGUCGAGAAAUAUCAUCCUUUGUGUAUAAUCCAAUCCAUCAAAACUUAUUUUAAGCACAUUUACAAUUUCCAUGUUAGGCACCUUUUCCAGCUUCCGCAAUUCGCUUUUCCAAUUUGGUAGUCUCUUUCCAAAUAAUAGAGAACCCAAAACUUUAAGUGCUAAUGGAAGACCAUCAGCAUAUCGUACUACUUGAUGAGAGAGAUCUGCAUAACCUUCCUUCAGAUGAUGUUGUUUAAAGGCAUAACGACAAAAAAGUUGAAGAGCUUCGUGAAAAUUUAAUUUCUUAACUUCAUAUAUAUCAUUCACUUCAUGCCUAGUUAGCAAAUCUUUUUUCCUAGUAGUAAUGAUGAUUCUACUUCCUGGACCAAACCAAUUAUGCUUUCCAAUCAAGUGUUCUAAUUGUGUCAGCUCAUCUACAUCAUCCAAAAAAACAAGAACCUUUUUUGAGGAAAGCUUAUCCCUUAUUAUUUUGAUACCUUCAUAAACAUUCUUUAAAACUAUUUGCCCCUUUGUCCUUAGAGUAUCAUCAAGAAGCUUUUGUUGUAACUUAAGAAGACCAGAAUUUUUUGUGGAUUCUUUCCUGACAUUUGUGAGCAAGCUAACACUUUCGAAUUGAUGUGAGAUUUGGUUAUAAAGAGCAUUGAUGAUGGUAGUCUUACCGAUUCCACCAAGACCAUAAACCCCGACCAUGCGAACAUCAUUCGACUCAAUCUUUAACAAUGAUAUUAGUUUUUCCAAACGAGAAUCCAUUCCAACAAUGUUCUCGUUAACACCUAAAAUCUUAGGUAAGUUUCCAUGAACGUUCUCAAUAAUUUCAUCAAUAAGCGUUGACUCAUACCUGCCAAUUGCAAAGCAUAAUAGAUCAUGUACUCAUGCAAUAGAAUGAGUAGCAAAAGACAAUAAAUUAUAUGAAAUAAAUUUAAUGAUGCCUACUUUUCCAACUAUAACUUAGCAGGGCUAAAAAUAAUUUAAAUUAAAAUAAAAUAAACCACAUCUAUCAAACUACUUAUGGGUACGAUUGCAUUAUUCUAUACAGUUGCUCGUGUGAUAGAAAUGAGGGAAGAAAAUGCAGAAUAUGAUUUGCAUUAUCAAAAGUGGAAAAAAGAAAUUGAAAUAUUUUUGUGUUAACUUGUCUACUCAAUCUUUUGGAAGGCUCAAAAUGAAGUUGACUUGUUUGGAAUAUUACUACCCUAUUUUGAUAAGGGAUUCCAUCACAGAAUCAACCACUAUUCUGCAUCCAAGCUUUUACGAUCAACGUUACCAUCUUUUGUACUUGCAUAACUUUCUCUCACCAUUCAUUUAGAUAAUGGUUCCCCUAGCUGUUCUUUAUUAUUAUUAUUAUUAUUUAUAAAUUUUUAUAAAAUUUUUUGAAAACCCUUUAAUCAAAAUAUAACUUUUAUAAAUUAAUUGAACAUAUUUUAUUUAUAAUUUUAAUUAUUUUGUCCGAAGGAAUUAAAAAAAUAUAUUUUAAAAGAAUAUCAAUUUUAACUUAAAAUAAUUUAGUAUAUUCUUUAUCAAGUGUAAAAUUUUAAUGAACAGAUUUUUAUUUUAUAAAAAAUAAAAAAUUUUAAAAUUUUAAAACUCACAUAGCUUUAAAUAUUUUUUAUAUCAGCAGACAGAGAAAAGGAGAGUACUUCAAGUGAAAAAUGAAAAGAAGUUACAAUUACCUGUUCUCCGCAACAUGUCCGGCUAGAUUGCCUGCUUGCUCCAUGGCAGUCCUCCAUUUCCUUAUCUUUUCCUUUCUCUCCUCGUCUGCAUUUUCCUCAUGACGGGUAAAUGCUUCUCCACAAAUCCCAGUUUGCUUCCGAACUUCAGACGGAUCCACAUUAUAGAAAAUUGGGAUAACUAUUUGUCCCCUUUCCUCUUUGCAUUCCAUGAUCUUGACAAGCUCGUCCAGACACCAUUUGGAAUGAGCAUAGGUUUUUGAGAAAACAAUAAUGGCAAUCCUUGAUUCUUCAAUAGCUUUUAAGAGCUCUGGUGCAAUCUCUUCUCCCCUUGGAAGCUCUUCAUCAUCUCUGAAGGUAUGAAUAUUGUUACGAAUCAAAGCCGAGUAGAGGUGAUCAGUAAAGCUUUUGCGAGUAUCUUCACCUCUAAAACUCAAAAACACAUCGUAGCUCCACUGAGAGUGAGAAGUGGAAGAAGAAGAGGGUCUCUGGAUGCUGGGGGAAGCCAUGGUUGAACAGAAAUUGGAGGAAAAAUAAGGGUCUUCGGGUACUGAGUAACUCAUUCCCCUAGCCUUACGUGAAGUUUGGAUGUUGGUGGUGGGAUGCGCUUUUUCUUUCUUAAUUAUUUCUCCCUAGCUGUAUCCCUCUAGCUUUGAAUGAUAGUGUGGUUCACAUGGUCAAGACCGCACUUCAAUCAUUUCCCUUCACUCUUUUCUUUUACAUUUUACUCACUUUUCUGAGUUUUCUCUUUUUGUCAGUCAACAAUGGCCGACAGUCUUGUCUCUGCCGUUUACAGCUGCUCUUUUCUUUUAUUCUAAAAUAAAAAAAAUAAAAAAUGAUCAAAUGGUCUUUGCUUAGCUCAUAAGAUCGUGUGAACGCACAUUAAAUUAAAGUUAUUCAAUUAAGUUUUGUCUUUUCCAUAGUGAGCAAUAUUAUAGUAGAAAAUAAAGGUUUAUUAAGUUGAUAUGUCAAGUAAAGCUAACAACUUUGGUAUUAUAAGCUUCAUUUUUGUAGAUAAAAAAUAUGAUAAUUCAUAUGACAAAAGGUAAAGAAAAUUUUGAUCUUGAAGAGUAGAAAGAAGCACAAAACCUUCAUGAAAUUUUAGGGAAGAAAGACCAUGCCCAAAACUCGAAAUUUAAAUUUUCACAGCCUUUUCACAUUUUGUAGUUGGCUUUAUUAUUAAUAGAAGCACAUAAAUAAAUAUUGUACUUAACCAUGUUACUUCUAAAAUUAAAUCCCAUUAAUUUAUAGGUCAUAAUGGCUUGUAUAGGUCAUCAUAGUAAUGAGUGUGAAGGUGGGUACUUCUAUAAAUAAUAGAUGAGAUUAAACCAAUUACCCUAAAAUUCAAAAGCACCUUUAUCAUAAAAGUCAUUGUCGUCGUAAUGGUAAUGAGGUUGGAGUAUUGGAUUAAAAUAACUUAUUUAUUAAAAAAAAUAUAAUAUUUAACAAAUUUUCGAAACUUAUGUUCAAAUUGAUUUUUUUUUUUAUACCAUGUAGGUGUCAUGUCAUUAAAAUUUAUUUAUUUUUAAUCAUUUUAGUUAAAAUCUCAGUUAGUAAAUCAUUUUAAUUAAAAUCUCAAUUAGUAACUAAGGCUUCAAUUUUUAACUAAAGUCGGUAAUUGUCAAUUAAGGCUUCAUUUUUUAAAUUGAAGCCUCAAUUGACAACUAAAGUUUCAUUUUUGAAUUAAAACCUCAAUUGGCAACUGAAUCUUCAAUUUUGAACUAAAACCACAGUUCCCAACUGAAGCUUUAAUUAUUUUUUUUAAAUAAAAUUUAUUAAAUUAUAAUUUAUGAUUGAAAUUUUAAAAAUAUACUUAAAUAAUAAAUUAUUUAUAUUUAAACUUAAGAAUCUAGUAUUACUUCAACAAACAUAAAUUGAUAAAUAGAAGAUAUUAUAAAUGAAUAUUUUAUUUAUUAAUAAAUUAAUAAUCUUAAAAUAAUAAAUUUACAUAACAUAUAAAUAAUAUAUAAAAUUGUAUAAUUUAUUAAUUUAAGAUAUUUAAUUUGUCGUUUUUUAAGAUAUUAAUUUAUUUGUAUUAUGACAAAUUUAUUUUUAUCGAAAUAAUAAUAUACUUUUAAGUCAUAGUUGCUAACUGAGAUUUCAAUUAUAAUUUUUUUUUUACUUUCAAAUUUAAUUAAAAACUAUUAAAUUAUAAUUUAUUAUUGAAAUUAAAAAUAUAUACUUUAAUAAUAAAUUAUUUAUAUUUAAACUUAAAAAUAUAGUAUUACUUCAACAAACAUAAAUUGAUAAAUAAAAUAUAUUAUAAAUAAAUAUUUUAUUUAUUAAUAAAUUAAUAAUCUUAAAAUAAUAAAUUUAUAUAACAUAUAAAUAAUAUAUAAAAUUGUAUAAUUUAUUAAUUUAAGAUAUUAAUUUAUUUUUAUAAUUUAAUAAUUUUUAAUUUAAAAAAAAUUAACUAGGACCUCAGUUGGAAAUUGAGACUUCAAUUUUAAAAUUUUAGUUUAAAAAUGAAACCUCAAUUGAUAACUGAGGUUUUAGUUCAAAAAUGAAGUCUCAGUUAUCAAUUGAGACUUUAACUAAAAUUAUGAAGAAAAAAAAAUUUAAUGAUAUGACACCUACAUGACACAAAGAGACCAAUUUGAACAUAAAUUUCAAAAAGUAAUUAAAUGUUUUUUUUUUUUUAAUAAAUUGACCAUUUUGACCCGAUACUCAAUGAGGUUAGGUAUAUUUUGAAAGAAUAGAAAACCCUAAAUUUCAAAAGAAUGUUUGAUUCUUGACAAUUUAUCCCCAAGAGCCUUAUUUUUUUACUUUUUAUCUUUUUAUUAUUAUUAUUAUCGUGAGGAUGGUUAAAGAUGAUAUAGAAGUCUUUCAAUGGUUUAAAAAAGAAAAAUGUGAGUGUUAAGUUGACAUUUUUGCCAUUUUAGAAAAUACUUAAUUUUAAGAUCAUUAAUAGGAAGAAAUAAAGAGUUCACAAAAAAUAAAGACAUUUUUAUUGAUUGAUCUAGGUAAUUGUGGACCCCGCAUUUCGGCUCAAUACGUUUUCCACUAGAUGGCGAGCUCGAUUUUGAUUUGAAAAAUGAUUUUUAUUGGUUAAAAGAAUGACUUGGAGUCGCCACUUAUUUUUGUUUUAUUUUUAAAGGGUAAACAAAAUAAGAAAGAAAAACCCUAAGUGUGACUCCUUGUUUUGGAAAAGGUGGUCUGUGAAAAACCGGAUCGGGUUCGGGGGUCAGGUUACUUAUUGGGAAGGUACGGUAGAGACCGUAGCACCCCUCUAAGUCCCUAAAGUCGGGUCUCUACUAAUAAAGUGAAACUGACGUGACAAUCGAAUAAGAAAGUCAAUGGAUACUCACAUCAAUCAUGCAUAUAUGAGAAUCAGAAUAUGUAUAGUGAAUGAUCAGAAUGAGUGAAUGCAUACCUGGGCAGCAAACAGCAACGCGCUAUCAAGAAACGGGAUUAGUGCACAAUUAAUGAAUACAAAACAUAGCUCAUACAUAUCGGAGUGCAAAGCGAAGCUCAAACAAAAUACAGUAAGCACGAAAAUUGACAGUCAAAAGGGGUCAAACAUAGGGCCCCCAACAAAGCCCGAUUUAUUGUUCAUGAGCUAAUCCCACAAAUCCCCUGUUUUGGAAUUAUGAAGGAAUCACUGUUGUUUAUGUAAAAUCAAGAAGAUCAGAAGAUUAUUUAGGAACUGAAAUGUGAUUAAGAACUAUUCGAGUGAAAACUGAAUUAUUGGAGCUUAUUUGAAAAUUGAAGUAUUUGGAAUUAAAUUUUGAAGAUUAGAGCUCUGGUGAUUAAAUCGAAAUUUUUAAAGAAAAUGAGAAACGGACUUUAGGAAAUUGAACUGCGAGACCAUAGACUUUUGAAAGUUGAAUUUAUAAUAAUGAUAGUAAUGAGGUCUUGAGAGGUUGAAUUAAUAAUAAUAAUAAUUAUAAGAUUUCGAAAGUUGAAUUUAUAAUAAUGAUAGUAAUGAGGUCUUGAGAGGUUGAAUUAAUAAUAAUAAUAAUUAUAAGAUUUCGAAAGUCUGAAUUGACGAUAAUAAUAACAAUAAUAAGAUUUUGAAGGUGUGAAUUAAUAAUAAUAAUAAUAAUAAGAUUUUGAGAAUUUGGAUUAAUGAUAAUAAUAAUAAUAAUAAAUAGAUUUUGAAAGUUGAGUUAACAAUAAUGAUAAUAAGAGAGUUUGGAUUAAUGAUGAUAAUAAUAAUAAUAAAUAGAUGUUGAAAGUGCGAAUUAAUGAUAACGAUAAUGAUGAGAUUUUGAAAGUUGGGAUUAAUGAUAAUAAUAAAUAAUAAUAAAUGGAUGUUGAAAAUGUGAAUUAAUGAUAAUGAUAAUGAUGAGAUUUUGGAGGUUUGGAUUAGUGAUAAUAAUAAGUUAUAAUAAAUAGAUUUUGAAAGUUGAGUUAAUAAUAAUAUUAAUAAUGAGAUUUUUGGAAGUUUGGGUUGAUGAUGAUAAUAAUAAUAAUAAAUAGACUUUGAAAGUUGGGUUUAUAAUAAUAAUAAUGAGGGUUUUGAAAGUUUGGAUUAAUGAUAGUAAUAAUAGUACUAAAUAGAUUUUGAAAGUUGAAGUAAUAAUAAUAAUAAUAAUGAGAUUUUUGAAAGUUUGGAUUAAUGAUGAUAAUAAUAAUAAUAAUAAAUAGAUGUUGAAAGUGUGAAAUAAUAAUGAUGAUAAUAAUGAGAUUUUGAAAGUUGGGAUUAAUGAUGAUAAUAAUAAUAGUAAUAAAUAGAUUUUGAAAUUUGUGAAAUAAUAAUGAUGAUAAUAAUGAGAUUUUGAAAGUUGGGUUAAUAAUAAUAAUAGUAAUGAAAUUUGUGAAUGUUGAGUUAGUAAUAAUAAUAGUAGGAUUUUGAAAGUUUGGAUUAAUGAUAAUAAUAAUAAGAAUAAAUAGAUUUUGAAAGUUGAGGUAAUAAUAAUAGUAAUAAGAUUUUGAGAGUUGAAUUAAUAAUAAUCAUAGUGAUAAUAAUAAUAAUAAUGACAAGAACAAUGAUAAUAAUAAUAAUAAUAAUAAUGACAAUAAUAAUAAUAAUAAUAAUAAUAAUAACAAUAAUAAUAACCAUAAUAAUAAUAAUAAUAACAAUGAUAACAAUAAUUAAUAAUAAUAAUAAUAAUAAAUGAUAACAUGCAUCCAUCAAACCCAAAGCCCAUAAGCAUGGAUCCACUAACAAGCCUCAUCUUCAACAAGCCCAGUCCAUAAGCCUAAACCCAUAAGCCUAAGCCCACAAGCCUAAGCCUAAGCCUCCAAAGCCCAUCAGCAAAGCUCAAGCCCAAAUCAAUGAGUAAGCCCAAGCCCUUUAUCACAUGCUCUUCUUCCUCAUCUCCGGAGACAGUGACGGAGAAAAAUGGAGGUGAGAGAGACAUCGUCGGAGGUCCUCGGAGUUGGUCCAAGCUGCCAUCCUCCCGCGCCACCUCGGACAUGCCCAACUGCAGCAGCCUAGUGUCGGUGUGGAGCCUGCUGCUGCAGCCUUCAUAGGAGCGUGGAGCUUCGUCGGCCGGAAUCUGGUCGUUGAGGAAGAGCUCAUGUGCUGACAGCAUCCUCGACGUCGUCGUCGCGGAGCUCCCAUAGUAGGCGAGCCAUGUGGAAGAUUCGAACCCGGCGCCGGUGGACGAUGAGGCUACGGUUAAAGUGGACGGCGUCGGCAUUACGCAAGGUGCGAAGUGCAUGGGGCUCACCGGAGUGCUGUAGAAGAAAAACACCGCUUCCGGAGCCGCGUCCUAGGCUGGAGGGAGCAUUGACGUGGGGGGUGGAGCUAGAGAGAGAAAAUGUGGUGGAAAUGAUAAUGGGUGAGUGUGGCGAGGGUUGACGGAGUUGGGGAUGUGCAUGAGAGAUGAUGGGCAUGAAGAGAUCCAAAAAAAAAAAAAAAAGAUGGGUAUGGUGAUCUCGGAUGUGAGUGGUUAAAUGGGGGUUUGUGAACAAAGCAUGAAUCAAUAAUGUCAAAGCACACUUAUAACUCAAACCUCAUCCAACAAUACAUCAACUACUAGCUAUCCAUAUCUGGAUCAAAGGGAAAAUGACCAGAAAAUAACUCAAGAAAGAAAGAAAAAAAUGGGACAAUCAGAUGCUAAGUAGGAGCAAGGAGUCAUCAAUGGCAUACCUGGGGACGCUCCCUUCUUCUUCAAGCUUCACUUUCCAAGAUCCCUCGAACCAGCCCGCUCUCCCCCUCCUCCUUCCUGUUGCCCUGGUCCCGCUUGCCUUUUCUUCUUUCCCCCGUUCUUUUUUUUCUCUUCGUGUCUUCUUCAGCAAGCCCGCCGUAUCCCGUCCCAUCUGCAGCCCAAAAGCUCUGCCUUCUUCCUGCUUUUCUUCCAACCGUCCUCGGGUGGAUAAAGAAAGUAGAAAAGAAGAAGAAAAAAAAAAGAAAAUGCAUGAAAAUAAAAAAAACCUGCCCCCAGUUGAGGGGGUCUACAGUAAUCCUUUCAUAGCUUUUAACUAUAACUUUGUUGAAAAUCUUACUCCUUCCUCCUUGUCUUCCUCUUAUAAUUUCUAAGUUUCAACUUUUUUUUUUUUCUUUUUAAUAAUAAUAUUGGUUUUAUGUUUUAAUGAAAUAGGUUGCAAAUUUGAAGAAAACAUAUUCUAAUGUAUUUAUUGAUUAUAGCUCUUUCUUCAAAAGGGUUAUCGUUAUUUACAUUCUCAAACUAAUCAAAUUUACAUCUCUAGAUAUGUAAUCAUUGAUGAGUUUGAGUUUUCCUUUACUAACAAAACUUCUACCAUAUCUUUCUUAUAGGAACAAAGUCAAAUGACCAUAUUUUGAGAUUUCGAUCAGCAGUCACAACCAUUCAAUCCAAACACCAACUCAACCCACAACUUCACUCCCACCAAACAACCUUUCAAACCAUCGUAAUAGUGUAGAUCUUCUAUUUUGUCUUUUUAACACAUCUCAUCUAAAUUUGUCUUUCUUACAUACUUUAACACCUUAUUAUGCACUUAUGGUCAUUUUUCUAAGCUGUUUUUUUUAAAUUAUCUUUUAUUCUUUGUGAUUAUGUUGAUUACUAAUUAUUUUAUUUUAUUUUAUUUUAUGCAAGAGUCAUUCUAAAGGGAUUAAAUGCAUUCCAAUAUUGAUUUUAAUGAUUUUUAAAUCUUAAUUCAGGACUUUAUUUUUUAUUGAUGUAUAACAUAUUUAGGUUUGUUUAAAAUUUUCAAACUUUAAUUUUAUAAAAUAGAUUCAAGUUUUGAAUUAAUUAAUAAUUGAUUUCAUUCUCUUUAAAAUGUAGAAUAUGAUAAAAGGCCUGCAACAAAUUCAAACAAAUCUUUAUACAAGUGAGAAUUUAUGUCAUCCAAUCAUUUUAUUAAAAAUCACUCUAUAAAUUAUAAAAAUAAAGAUAUUAAUCACAUCUAUUAAUAUGUUUUUUUUUUAAAUUGACAAAUCAUGAUGAAAUUAUAAUCUUUUUAAUAUUUUAUUAAUUAUAAAUUAAAACAUCACUAUAAUUAUUCAAUCCCCACAGAAUAUAAAAUGAGUUAUUUUCAGUAAUAAUAAUAAUAAUAACUAAUCAUAUUUGAAUAACAUUUCAUCAAUUAUAUAUCAAAAUAAAGUUUUAUGUUUAUCAUAACCUAUGUUUUAAAACAAAAUAAUAAAAGUUAUAUUUCCAUUUAAAUGUAUUUAGAUAUCUACCUCCAUAGCCCAUGGUAUUAAAAUAAUCUAAUAAAACACAGUAUCCCAUAACCGGUCAACAGCACAGCUGCUCCUAGCCUUAGCCUCUUGCAGCUGCAAUCAGCUGUUCCACUCUCUGUUACAGGAGUUUAAGACCAAAAUAAUAUAUUUGUAAAAAAAAAUGAUAAGAAUAGUAUCCAUUUGAAAAUAUUUGCCAAAGUAGUCUUCUUUAUCCACGUAAGCAUCCACAUGGAUUUUAAGUGUAAAGAACCACCGUUGGUGACUGUGGUUUUAGAACUUACAAAAAUUUCCUUAAAACCACAGUUACAAACUGUGGUUUUACAAUUUCUCUUAGAACCACAGUUACUAACUGCGGUUUUAAAAGAAGUUUCCUUAAUACCACAGUUACAAACUGUGGUUUUACAAUUUCCUAACUUUACAAUUAUUUUUAAAAUAUUUUUUUUAUUAAAACAACCAUAAAACCACAGUUAGUAACUGUGGUUUUACUAAUGGUGUUGUAAUUCAAAUUAGUGAUGUUAUGUUAUUCACAUGUUUCCUUGAUAAUUUAAACAAAUAAAACUCAAAUGCAUCCUAAAGUCUAAAUGAAAGAAAUUAUAACUAAAUAAAUUAUUACAACCAUUACCUAUUUUUCUUUCAUAUAAUUAAAAAAUUAUACAUUUUAACCAAGACAUAAGUUCAAAUCAUACUUAAUAAUAAAUAACCUAAAAUCAUAAUCACUAACAUUAAUUUUCAUAUGAAAAGAUAAAAUUUUAAAAUAAUAUAAACAAUUUCUUUAGUUAUUUUAAAAUUUAAAAAUAAUAUGAAUAAAUAAUUUUCUUUAGUUCAUAUGUGAAAAUAUUUGUAAAACAAAUAAAUAUUUUAUUUACUAUAAAUAUAUAAAUUUUUAUGGGAAUGCAUGUAGACCAAAUUAUUUUCUCAAAUUUUCAAGGAAAAUAUGAAAAAAUAAAGAUAAAAUAUAUAUAUAUAUAUUUUUAAAUAGUCGUAACAAAAAAAUUUGUGAAAAGCAAAGUUCUAAAAUCCCAUACUUUUUUAUACAUGAGUCCCCUUAAAAAUAUUUGUGAAAAUUACAACAUAAUUGUAAUUUUGAUAAAAAAAUAUUUUAAAAAUAAUAUUAAAAUUACAACACCAUUAAAAUAGAUGUGGAUUAAAAAUAAUUGUAAAACCACAGUUACUAACUGUGGUUUUAUAGUUAUUUUGAUAAAAAUUAUUUUAAAAAUAAUAUUAAAAUUACAACACCAUUAGUAAAACCACAGUUACUAACUGUGGUUUUAUGGUUGUUUUGAUAAAAAAAAAUAUUUUAAAAAUAAUAUUAAAAUUAUAACACCAUUAAAAUGAGGACGGAUUAAAAAUAAUUGUAAAACCACAGUUACUAACUGUGGUUUUAAGGGAAAUUGUAAAACCACAGUUUGUAACUGUGGUUUUAAGGAAACUUCUUUUAAAACCGCAGUUAGUAACCGUGGUUCUAAGAGAAAUUGUAAAACCACAGUUUGUAACUGUGGUUUUAAGGAAAUUUUUGUAAGUACUAAAACCACAGUCACCAACGGUGGUUCUUUACACUAAAAAUCCAUGUGGAUGCUUACGUGGAUAAAAAAGAUUACUUUGACAAAUAUUUUCAAAUGGAUACUAUUCUUAUCAUUUUUUUUUACAAAUAUAUUAUUUUGGUCUUAAACUCCUGUUACAGUCCAGCUUUGGCCGCCCAAGACAUACAUCUUUUCACCCAUCAGCCAUUACCCCUGCCACAGCUCAUACUAAAGCUGCCAUAACCUAUACCCCAUAACCUAAUAUACGACUCUCACAACCGCCCUUUGUAAGAGUCACACAAAAGCCAAAUUUUUAUUAUUAUUAUUUUUAAUCAACUCCAGCACAGCCUCGUCAGACGCCGAGCCUCCUGAUCUCAUCUCCAAACACGUUCUGCAGCUGAAUCCUUUGCCUUUAUGAAGUUUGGAUGUUGGUGGUGGGAUGUGCUUUUCCUUUCUCAAUUAUUUCUGCUUAGCUGUAUCCCUCUAGCUUUGAACUUUCACUUUUGUCCCUUUUGGCAGUCAACAAUGGCCGACAGUCUUGCCUCUGCGAUUUACAGCUGAUCUUUUCUUUUAGGGAGAGUUGGGAUUACUGGCUGUUAUACGAGAAAUACAUGGUUUUCAAAACCAUAUAACUGAAAUAUGAUUUACCUGAGAAAAAUUGUGAGAGUUGAGUUGUCAUUUUCGCCAUUUUAGAAAAGACUUAAUUUUAAGACCGUUAGUAGGUAGAAAUAACAAGUUCACAAGAACGAAAGAGACCUUUGUUGACUGACCUAAGUAACCCCUUUCAUGGCUUUUUCACUUGUUUGUUUUUGGGUUUUCUUUAAUGAGGCUAGGUGAUUGUUGUUUAUUUUGACUUAUAUUUUAGAUGGAUUUCAUUUUUAAUAAGAGUUUUUCAUGGUAAAAAUUGAUGUGAUACAAAUUUUUAUUGAUAUUAAUAUCAUUUUAUCAUAAAUUAUUUAGAGUAUAGAUAUAAAUAAAAUAUCAAUACCAUAGGAAAUGUUAAAAUAAAGUUAGGUGCAUAUGCAAAAAAUAAAAUUUGAAAAAUAGAAUAGUCCAGUCCAACCAUAUCCACACAUCCAUCUUCCUAUAAAUGAAACUAAUGAUAGAUACAUAAGUCAAAAAUAAGAUUUGAAAAAGAGUAUAAUCCAAUUCAACUACCUAUCUUCCAAUAAAUUAAACUCAAAAUGGGCACAUAUUCCAAAAAUAAAUUUUGAAAAAUAAAAUAUUCCAAACCAACUUUAUCAACAUGUCCAUCUUCCAAUAAAUUAAAUUGGAAAUGAGUCGGCAUGUGAUAAAAUAAAUGUCAAUUUCCAUUUUACUUAUAUUAAAUUCACUUAUAUAUUUAUAUCGAAAAUUAUCCUUUGAAUAUUUCUAGAAACAUUAGUGUGGACUCCGCAUUUUGAUUGCUCAAUGCGUUUCCCACUCGAUGGCGAACUCGACUUUUAUUUGAAAAAUUGAUUUUUAUUGAUUAUUUGAAAAUGACUUGGAGUCGCCACUUAUUUUUGUUUUAUUUUUAAAGGGUAAACAAAAUAAGAAAGAAAAACCCUAAGUGUGACUCCUUAUUUUGGAAAAGGCGGUCUGUGAAAACCGGAUCGAGUUCGGGGGUCAGGUUACUUAUCGGGAAGGUACGGUAAAGACCGUAGCACCCCUCUAAGUCCCUAAAGUCGGGUCUCUACUAAUGAGAUGAAGCUGACAUGGCAAUCAAUGAGAAAAUCAAUGAAUACUCGAAUCAAUCAUGCACAUAUGAGAAACAAAGCAUGUAUAAAGAAUGAGCAAAAUAUGAAUAGAUGCGUACCUGGGCGGCAAUCACGAAUGCGCUAUCAUGAAACAUGGUUAGUGAACAAUGAACAUAUAUAAUUAAGCGCAUAUCAAGGAAUAGAGUAAAUCAAUCAUGCAUGACAAAUAAAUCAAUCAAGCAAUCAAUCAGUCAUGAAUUCACAUAUGUGGGCCCCCCAUCAAAGCCCGUUUAUUUUGCAUGAAUUAAUCUCAUAAAUCUCAUCAUUUGAGAAUUACGAAGAUUGAUUUCUUGCUUGUUUAAAAACAUUUUGAAAUUCAUAGGAGUUGUGAAAAUUAUUGGCCAGAAGGAAGAAUGGCAGUGAAUUUUAUUUGAAAUGAGAUUUUUGAGUGAUCCUAAAAAUUCUAAAGAUGAAAAUUUGAAAAAUAAAUAAAUAAAUAAGAAUAAAAUAAAAUUAUUUGAAAAUCUAGAAAUUGGAAACUAUUUGAAAACGGGAAAUUUGGAAAUUACUUUUAAAUUGAAGAUAAAGAAAUAAAUAGAUAAAUAAAAAAAUAAAUAAAAGACACGUGGCCCAAAAGGUGGUCAUGCAUAGCUGCUUGUAAAUUGGGCAGCCAGUGCUUCUCAUACUCUCAGCUUCGGGAUGUUCCUUGAUGUAGUUGCCCCCAUGUGUCAUCCUUAGCCGUGACAAUGCAUGUGUCUUCAUCCCAAUUAAAGUCACUUUGAUCAAGAAGCGUCUUGACAGUGACAUAUUACAUCCUUAAGACAUCAUACCGAUUCUGCAGUUGCUCCUUCAAUUUUGGGUACUGAGCCCUGGCCCACUUUAACACAAAAUUAUACACUGCAUCCUCUGACGCAACCUGGAGUUCAUCACUAGACAAAAAUGCUUCAGUCUUGACAAGGGGUAAGGCCAUCGCCUCUUCUUGAAACUUGGUUGUGUCUUUGUAACGACUAGCAAGAUAUUGAUUGGUUGCAUCUGUCAAAGGCUGAACUGUCUCAACCAUUAGGGCACUAGAAGGAGGCUCUAGACAGAGCAAUGCAGAUUUCAGGUAUCAUGGAUAAGUUCCUUAAGAGUCUGCUGCAGCUGCGAUUCGGAGACUCUCCACCGUUGAUUUCAUCAUCAUGCUUCGCUUCAGAAUUCUGGACGCCAUGGAUUCAAACCGCGACUGGUUUGGCUUCCUUCAUUGCUUGUCACAACAGACUGCAUGCACCAUUCGUCGCGUACCUCACGACAAAUGUGAGUCUGGUUAAUCCCGUAGGAGGACUCCAAGCAGCAUGCAUAACGUACCUCUUCGGAACAUCACAACGAGACCCACUGGUGCCCUCGUCUGAAUACACCUCCGCAUCUCAUUCAAGUAAUGGGUAUUGGACCCAUGCAUGCAUGCAAAGAUGGAGGAGUGAAGUGGUGAGAGAAAGGAUGUACGGAUUUAGCUGCGAGUAAAGUCACGGGUAUGGGAGGAUGGAUGCGGUGAAGACCUUUGAGGGUGAUGAAAAAUGGUGCAUGGAGUAAGAUAGGCUAAAGUGGAAAUGCGUGGUAGAAUGGGCAAGGAUCUCAUGGGGAGAGUGCAGUCACGCAUAGGGUUAUGGGUAUGAUGGUAUGGGGGAUGGGAUGAUGUAGUUAUGGAGUGGUGUAGUGAGAGGAAAGGUGGUGAAGGGUAUGUGAGGAGGAUGAUGGGUAUGAGAGAAGGGUAUGAUGGGUACCAUGCAUGGGGAUGAAUGGUAUGAAGGAAGAUGGGUAUGGAGGAACAUGAAGGAUGGGUAUUGGAGGAUAUGGGUGAUGAGAAUGAAGUAGGAAACGUGGGUAUUAUGGGUGUGGGAAUUAAGGACGAUGGUGAAUGCGCUUAAUGGGAGAAUAUAGGAUGGAGAACGGGAAAUGGAAGAUGGAGAAUGGAUGAUGAGUGAUGGAGAGCUUGAGGUGGGUUGGAUGGAUGCAUGCAUCGGGCAUGAAGGACGGGUGAGUGGGAUGUGGGUAGUGGGCUUGGAAAAUAGGAACGUGGGUAAGGUGGUGUGGGACCAUGCAUGACUAAAUGGGUUAUCUUUUCCCGGUUUUUUUUAUUUUCCAGAGAUUUGCAGCCAAUUCCUUACUGUCAACAUGAUUACUGCCAACAUCUCAUCUCAGUGCCUUUCAUUAUUCUCACAGUCGCGACCAAAGAACAGUUCACUGUAGGAAACCAUAAAGAAAGACUAUGCUUCGUUGCUACUGACAAGGCAUUAUUUCACUUACCCUGAUUCCAUUUUAAGGCGGGAUAAAACCCGCAACCUGCACCAUCUGCGGAUAUGGUGGAACAAGUCAUCCACCAGAGAAGAAAUGCCUCUCACUGACAGGGUCUGAUGAUGGAGUUGAAAAAUUACGUCUAAAUAAGAAACUGGAAGGAGAGCCUCAAUUUCAUUCUUGGAUUUAACUGCUCAAUCCUUAACAUUCUCACAGCUGUCACCUUCCCCAUCAUAGUCACUUCCACUAACCAUCUUUUCCGGAGGAACACCAUUUUCAUAAAUCCACCAUUACUACCAGCCUCAGGUAGUAAUACGAGAAUCGAAACUCUCCACGACUAGUUCUAGGGAGCAGAGAUGGUAUGGGGGACAAAAUCGUUAAAAAAAAAAAAAAAAAAAGAACAAAAAUCAAAAGAUCCCGGAAUCGUAUAUAUAAAGCUGCGUUCCAUGAAAAACGAACGAGCUCAAAAAUGGUGGAACAAACAGGGGGUCCUCAACACGAGCUGGUAAACAUCAUACUCAAAUCUAGGUAAAGAGUAAUACCCCCAUUGCAAUGAAAAAAAAAAGAUUGAGAGCAUGAGAAGAGAAUAAAACAUAACAUAUAGGAGCAGAUAAUCACAUUUAAACGAAGCAAACCUGUGGCCCUUGAUCGUCCACAGCAAAUCACAAAUAGAUAUUCAUCAGAUUAGCAGAGAAUGAAGUGAGAUUUUAAGAGAUGAAAACGCACCAGAUUCAAAGUGAUGCUACUAAUGGCUCCACAAUGCAACCUUCUCCUCCUCGGCUUGCAAGCUUUCUCUUAGAAAACUCUCCGUGUAGCUUGCUUUCCCCCCAACUCAACCUCUCUGUCAAAAACUCCUCCUGUAGCCCUUCUCUCCCCAACUCUCAAAUAGCUGGCCACCUCUCUCUGCCCUCUCUCUCUACCCUGCAGCAGCUUCUGAAAAGCACCCUACCUCUGGCCAGCUGACCCCCCUGCAAAAAUCCCCUCUAACAGAAAAUAUGCGCUCCUCCUAACGGCCAGAAUAUCUCCAUGCCACGUGUCAAACUCUCACUCGCUCCUCAAUUCCACCAUCUGUUUCUAUGACCACCAACCACAAGACGACACGUGGCCCUAUGGGACUGCGGCACUUGGCAAAAAUGGCUGUAGAAAAUGACACCCAAAUGGGGGUCUACAAAUAUGCCCCUCUUCGGUAGAGUUCACGAGUGUAAGAGAUAUGAACACUGAAGUGAAAAGUAAGUGUGAAUAGUGAGUGGAAUGAAGUGAACUCUACCGAAGAAUCAAAGAGACCCCCAUAGGGACACUGGUGAAACGCAAAGUCACCCAGGCUAGUAGAUGAACACAAAGGCUCUAAUCCUAAAAGAGAAAUGAUGUCACAAAAUGCCUCUGCGGCCAUACUAAGGAUCCAAGCUCCCUCUAAGAUGUCUCCCACCCAUUUACUGCUAAAACAGUGGCAGACAAAUUUGUAUAGGAAUUAUCAAGCUCCACGGGAUGCCCCAGUUCGUCAUUAGUGACCGAGAUCCAAUUUUCAUUAGCAAGUUCUGGCAAGAAUUCUUCAAGAUGUCGGGCACCAAAUUGCAACUCAGUUCCGCAUACCACCCACAGACCGUCGGACAGACGGAAGUUGUCAAUCACUGCCUCAAGCAAUACCUUCGUUGUUUCGUGCACUAGUGGCCACGCAAAUGGAGUUCUUAUUUACCUUGAGCAGAAUAUUGGUAUAAUACCAACUAUCAUAUUUCUACAGGGAUGACCGCAUUCCAGGCACUGUAUGGAAGGCCGCUUCUUGGCAUUCCAUCGUACAUAGGUCUUUCGCUAGUACACGAGGUGGAUCAACAGUUAAUGACUCGCGAUGAACUACUUUAGCAAUUGAAGAUUAACUUAGCAAGCUCAGUUAAUCGAAUGAAACAAAUGGCAGACCACAAGCAGAGGGAUAUUUCGUUGACAUUGGCGAAUGGGUGUUGUUGAAGCUGCAUCCUUACGGCCAACAAACAGCCUUCAAACGGGUCCAACAAACGGCCUUCAAACGGGUCCAUCAGAAAUUGGUUAGUCGUUUUUACGGAUCCUAUGUGAUCUUGAAGAAAUGCGGACCAAUCGCGUACAAAUUAGACUUACCAAAAGGCACGCGCAUCCACCCAGUGUUUCAUGUGUCACUACUUAAAUGAUACCAAGAAAAUGAUGGACUUACGGAGCCACAGUAGACAACGUUGCCACCUAUCUCCGAUGAAGGAGUGGUCGCACUUGAACCGCAAAAGAUUCUGGACACCCGCUUGGUCAAACAGAGAGGCCAACUUGUUGAAGAAAGCCUAGUGCAACGGAAACAUCUACUCUCGAAGGACGCCACUUGGGAACCAACGAAGAAAUUGCUCAACGAAUUCUCACCAACGAUCCUUGAGGACGAGGAUCCACUACACGGGGGAAGUAUUGAUAGGCCACGUCAGUCAACGAGGCCCCGUAAUCCAAAUCCCAAAUACUUGGGAUAAGCUGGACGUGAUCAACAUGAAGUUUGGGUCGUGGGGAACGUUGGAAGUUUACGUUGGAAGUUUACAUAGGAAUGGGUCUUCAGGAGUUACGCAUUUUAUGUCAUUUUCUUUCCGUUAGUGUUGUCUGUUAUAUGCUAUGUUUUAUGUGUUUAAGUUCCGGUUAUUAAGCUACUAGUUUCCCUUCAUUUUUGACAUUAUUGUAAUUGGCUUUGCUUAUUUAAAGCAGCCCAGAAAUUAUCAAGAAGCAGGAGAAAAAUUAUUCAACUAUUAUGGUUCAUUUCUCACCCGAAGAGAAAGUCAUUUACGUUAACAUCUAUCGCAUUUGUUGGGACCUAACAGGGCGCAACUGCUAUCACUACAGCUGGUGAUGUGUUGCUAGUUGCUACAGGGAAUGUGCUGUUGUGGCUGUUGAUGUUGUUGCUUCCUCUUCAAGAAUAUCAACACAAGGUGAGACGAGGGCUUACCCAAAUGAAACCAGAGCAAUCCAAGAAACAAAACUAUCGUGUGGCAUUUCAUCAACCAGGUGGUGGGCAUUAUCAACUGAAAAAAUAUCUCUACUGGAGUUUAUUAUUUUCUAUACAUUGCAUAAACUUUAAAGAUAUUAUGAUCCAUUAACUUUGAACCUUAUUUACACUUGCAUAUGUCUGGGAUUGUGUGUAACAAUUGAUUAACAUUGACUUUUGGGUGUAAAUGUUGUCUAAUUCGUCACUCAGAUAUCAGGUGUGAUUAACCAUGCAUGUCAGAAAUUCUGAAGACUUGAUUGGAUUGAUUUGCUCGUCUGAAAUGUCCAAUCGGCUUGGUCUGUCCAUUCCGUUUGACAUUAUGGAAGAAGGAAAACUUCUCACUUUUGGUGCUAGACGGAGCUUAUCUUUAUCCAGACGGGUUAUAUGUUUGUCCUAAUAAGCCAAAGGGUUUUGAAUUUGAGAAGGACAUGUGGAGGGAAGCUCCCCACAGACAUUAUCAACUGAAAAAGUAUAUCAACUGGAGUUUAUUAUUUUCUAUACAUUGCAUAAGCUUUAAAGAUGUUAUGGUCCAAUAACUUUGAACCUUAUUUUGAAAAUUAAUUUAUAUUCAUUAUUUUUAUAAAUAUAAUAUCAAAUAUAAAUCGAAAAAGUAUAAGUUACAAAUUUCAAAGGGUGUUUAUGAGUGGAUCAAUUUUUGGUCUCAAUUAAAAAAACUAAUUUAAAAUAAUAUAAAUAUAAUAUGUUUUUAGUUUAUUUAUUUAUGGUUAGGGUUAUAAAAUAAAUUGAUAUUUUUUAAUUUUAAAUAAGAAAAACAAAUAAGAUAAAAAAGAAAAAAAAUUAAAGAUCGAACAAUAUAAAAUAUUGAAAGUGAAUGAAUAAAAAUGAAAAAGUUUACAACUCAAAUAAGACCAAUCUAAAAAAUGCAUUACAUAUUAAAAUAUCAUCAUUUUUUUUAUUAAAAUAUACCUAAUGGCAUUUCAUAUUGUUAGAUGGUAAAGGAGAAACUAAAAAAAAUCAUAGAACUAUAGAAUGUAGCACAUGAACUUAGUUUGAUGACCUGAAGUGCACAAGUUGCUUUCAAACCACUGGGACUUGCUUAGGGUUAAAAGUUAAAAAUAGGACCGAUAAUAUUUAAUCAGUAAUAUCAUCUCAAGCCUAUUCCAAAAUAUGGCAACCGGGUAAAAUUAAAAAUUAACUUAAUGCUUAAUAAUUUUUUUUUUAAAAAAAAGAACUUGUUAAAUUUUUUUCUAAAAUCAUUAGAUGUUGUAUAAUUUUUCUAAAAUGAAUGAGAAAAGUUAUAAUGGUGAAGCUCUUGAAAAAGAAGCUUUCAAUUAUGAUCGCACUCCUUCAAAAAAAAAAUCGUUAAAUAUAGAAUAGAAGCAAACUCGUCAAUCAUCACAUAAAAAAACAAUUUCUCCAAAGAGUGCUGACCCUUCAACCCCCAUGAGCUAACCAAGCAGCUCGACCCUAACAUCCUAAGCGAAGCGCAACAGUAGUGAUUCAAGUUUCACAAUCAACACCAAUAAAGACAAGAACAAUUGGCACUCAAAAAAUUUAUUUCCUUUAACUUUUUCCCUUUAAGUUGAAUUUGAUUUUUAAAUGGUGUUAUUUGAUUAAUUAUUUUACAAUAUAUAUAUAUAUAUAUGUUAUAUCUUAAAAAAGGUUAGUAAAUUAUAUUACAAUUAUCAAAUAUAUUACCAUAUAUAAAAUACAACUUAAGAAAUCUUAAGCAUAACACAAAGCACAAGAGCAAGAUAUGUUAAUUUAAGUUACUAAGAGCUUAUUUAGUUGUGUGAUUUAAAAAUAGUUUUCUUAUUUUAAAAAUAAAAAAUUAUUUUAAAAUUUUUUUAACACUAUUUUAAUGUUGUUCUUUGGAAAUAAUUUUUUAAAAUAAAGUAAAAUAGAGAACAAUUUUUAAAGAACAAGUAGGAGUUGUUUCAUCAGUUUUUAAAAAACAAAAAAAUAUAUAAACUCAUUUGAUCAUGUUUUUUUAAAUUUGUUUUUAAAAAUUGUUUUUAAAUUAAAAAAUAAAAAAUAAUUUUUAAAAAUAAGUUUCAGAAAAUAUGACCAAACGAACCCUAAAUGAUUGGAGUUUAUAAUAUUAAAGAGAAAAAAAAGUUAAUUUAAGAGUUUGCAUGUAGGUAGACAUCUAGCUGUAAAACUGGUUUAUUUGAGACACCCAUUUUAUUUAGGGAGAAUUGUGUUUUGGGCCCAACUGGGUCCAAAAAUUAAGAUGUGGUCCAUAUAUUUUACAUAAUUAAGCGCAACACCCAAAGAAAGUCUGAAAAUUGAAAAGAAGGAUAUUGUCCUUCAUUAAUCCCUAAAAUACCCUUAACCCUUACGUAGACAUUUAGUGAGUGUGAAUUUUAAUUUUUUUUGUAUUUUUUUCCCUUUUCUAUUCUCUAUUAAGUAUUACUCAUUUCUAACUUUUUUUUUCUUCCAAUCUAUAUUUCUAUUUUAUGUCAAAUAAAAAGCAAUAAGGUUUUUUUUUUUUUUUUUUUUUUUUCAUUUUUAAAGAUAUUGAAUCUUUUUACUCUUAUUAUAAGCAAGAAUAAAAAUUUUGGGAUUUUUCAUCCAAUUUUUUUAUUUUUUUUAUUUUUUAUCUUUUUGUAUUUAUCUUUUAGUUUAAUUUUCAUUUUUUAUUUUAAAUUUAUAUUACCCUUUCAUUUAUACUUUUCUCUUAUUUUUAAUUAUUUUUUAUUUUCUACAUUAACCAUAUUUUAAAAAAUUUUAAAAUAUACUAUCACUUCACUCUUAUUAUAUAUAUAUAUCCUCCUUUUAGUUUUUAAAUUUUUAAUGUUUUUAUUUUAAAAUUUUUUAAAAGAUAAAUUUAUUGAAAAAAAUAACUAAGAUAUGAAGUUCUAAUAUUAUAUUAAUAAUUUUUCUUAUCCAGAUAGACUAAUGCAAAGUAUUUUGACUCACAACAAGAAAAUUGUUAAUACAAUUUUUUAGUGAAACUUUAAAAAUUAAAUUUCAAAUAAAAUAUAUUAUAUAAAAUUUUAUCUAAAAAUUAUUGAAAGUGGUAUUUAAUUUUUUUUUAUUAACUUUCAAACUUAUCUAAUUUUUUACUUGAAAUGUAAUAGAACAUGUUUACAAAAAAAAUUAGUUUUUCAUUUUUUAAAUAAAUGACUAUAAAUAUAUUAAAAGAAUUAAAGAUAAUUUUAGUAAAAAAUUUAAUAAAUAUGAUUAUAAUUUUAAAUAUAGAUUCAUUUGGAUAAAAUUUCACAAAAAAAAAAAUAGUGAAAAGAAAGAACAUUGCUAAAACUACAAAAACAAAAUAUGAAAUUACAAAAUUUUGAUGAUGAAAUUUAAAAAUAAAAUUUGAAACAAUUCUUGAGUGAGAGAAUUUGAGUGCGGAAAAAUCCUUGAGUGGAAAAAAAUAGAAAAGUUUUUCAAAAUCACUUGAAAUUCUUAACAAAAAGUAGUCUUGUACAGCUGGUGUAAUACCUUUGUACAAUAACUCAAACUUCAUAUAUCAUCUCAUUAAUAUCUAACAAUAAGUCGGUUAACCAUGUUUGCAUUGGUUUUGUUUUAAAAAAGAAGAAAAUUGUUGUAUAAUUUUAUUUUACAAUCAUCAUAAGUGAGGUACCUAUUUAAAUGACCAUAUACAAGUUAGAUAAAGUGUAUGAGAUGAAUAUGUGCUUAAUCAAUGUGUGUAAGGAAUGUCAUCUAUCCUCAGUUAGGGGAAAUAAACAAACAGGUUUUUUAGAAUCACUUAAAAUCCUUUACAAAUAAUAGUCUUGUACCCUUGUACAGUUAGUAUAUUUAUCAUGUACACUUAGUGUAAAUACCUUGUACAGUGACUCAAAUUCCAUAUACCCCCUACUCAAUGUGUAACCAUAGGUAGAUUAACCAUAUUUUCAUUGGUUUGGUUCAAAAAAUAGUGGAAGAUGGAAAAAUAAAAUUUUCUCUCAAACAUCAUUCGUGGGAUAAGUAUUCGAAUUGUCAUAUGCGAGUUAAAUAAAGUGCAUAAGAUGAGUGUGUGAUAGAGGAAUGUGUACCUUGAGAGUGUGCAAUCCUUAGAUGACAAGACAAAAAAAAAAAAGUUGUCCAAAAUUGAUUGAAAUCUUUCACAAAGGAUAGUCUUGUAUACCCCUUGUAUAGUUAGAACAUUUACCAGUAUAGUUAGUAUAACACCCUUGUACAAUGGUGCAAAUUUCAUCCAUAUGCAUACAUUAUGUGCUACAUAUGAUGUGUGAACCAUGUUUCCAAUGGUUUGAUUUAAAAAAUGAUAUAAAACAUAAAAACAAAAUUUUUCCCUAAAUAUAAUUAUUAAGGUAAAUAUUUGAAUUGUUAUAUGCGAGUUAAAUAAAGUACAUGAAUUAAAAGAAUUUGUGGUAGAAGAGCGUACAAUCCAUAGAUGACAAGAAAAAAAAAAGUUGUUCAAAAUGUACAGUCUUGUACACCUCUUGUACAAUUAGUGUAAUAACCUUGUAUAAUGAUAUAGAUUUCACAUAUAUGCAUAAAUUAUAUCCACAUGAGUGUGUAAACUAUGUUCCCAAUAGUUUGACAUUUAAAAUAAUUAAAACAAAUAAAAUGUUAUUUUAUUUUAUUUUCAAAACUAUGUUAGCUAAUUGUUCUUUUAAAAUAACAAGAUCAUAAUCUAUAUUAUAUAUACCAUGAGGAUAAGGAAUAAAAGACAUUAAUUCAUAUCAAAUAAGCAGAGUAAAUAAAGAUUUAGAAUAAAUUAAGCAAAAUUAAUCAGGCUUUAAAUGGGGUAAGAUAAAUUUUGGUACUCUGAAAAUUAAUUUGAAUCUACAGUCUCAUUUCCUAAUUAAUAUACUGCAAUACACAGAGAGACUUUGACACCAACUUUUCCCAUCAGCAGUUUCAACAACAGUUUGUUAGUCAAAGUAAUGGUAGGGGUUUUUGAAAUCUCCGUUAGCAAUGAAAGUUUAAUGAAAAUUUUAUAUUGAAUUAAAGUGUGAACGCAUUUAUUGCUAACAUUAAAAUAAUAUAGACAUUUCCAAAUACUUAAUAUUUUAAUAUAAAAUUUUCAAACACUCAUUAAAAUAAUAUAAAAGGUUUCAGACAAUUAUUAUUUUAAUAUAUAUUUAACUUAAGGUUCUGUGCUUAUAGUGUGAAACCAUUUAAUGUAUAAAAAUUAAGUUUUUGAAAUCGGAUAUCUCAAAAAUUCAGGUAAUAAAAUUCAAAAAUUUUUAAAACGUCACUUCGUGUCAAGGUAAUACCCCCCUUCUGACCAGACAGAGUCUCCCUAACAUGCCAAUUUUCAGGCAAAAACGGGUUUAAGGUUAAGGGUUAAGACUAAAGACUCUAGUUUUAAAACAUGAUUUUACACCCAAAAUUUUCUAAAUAACCCGAUUUUUUUUUUUUAUGUUGAUGAGAACAUUAUAUAAAAAGGAUCCACAUAUAUUACAUAUAUUAAAUAGUAAAGAAAACUUAAAAAUAAUUCAAAUAAUUUUCUUUUCCAUACUUUACCUUUUUACCCCUUUUACCCCUUAAGGGUAAGAAAAAUACAUAAUAAAAUAAAUUCUAAAUGAAAGCAAAAAUUUAACAGAAAAUUAAUUCUUACUUUCUUAUUGAUUGCUGAUAAAUGUACAAAACACAAAUUAUUAAAAAAUAAAACCGAUAAAUAUAUGCACUUAGGAAUAAUUUUAAUAGGAAUAAUAGGACUUCAUCGUAAAGAAAUUGGAGCACUUAUAAAUAUUAACCUUUUAGAUACUAGAAACAAUAUAGUAAGACGAGCUCUUUUAGCUAGUGCAGAAGUUAAUAUGAACCAAAAUUAUGCAGUUAUUGAUUGUAUACCUCAAUUUUGUAUAGAUCUUAAGGAAUUCACAGAAAAAAUAAAAAUAACUGUAAAUACUAAAGGUUAUGAUAUGGAAUUAGGAAGUAAAAACCUUAGCAUAGCUAUAGGAUUUAUAGGAAAAACUACUAACGCUUUAAGUUUAAAAUGUAUAAUGGAAUUCGAUGAUAUAGUAAAAACCUUUGGAAGUAAGACAGUAAAUAUGAUAGAAGCAAAACCUGUAAAUAUAGACUAUUUACUAGGACGAGAGUGGGAAUUACCUUAAAUAAAUAAACCAAUAAUAAAAUAUCCAACAUCCAGUAGCUUAUAUGAAAACCAAGAUGGAAGUGCAAGUAUAACCUUUGGAAAUUAUAAAACUGUAAAUGUAGAGGUAGAGUCAGAUAGUGAGAUAGAAACUGUGAAUGUUAUAUAAGAAGAUAUUUUACUAAACAUUGAGACAGUAGAAAACCUAUACAAAAUCUUAGAGUUAGUAAAUAUAAUGUUAGAGGAAUUUAGUAAUCCAACAUUACUAGACGAACAAGUGGAUCAAGAAAACUUUGUUAAUAUAAUGUGUAAAAACUAUACAAAUGACCAAAUAAUAGAACAACUCUAUAAAACCAAUUUAAUCAAAAAAACUUAUAGAUAUAGAAAUGAUAAAUCAAUUUACUAUUCAACCAAAAGUUAACAUCUCAAACGAAUCAAUAAAUACAAUAAAUGAAGAAAAGGAAUUUGUAAAUGUAAGAAGUGAAAUAGUAAAAUAUAAUAAGCCGUAUAGCAAGCCAAAAGGACCUCAAUGGAAAACUAAAACAGAACCUUAUAGUUUUUUGCAACCAGUAUAUAAUUCUUUGCAACCUGUAUUAUUAGAUAUAGAUAGUGCGCAAGAUCUUAGAAAAACCAUAGAAAAUUGGAAGCAAUCUUUAAAUUCAGCAGGUGUGGUAGUAUCCUUUGAAAACCAACAAGAAAUUUACGAAUUUUGUAAAAACACCCUUAGAGGAACUGUACUACAAUUUUUUAGAAACAUGGAACAAGAAAACAACAGUUAUUUUCAAGAAGUUAGAAAUAAUUUUAGCAUAUCUGUAUUUACAAAUCUAAUAAAACUUUAUUUUUUGGGAACAACACAAGAAGAUGUAAAAGAACCUGCAAUAUACUUUCAUAAGUUAGAACAAUUGAAAUUAUGUAACCUUUCAUAUAUAAGGGAAUAUGAACAAAAAUUUAGGAAAUAUGCAAUCCUUGCUAGAGUAGACAGAACCCCUGAAUAUUUAAAUAAAUAUAUAUUAAAAAUACAAGGAUCUGUAGGACUUAGACUAUGGAAUGAAUUUACAACUUCCGAGUAUAAAAAUUCUCCUUAUAUAGGUGCUAGAAUAGAAUUUGUAAAAAAUUGGUUAGAAAGAGAAUGUGUAAGCAUAGGAGAAAGAAGUCAAAUAAAGAAACAAGACAUAAAUCAACAACUUUGUAGAAAAUUACAUAUAGGAGAAAACCUAGAUAUAGGAUGUAGAGAAUAUAAGUUUAGAAAACCUAAGAGAUAUAAUAAAUUUUUAAGAAGAAAGUCAAGAACCUUUUAUAAAAAAACGACCAUAUUAGACAAAAUAUAAAAAACCUGGAAAGUUUUGGAUAAAAAGAAAAAGAACCUCAGAAAGAAAAAGACAGUGUAAAUGUUAUUUGUGUGGUCAGGAAGGCCAUAUAAGACUUGAAUGUCCUGAACUUAAAAAACUAUUAAAUGAACGAAAUAUAAAAACCCAAGUAAAAAUAAACCUAAUAAAUGAGUAUCAGCUAGAUAGUGAAGAAGAAGAACUUAUCAAUGAAUUAGACUUUGAAAGUGAAAAUUCAAGUGUAUAUAGUAUAGAAGAUAGUGAAAAUGAAAAAGAAGAAAUUUGUAUGAUUAUUGAAAAAGAGGAAAAUCAAGCUAAGAAAACCCCUUUAAAUUUAGAAAACCUUGUACAACCUUUAGAAAGUAAAAUAAAACCUUAUAAUAUAUGGAAAGAUUUACAAAUAAUAAUCAAAGGAAAAUUUUCAAAAGAAGAAGAAGAUAGUUGUUCAAAACCUAAGGACACAGAAGAACCAAAAAGUCCUGUAAAAGAACCAAUGAAUCCUGAAAAAAUAACCAUACAAACAAUAGAACAAGUAAAUAUGGCAAAUAAAGUUAAAUCUAUUAUUUUUCCAACAACAAUUAAAUUAAAAACCAUAGAAUUAAAGGUAGACGCAAUGUUAGAUACUGGAGCCAGUAAAAACCUUUUAUUUGAAACCCUAGUCCCUCAAGAAGAUCAACAAACAUUAGUUCAACCAGUAGAGUUAAUCCAAUACAAUCAACAAAAACUAAUACUAACCAAGUAUAUUUCAAACGUACCAAUCAUAAUUAAUAACAUAACCUUAGUAUUGCCCCAAACUUAUCUUGUACCUACUAUAAGUUUAUAUCCUUUUAUUUUAGGUUUAAAUUUUGUACAUUCUUUACAAGGAGGGAUAACAAUACAAAAUAACCAAGUUAGUUUUCAUCCUAAAACCACAACAAUUGUUUAUACAAACAUGGAAAAUGUAUUAAAUAAAAAUCAGAAUGUAACAUCUCAUCAAAUUAGCAAAAUGGAGGCACAAAAGGAUAACAUAAUUAAUGACUACUCAGAACAAUUAAGAAAUGCAAAUAGAUUAAAAAACCUUAUAUUAGAAGCAGAAAAAAUAGGAAUUAUAGGGGAAGACCCACAAAAACAUUGGAAUAAAAAUAAGAAAACCUGUAAAAUACCAAUUUAAAACCCAGAUUUAACAAUAAAAACGGCAGAUAUAGCAUGUAAUCUUAAGAUACAAAGGAAUUCAAAAUUCAAAUAGAAGAACUAUUACAUAAUAAGCUCAUAAAACCAAGUUUCAGUCCCCAUAGAUCCUCAGCUUUUUUAGUUAGAAACCAUAAUGAAGAAAAACGAGAAAAAGUUAGGAUGGUUAUUAAUUAUAAAAGAUUGAAUGAUAAUACAUAUGAUGAUGCCUAUAAAAUUCAAAAUAAAGAUUCUUUAAUUAAUUCUAUUCAAGGAUGUAAAUAUUUUUCUCAAUUAGACUGUAAAAGUGGAUUUUGGCAAAUUAGAUUAGAAGAAGAUAGUAAACCAUGGACAACGUUUUCAUGUCCUUGUGGAUUAUAUGAAUGGAAUGUAAUGUCAUUUGAACUAAAAAAUGUUCCACAGAUAUUCCGACGAAUGAUGAAUAAUAUUUUUGAAAAAUAUUCUUUUGUUCUUGUAUAUAUUGAUGAUAUUCUUGUCUUUUCAUAUACUCUUCAGGAACACAUAAAGCAUUUAGAAUUGAUUUUUGAAAAACUAGUUAGUCAUGGAUUAAUAGUAAGUAAAAAGAAAUUGAAAUUAUUUAAGACUCAAAUAGAAUUUUUAGGAUUAGAAUUAGAGGAUGGACAAAUAAAAUUACAAGAACAUAUAGUACAAAAAAUAAAUAAUUUUCCAGACAAACUCGAAGACUUAAAAACCUUUCAAAGUUUUUUAGGAUUAUUAAAUUAUGCUAGGCCAUAUAUUAAAAACCUUAGUAGAUUAGUUGGACCCCUUUAUAGUAAAACAAAAAACACAGGGUAGAGAUAUUUUAACUAAGAAGAUAUUAAACUUAUACAGAAAAUAAAAGAACUUGUGAAACAUCUCCCAACCUUACAUUUACCCUUAGAAAAUGAAUAUAAAAUAGUUCAAACUGAUGCUAGUCAAACAGGAUGGGGAGGUAUACUUUUAGCAAUAACUAAUAUAGGAGAAGAAAAACUUUGUAGAUAUUGUAGUGGAACUUUUAAUGAUUAUCAAAAGAACCUUAGUUCUACAUACUUAGAAAUUAAAGCAAUAAUAUUAGUCUUAGAAAAAUUUCAAUUAUUUUUGAACCAAGAACAAUUUACUUUAAGAACCGAUUGUGAGAAUAUUAAAAAAUUCUUUGAAAACAAAAAUUCUUCAAAACUGUCCACCAAAAGAUGGAUAAAGUUUCAAAACUCUUUAAUUGAUUUCAAACCUAAAUUUGAACAUAUUAAAGGAAAAGAUAAUAUACUAGCAGACUAGUUAAGUAGACAAAUAAUUAAUAAUGUUGAUGAUACUAAUGAUUGAUUUCAUGAUUACAAGAACAUGGCUCAAAGAAAACCUACGAAAGCUAGAACCUUUCAAUAUGGAACCAUUUGUCUGAACGAAGUGUUAAAUCCAAAUAUGAGGUUUAACUCUUUAUUUUCUCAAAACCUUUUUGAAGAACAUAAGGUUAUUGUAGAUAAUUUUUUGUCUCUAAAACCACAAAGUUUUUCGAACCAAAAUUUAGAAUACGCUUAUGGAAAAACAGUGUUAGCUUUAGCCCAACAUUUACAAAACCUUCAAAACCAACUGAUUGCUUUAGAAACCCAAAAAUUCCAAAACCUCAAAAUCCAAGAAAAUCAAGAAAAACUGAUAGAAUAUUUGAAAACCAGUACAGUGUCAACCAAUCAAACCAGUUGUUCGAACAAUCAACUUGAAGUAAUUAGUUUAAUUAAGAAAUCAACUCUUCUGAUUGAACAAUAUGAAAAGCUUGUUGUUAAAAACAUAAUUGGAGUUGAUAACUACUCUUUCGUCAAAACCUUUUUCCUACAAAAUCAAUAUAACAAAGUAUUUAAAAAUCAAGAACUUUUGUAUAAACAUUUUAGAACCAAAAAUGCCGGGAUAAAAACAGGGUAUAUGGCAUAUCACGACCCUGAAUUUUUCUUUGUUAUAUAUUUAGCUUAUGUAAAUAUGUCUGUUAUAAAUAUAGAAAAUUUUGAUUUAGUACCACAACUCAUGGAUCAGGGAAUUUUAAAAAAUGUUUUUAUAAACCAUAUAUCUCAAAUCCCUAAAAAUUUCCUAGAAAAAUUGAAAGAUAUUUUAACUUAUUUUUUUAAAACCGAAAAAUAUAUAGAUAUUUCUUUUGAAACCAUUUCACCUUUAUUUCAACCCGAUGGAUCAGUAGUACCAGCCUAUCAUCAUGUAUAUAUAAAACAUAAUAAAGAACAACUCAUCCCUCGAUAAGAACCAGAAUGGGAAAUGAUCCGUUUAGAUGAAUUUCCAGAAUUUUUUACUCACUUUAGAGCUUUUCAAAUCUAUGAUCUUAGACCAACCCGGAAUAAAUUAUUUCAUCUCAUUGGUUAAACAAAAACCAUGUCUAUAUGGAGAGUAAAACCUUUAGAACACAUUAUUGUUCCAAAACCUUUUAUUACUUUUGAAGAACAAGAUUUUAUAACCAAACUCAGUGUAGAUAUACCGGAACCAUCUUCCUACCUCAGCGAUGACGCAUUAUUUUGGGACAACCUGGACGAUGAAAGUUAUCAUAAUUUACAAAAUGCAAUGGAAGGGUGAUGUUAGCAAUGACGACAUUGAGGCAGUAAAUGCGUCUUCAACUACAAAAAUUCAAUGUGGCAGUACAAGUUCAGAAGCAGUAAAGACAUCUACAGGCCACGUAUUAUGCAUGUGAUAAAAAGAGAGAAGAAAAGGACAAGAAAAAAAGACAAGAAGGAAGAGAAGAACAGGUGAAUAAACAAAAGUCAAAAGUCUCAGAAGUCUUUUAUCAUCUUUGUAUUUAUUUUAUACCAAACCUCUAAACACCGUAAAUAUUUUUCCUACCGUCCAACCACUUGAAUUUAAUUCUCACCUGUAUUGUCACCUGUCACUUGUAAAUACUUUGCCUAUAAAUUAGUGGUAGUAAAAGAAAAGAAGUGUGCUCGAGAAAGUGUGUCCGAAGGUGUGUGCAACAUAGUGUAAAGUUGUCUGUGAAAGAAAACUGUAUCUUCAACCUUGUACAUUUAUCAUCAAUCAAUAAGAAAGUAAGAAUUAAUUUUCUGUUAAAUUUUUGCUUUCAUUUAGAAUAUAUUUUAUUAUGUAUUUUUCUUACCCUUAGAAAGUAUUUUUUUAAAUAGUUUUUUAACAAUAUUUUUCUUUAGUUAUAAUUUAAAAUAGAAAAUAAUGCUAAUUUUCAAUUAGUUAUAAAUAAAAUAAAAUUUAAAAACAAUGAAAAAUCUAAAUUAUUAAAAUAGAAUUAUUAUAGUUGCAUGAAUAGUGGUGCAAUAAAGACCAAAAAAGCUUAUGUGAAAGAUCAUUGGGUGUUUUAGUCCAUUAUUAUUUUAUAUCCUUAAAAGGUAAUAUAUGGAAAUUUAAAGGGCAUAUUGGUCUCUUAACAUCUUAUAUCAUUUCCAUUAAUUAUGUAAGUUAUAUGGACCAAAUGUUAAUUUUUGAACUCAAUUGGACUCAAAACACAAUUGUCCCUUUUAUUUAUACAUUCUUCUGGCAUUGACCACGUGUUUAGGAUGUGUUGCACUAAAAUCUCAUGAUAAACUUGCAGUUCAAAAUCACAAACUAGAUGUAUGUAUUAGAAACAGACCAUAUUGGGUCAUGCACAUUCUUCGUCAUUUUCUAUUUCUUAGCAACAUAUAUGACCAAAUGAAAUUAUUAUACCCUAAUUAUAUUUUUUUAACUAGGUGAUAAAGAUAAUUAAAAUAUUAUUAGAAAAAACAAUCAUAUAGGUUUAAAUAGAAUUUCACACUUAGCCGUAUGAUAACAAAUUUUGUCAAUUAAAUAAAUACAACUUAAAAUAACAAAUUAAAUAAAAAAAAUGAAUAGUUCAAUUUUAAAAUUUUUACUCCUACAAAUUCACUAAUGAUUAAAAAUAUUGCAUUUAAAAAAAAAAAAACAAAUCACUUUUUGCUUUCACAGUCUAUAUGACAUUCCAACCUUAGAUCCCAUAGUUUGAGUAAGUUUGAGGCUAGAUUUGAGACAACCCAGUGAUACUACUUCGGUUAGUUCACACAAAUUCAAUAGAUUAUCACAUAACUAGUGCAUGCAUUAUCUUGCCUAGAAUAAUAUCUUAAUAUAACUUGGGCAAAAUCAGAGAGAAGUGGUGUUUAUUGUAGUGAGAAAUCAGAGGGAAAUCAUUGAAUGAUUUAUAGGUUGUGAAAUUAGAGAGAAAAAGAUGAGCUUUGCUGGUUUGAAAUCUAGAGUCUCUGAAGACAAGCAAAGAGCAAGAUUAUGAGAAAGGGUAACUUGAGCCUCAAAAAUAUGUAAAUAUAUAAAUUUGGCAUCUAUGAAAUCGGUCAGGCCAUAAUCAACAUGUACAGUCACAACUUUUUGUUGAGACAUGUGCCUCUCAGAACAUUUGAAGUUAAGAUGUUUGUCUUCAAUUUGAUUGCUCUUUGUGACUUUGAGAUUCUCAUUCCUUUUGAUGUAAAAAAAAGAAAAAAAAAAAAAAAGAAUUAAAAGAUGUAGGGUAAAAUGUUAAAUAGUGUGAGUUUGAAUUAAUAAAGUUUUAAUCAAAAUUGGAAAUUAAGGUGAAGUAUCUAAUUUGCCUUGAUCACAAAGGAAGCAAAGAUUGACCAAUCAGAGCUUUGAGUCUUUCACUAAUCAUAUGAUGGUUUCACUUUUAAUUGUUUGAGAUAUUCCAUAUAGAUAUCCAUCAAACCUAAGGAUAAGACAUUAAAUUGUGUAAUUUUUGUAUAAUGAACUAGUUCACAAAAUGUUUAAUACUUCAAAAGUGAUAACUUACGAAGUAAAGAAUCAAUCCCAACAACUUUAGUUAGCAAAAUAAUGUCGUAAUUCUAUUUUUAACUCAUUUGAAAUACUUCUCAAAACAAUAUUCCGAAGGACAAAAAAAAUUGAAUUUAUAAUGUAGUUUCCUACAUAAUUUGAUUUCUUAUUCUUGCUUCGAGAAUCUAUCUCUUUUUUACACCAACAAAUAUGUAUAGUACAAAAUAAAAUAAAGUGUGAGGCACCGCUUUAAUCAGAAUAAUUAAUUGAAAUGAAAUGUUUGACUUGCCUUGAUUAAUAAGGACUUUCAUGGCUGACCUGAUAGAGGUUGGGCUCUUAAUGUCAUCCAUUCAGCAAUGUAUCAUACCCUACCAAAGCUUGAUCAAGUCUAAGGCUAAGCUGUAAUUGGUUUAGCUAGGAAAAAAAAAGAGAAGAAAAACGAGAUCAUUAGAAAGAAUUUUCAGUCCCUUUAAAUCACUUAGCCAUAUAAUAAAGGAUCGUAGCUCACAAAAAACUUGAGAUAAAUGUUUAGUAUCUUCUCCAGCAUAUCCAUUCAACAAAUUUGCAAAAAAGCUCCAACCGGUUGUGCAUAUGGUCCUCUUCAUCAUCUUGGGCAUCAACAACAUUACUGUCAAUAUUCUGUGUCCAUUGGAGAAUCGCUAUGCUCAGUGCACUGUGUACAGUCAUAGCUUGUUUGUGCAUUAGAAUUAGCAUCUUCUGCUGCUGAUCUGGUAUCACAACUUCUCUGCUCAUCAUUGUACUCUAUCAUUGUCUGAUGGUCGCGCUUGGUCGCUUCUGGGUUGUCACAGCUUCUCUGAGCAUCAGUACUGGUAUCUUCUGGGAUGUUUCUGUUGAUAACAUCACCUGUAUAUAUAAGAUGGAACCCCCACUCUUUCACUUCGACUGGUGUACCGUCAAAGCUACGAAAUGAAGCCUUCAAACGUCUCCAUUCGUUUGACCAAUACUGGUUGUUAAUAGCAACCUUGGGAUAACAAGUCACACACAUUUGACUUGAUUCACCACAAAUUCGGCAGCUAUAAAACAGGACAUCAUCCACGUCACAGCAUUCAGAUUGAUCACCACAGAUAUUGAGUUCGCAAUUCAACCCAUCACAAGCAAUAGGAGUAAAAACAGAGUAGAAAGCAAAUCCUAAGAAGUCAUUAUUUCUGUACCAAUCCAUAGGAAGCUCUAUUGUUAUUUGAGACCCUUUUUUUUGCUGGCUUGUCCACUCUGGAAUUCCAUUAUUUCCCGAAAUUACAACUCUGAUUGCCUUAAUCCAAUAGAAGCCGCAUUCAAAUUCCUGCACAGAAGUACAGUGUUAAUACUCUGUGUUCAUAAGGAAAAAGGGCUGAAUGUUAUGAAAAUCAUACCUCAAUUGUUGAUUUAAAGCAUUUGAACAGAGAAAAACCAAGUAGACUUGAUGGACUUGAUAAAGUUUCUAAGCAUGUGCAACUGUGGACUUCUAGAACUCGUAAACUUGGCAGAAGCUCUGGAACUUGUAGAAGCCUCUGGCAGUGACUCAAGUCAAGGACUCUCAGUUUGGAAAGUUGAAUGAUGCCUGCAAGUAUGCUACUAAAACAGUCCAUGCUUAGAUUUAGACCUGAAGCGUGCAAACACUCUAAACAUUGCAAACUCCUCACGUUCUCGGGAAAUUCCUCAAGUUUUGUACAGAAACUGACAUCUAGAAUUUUGAGAGAACUCAAAUUACAAAUGGUCUCUGGAAGACUCACAAGGUUGGUGCAAUCUGCAAGAUUCAAACAUUGAAGCCCUCUUAAAUAUUGAAUUGACGCUGGUAGUUCUUCUAUAGCAGUUCCAUCUAAAUGAAGCUUUCUUAAAUUUUCCACAUCCUCAAGGAUUUCUGGAAAGCUCCUUAAUCAUGAACAGCCUGAGCAGUCGAGAGUUGUAAGGGAUUUCAACUCACAUAUGCUACUGGGAAGAUGCUCAAGGUUUUUGCAUUCUCGCAAGCACAAGCUAUCAAGUUCUAAGGGACACUCAAUAGUGGGUAGUUCAUUGAUGGCAUUUCCCUUUAAACAAAGCUUCCGUCUGGAUUGCACAUCCUCUUAACAUUCCUGGCAAAUGGUGGGUAUCAUUGCUUUACCAUUGUUCUUUUCAUGAUCAUGGGCAUAUAUAAGAUGGAUCCCACACUCUUCCACUUUCAUUGCUUUACCACAUAAGAAGCCACAAAAUGAAGCGGUCAACUGCCUCCACCUCCGUUUAUUUGAGUGAUACUUCUCAAUCUCCACCUUGGGAUAAUAAAUCAUCCACAUAUUUGGUACAACAUCAUAGCAGUGAAACGUGGGAUAAAACCGGAGUUCAUCCACAAACUGAGAUUCAUGAGCACGCAAAGUCAAACCACACUUGAGGGAAGUUGCAUAAUUCUCCAGUGUCUCCUCAGAUUCAUUAUCAAGUGGAUCAUAGAGAGAGUACAAAACAAAACCCAACAAGUCGUUAUUUUUAUACCAAUUUUCAGGAAGCUCUGCUACCACUUUAGCUCCCUUUUUGUGAUGGCUUAUCCAUUUUGGAAUUCCACAACUUCCUGAAAUAAUAAGAUGUACUCGGGCAAAACGGUUUUCUCUAGGAUAAAUCCUGCAUUCAAAAUCCUGCACAAAAUUUAAUUAACGCGUAAAUCCCCAUGUCUCCAUAGAAAAAGUUUUGUUCUAUGAAUAUCAUACCUGAAUCAAUGAUUUGAAGCAGUUGAAUAGAGAAGACCAGAGUAGACCGGAAGAAGUUUCCAGCCGUGUGCACUCAUGUACAUCUAAGACACGCAAACUGGAUGGAAGCGCUGGAAUUUGUCGAAGCUCUUGACAGUGACCCAAGUCAAGGAGUCUCAGCAUAGAAAGUUGAUUGACCCCAGAAGGUAUGCUCCUAAAAAGAUUCCCGGUUAGAAGUAAUUGUCGCAGAGAUGAUAGGUGGCAAAUUUCAGUGGGGAUUCCUCCUUCAUCUAUACUGCAGAAAGAUAGAUCUAACACUUCCAACGAGUACAAGCAGCAAAUAUCACUCAGGAUUUCUCCUUGUAUUAGCUUUGACCCAGUUAGAAUUAAAUUCUUUAAGGAGCAUAAACCCGACAAAGAAAGCAAUUGGCAACAUGUUGAAUUUAAGCCACAAGCACGGAGAUGCUUCAAGCUUUGCAGCCUCCCUAGGUUUUGUGGCAAUUUGUGGAGUUUUGAACAGUAACUGACAUUGAGAACUUCAAGAAAGCAUAAAUUACAAAUGCUUUCUGGAAGAGUCACAAGGUUUUCGCAGCGGUCCAGAUUCAAAACUUCAAGCCUAUUCAAAUGUUCGAUUGAUGAUGGUAGCUCUUUUAUAGCCGUUUCGUUCAAGUGAAGCUCCCUUAAGUUUUCCAUAUUCUCCAAGAUUUCUGGAAAGUACUGUAAUUGUGAACAGUGAGAGCAAAAGAGAGAUUUUAGGGAUUUGAACUCCCAAAUGCUUGUUGGCAGACUCUCAAGGUUUUUGCACUCUCGCAAACAUAAGGUAUCAAAUUCAGAGGCAUGCUCAAUGGGUAGUAGGCUGAUUGUCUGACCCUUUAAACAAAGCUUUCGGUGUUCCACGUUCCUCUGACAAUCCAAGCAUCUAGCAUCCACAUCCUCAGUCUGUACUACUAUUGGAUCUUGGGAGUAUAUAGGUUGGAGCCCACACUUGAGCACCUUAAAAUGACUCUGAGGGUCCUUAAAUGUAGCCGCAAGAUACAUGAAUGGAUUGGUGGGACCGCUCUCCAGAAUAGCAGCCUUGGGAUAGAAUAUCACCCACAUUUGUUCUGAUACACCUCCAUUAUGGUAGCAUUUACAAGUAGAGCGAAAACUGAGAUGUCGCACACACAGGGAAGAAGAUCCAUAUCCUUCACUCAAUGACAGUUGACAUUGUAACUCAGUGGAGAUUGAAGAUUCAGCUUCAAGUAAAUCAUCAGAUUCAUUCUCCAAUGUAUGUGCAAAAUCAUUUUCUGGUAUAUCCUCACAUUCAUCGAGUGGAGCAUAAACACAGCAUAUAGCAAUCCCCAAGAAGUCAUCAUUUUCAUAACAAUUCUGAGGAAGCUCCAUUGUGAUUCGAUAUCCCUCUCUCUGAUUCCUUAUCCACUUGGGAAUUCCACUGCUUCCCGGAACAACAAUACAGAUUCCAUCGCCAAUGUAGUCGGAAUUAGGGAGAAAUACUCCAUUUGAACUCUUCUCGUGUUUCAAAUCCUGCACAAAUGGACAAUGUAAAUCUAGUGGGUCUGUGUCAUUAUGUGAGUUUUUAUGAGAGAGUUUGUUAUCAGUUUUCGAUAAAUUGAUUCCCAGUUUUAACUUUCUUUGAUCUAUGCUCCUGAAUCUACUUAAUAUCCCUUUUAGAUGAUGGAUAAUCAAUGAACAUGAAAGUGAGUGACAAGAUUAAGUGUGAAAACUGGAAGUGAGGGGAAACUGAAACUGGAAAGUGAGUAGAAUAAGCAGAUCUCUUCUUCACUUGCAGUAGCUCCUUCUCCAUUCAGAUUCAGAGAUCUUAGAAUUGUAGCUUCAACUUAACUCUCAGAAUCUUAAAGACAAAGUUCGCUCAAGUUUCAAAAACUCAUAGAAAAAUUUCGCCUCAUGUUUCUCUUAAUCCCAUGAGGCGAGAGACAUGCAGCACAUGCUUAUUGGCUUUUUUCCAUGCAAGUUUCAAGGUGGAGCAUCUAAUGAACUAAAACAUUCCUUCAAAUCCUAGUGGAAAUUCACACUAGAAAUUUCAGAAUUUGCUAAAGAAAGGUUUAAUUCAUUUUAUCCAUGAAUAAAAAAUCAUGUGAGGGCAUUUUAACUUCCUAAUAAUUAUUAUAUUAAACUAUAAUUCUCAUUAUUUAAACUCGUGAUCUGUAACUUUAUCAUCACAUUUUGAAGAGACUUUCGUCAUCUCUUCCAUGAAUUAAUUGAUGUUUAAGGAGGUAUAAUAAACUUUUAAUUGAAUUUAACAUUAUUUCUAUCCUUAUACUCAUCUUAAACUCUAAUUUUUUUUUUUUACUCUUAUCAAAAAAAAUAAAAACUUAACAGAAAAAAAAAAUUUCAAUUACUCCGUGUUCACGAGGAAAAAUGGCUGAAUGUUAUGAAAAUCAUACCUCAAUUGUUGAUUUAAAGCAUUUGAACAGAGAAACACCAAGUAGACUUGAUGGACUUGAUAAAGUUUCCAAGCAUGUGCAACUGUGGACAUCUAGAACUCGUAAACUUGGCGUAAGCUCUGGAACUUGUAGAGGCCCCUGGCAGUGACUCAAUUCAACGACUCUCAGUUUAGAAAGUUGAAUGAUGCCUGCAAGUAUGCUACUAAAACAGUCCAUGCUUAGAUUUAGACCUGAAGCAUGCAAACACUCUAAACAUUGCAAACUCCUCAGGUUCUUGGGAAAUUCCUCAAGUUUUGUACAGAAACUGACAUCUAGAAUUUUAAGAGAACUCAAAUUACAAAUGGUCUCUGGAAGACUCACAAGGUUGGUGCAAUCUGCAAGAUUCAAACAUUGAAGCCCUCUUAAAUAUUGAAUUGAUGCUGGUAGUUCUUUUAUAGCAGUUCCAUCUAAAUGAAGAUUUCUUAAAUUUUCCACAUCCUCAAGGAUUUCUGGAAAGCUCCUUAAUCGUGAACAGCCUGAGCAGUUGAGAGUUGUAAGGGAUUUCAACUCACAAAUGCUACUGGGAAGACGCUCAAGGUUUUUGCAUUCUCGCAAACAUAAGCUAUCAAAUUCUAAGGGACACUCAAUAGUGGGUAGUUCAUUGAUGGCACUUCCCUUUAAACAAAGCUUCCGUCGGGAUUGCACAUCCGCUUGACAUUUCCGGCAAAUGGUGGGUAUCAUUGCUUUACCAUUGUUCUUUUCAUGAUCAUGGGCAUAUAUAAGAUGGAUCCCACACUCUUCCACUUUCAUUGCUUUACCAUGUGAGAAGCCACAAAAUGAAGCCGUCAACUGCCUCCAUUUAUUUGAGUGAUACUUCUUCUCAAUCACCACCUUUGCAUAAUAAAUCAUCCACAUUUUUGGUACAACAUCAUAGCAGCGAAACGAUGGAUAAAACUGGAGUUCAUCCACAAACUGAGAUUCAUGAGCACGCAAAGUCAAAGAACACUUGAGGUAAGCUGCAUCAUUCUCCAGUGUCUCCUCAGAUUCAUUAUCAAGUGGAUCAUAAAGAGAGUACAAAACAAAACCCAACAAGUCGUUAUUUUUAUACCAAUUUUCAGGAAGCUUUGCUACCACUUUAGCUCCCUUUUUGUGAUGGCUUAUCCAUUUUGGAAUUCCACAACUUCCUGAAAUAAUAAGAUUUACUCGGGCAAAAAGGCUGUCUCUAGGAUAAAUCCUGCAUUCAAAAUCCUGCACAAAAUUUAAUUAACACGUAAAUCCCCAUGUCUCCAUAGAAAAAGUUUUGUUCUAUGAAUAUCAUACCUGAAUCAAUGAUUUGAAGCAGUUGAAUAGAGAAGACCAGAGUAGACCCGAAGAAGUUUCCAGCCAUGGGCACUCAUGUACAUCUAAGACACGCAAACUGGAUGGAAGCGCUGGAAUUUGUCGAAGCUCUUGACAGUGACCCAAGUUAAGGAUUCUCAGCAUAGAAAGUUGAUUGACCCCAGAAGGUAUGCUCCUAAAAAGAUUCCCACUUAGAUGUAAAUGUUGCAGAGAUGAUAGGUGGCAAAUUUCAGUGGGGAUUCCUCCUUCAUCUAUUCUGCAGAAAGAUAGAUCUAACACUUCCAACGAGUACAAGCAGCAAAUAUCACUCAGGACUACUCCUUGCAUUAGCUUUGACCCAGGUAGAAUUAAAUUCUUUAAGGAGCAUAAACCCAACAAAGAAACCAAUUGGCAACAUGUUGAAUUUAAGCCACAAGCACAGAGAUGCUUCAAGCUUUGCAGCCUCCCCAGGUUUUGUGGCAAUUUGUGGAGUUUUGAACAGUAACUGACAUCGAGAACUUCAAGAAAGCAUAAAUUACAAAUGCUUUCUGGAAGAGUCACAAGUUUUUUGCAGCCCUCCAGAUUCAAAACUUCAAGCCUAUUCAAAUGUUCGAUUGAUGAUGGUAGCUCUUUUAUAGCCGUUUCAUUCAAGUGAAGCUCCCUUAAGUUUUCCAUAUUCUCCAAGAUUUCUGGAAAGUACUGUAAUUGUGAACAGUGAGAGCAAAAGAGAGAUUUUAGGGAUUUGAACUCCCAAAUGCUUGUUGGCAGACUCUCAAGGUUUUUGCACUCUCGCAAACAUAAGGUAUCAAAUUCAGAGGCAUGCUCAAUGGGUAGUAGGCUGAUUGGCUGACCCUUUAAACAAAGCUUUCGGUGUUCCACGUUCCUCUGACAUUCCAAGCAGCUAGCAUCCACAUCCUCAGUCUGUACUAUUGGGUCUUGGGAGUAUAUAGGUUGGAGCCCACACUUGAGCACCUUAAAAUGAUUGCGAGAGUCUAUAAAUACAGCAUUAAGAUGCAUGAAUCGAUUGGUGUGACAGCUCUCCAGAAUAGCAGCCUUGGGAUAGAAUAUCACCCACAUUUGUCCUGAUACACCUCCAUUAUGGUAGCAUUUACAAGUAGAGCAAAAACUGAGAUGUCGCACACACAGGGAAGAAGAUCCAUAUCCUUCACUCAAUGACAGUUGACAUUGUAACUUAGUGGAGAUUGAAGAUUCAGCUUCAAGUAAAUCAUCAUCUUCAUUUAGGACUUCGUCACCAGAUGGAUUCUCCAAUGUAUGUGCAAAAUAAUUUUCAGGUGUGUCCUCACAUUCAUAGAUUGGAGCAUAAACAGAGCAUAUAGCAAUUCCCAAGAAGUCAUCAUUUUCAUAACAAUUCUGAGGAAGGCCCAUUGUGAUAUGAUAUCCCUCUGUCUGAUUCCUUAUCCACUUGGGAAUUCCACUGCUUCCCGGAACAACAAUACAGAUUCCAUCGCUAAUGUAGUCGGAAUUAGGGAGAAAUACUCCAUUUGAACUCUUCUCGUGUUUCAAAUCCUGCACAAAUGGACAAUGUAAAUCUAGUGGGUCUGUGUCAUUAUGUGAGUUUUUAUGAGAGAGUUUGUUAUCGGUUUUUGAUAAAUUGAUUCCCAGUUUUAACUUUCUUUGAUCUAUGCUCCUGAAUCUACUUAAUAUCCCUUUUAGAUGACGGAUAAUCAAUGAACAUGAAAGUGAGUGACAAGAUUAAGUGUGAAAACUGGAAGUGAGGGGAAACUGAAACUGAAAGUGAGUAGAAUAAGCAGAUCUCUUCUUCACUUGCAGUAGCUUCUUCUCCAUUCAGAUUCAGAGAUCUUAGAAUUGUAGCUUCAACUUAACUCUCAGAAUCUUAAAGACAAAGUUCGCUCAAGUUUCAAAAACUCACAGAAAAAUUUCGCCUCUUGUUUCUCUUAAUCCCAUGAGGCGAGAGACAUGUAGCACACGCUUAUUGGCUUUUUUCCAUGCAAGUUUCAAGGUGGAGCAUCUAAUGAACUAAAACAUUCCUUCAAAUCCUAGUGGAAAUUCACACUAGAAAUUUCAGAAUUUGCUAAAGAAAGGUUGAAUUCAUUUUAUCCAUGAAUAAAAAAGCAUGUGAGGGCAUUUUAACUUCCUAAUAAUUAUUAUAUUAAACUAUAAUUCUCAUUAUUUAAACUGAUGAUCUUUCACUUCAUCACGACAUUUUGACGAGACUUUUGUCAUCUCUUCCAUGAAUUAAUUGAUGUUUAAGGAGGUACAAUAUUUUUUAAUUGAAUUUAACAUUAUUUCUAUCCUUAUACUCAUUUUAAACUAUUAUAUUUUUUUUUUAUAGUUUUAUCAAAAUAAAUAAAAACUUAACAAAAAAUAAAUAAAGAUUUCAAAACAAACUUUAUAGAGUUAUCAACACUUAUUUACAUCAUUCUUUAAAAAAAAUUAUAAUUAACAAAAAUGUGAUAUAAAAAUUAUAAAGAAUAAAAUUUUUUGAAAAAUGUACUAGUUAUUUGAAAUCAAAAUUCCUAGUCAAUGAAUCGUCAAAAAACUGCAAUAGCUAUGCAAAUGAGAAAAAUAAAUAAAUUAAAAGUAAAAAAAGAAAUUAUCAAUGUCAAGAAUGAGAAACCAUUUAUUUCCUUUUUUUUUUGUAAACUUUUUUUUAUUCUGAUUGUAUGUAUUCAUUACAAUUUUUAAAUUAAUAAAUAAUGUUUUUAUCACAAAAUUUAAAAAUGGCAUCUAUCAAAAUUUAUAUAUUGUUAUUAGAUUUUUAUAAAUUUCAUUUAUAUCUUCAAAAUUACAAACUCCUUUCCAUUAUUAUUUCUUAUUUUUCUUAUUGAAAAUGCAUCUUUAUUCAUCAUUUGAAAGCAUAACACUUUGAAUCUUAGGAUGUACUUCUUUCUUCCUAGGCAUUGCACUCUCAUAGGACCCAUUAAAUCCAUAUGCAACAUCUCUAAGAUCCUAGAAGAAGAGAGAAUCAGUUUUCUCUCUCAUUCAUGCGAAUUCAUUUUCUUAGAUGGGACAGAUUUUAGGAUUUUUAGGUUUUCCUAAAUGGGAAGUGCUUUAACUAGUUCUUUAAUUGUAAUCCUAGACAAAUCAUUAGAGUUUAAAUGCGCUACCAUACAAUGCUACUGUCUUUGGAUGUAAAUUUCACAUUUUACAACUAUGUGCACUAGAUGAUAAGGAAGAAGUAGAGAGGUGCACAAAGGCAUAACAAAAAUUACCAAAAAUUUGAUUUCAUACCAACACACAUCCUUGAAUAGACACUGAUUUGGAGUAAAAUGAACAAAGCAUAUACAAUCACAAAUUUAAGUUGCAUUAAUUAAGUUUGCUUUCAAUCCAAUAUAUAGUAACUCCUCGAGUAUAGGUAAAUUUGGACCUUCUAUGGUACCUUUCACUUUCGAGUUGGUUAUAUGUAAUACAACCAUCCCUAAAUACAACCAAGCUUCCCUUUAAGGUUCAAACGUGGAGAAAAACCAUAAGUUCAUUAUUUCUUUAACCAUUCCCAAAUACAACCAAACUCCUUUUAUGAGUUCAAAAGUCGAGAGAGAUCCAAGUUCUCUGUCAUACAACUAGAGUAGCCACUCUCAAAAUCCACAACGUGUUUUUCUCUAGCUCUUAGACCCUAUGGUCAACUAAGGCUUUUUGGUUCUCCUUAACCUAGAUUUUCUUUCCAACAGACAAUUUAAAUCCUAUUUAAGAAUUGUUUUUAAAAUUAAUUUCUCAGUUCUUAAAAAUAGAAACCUAUUUUGUAGACUAAAACCAUGUUUGGCAACUUUUUGACAUAUUAUAGUUUUUUGAGAACUUGUUCUGAAAAUAAGGUUUCUCCUAAUAACAUAUUUUAAUUGCUUUCAAUUGUUUUCAUUUAUUUUGUAAGGUUGUUUUAAAAAAAUAAUGGUACAUAUAUAAAGAAUGAUGAAAAAUAAAGAACUAAAAGUAAAAGUUAUUUUUAAUAAAUAUUUGGAAAUACAAAAAAUAUAUUAAAAACAUUCUAAGUUUGUAAAUAGACUUUUAUUCUAGAAAACAUCAGACCAACUAUUUUUGAAUCAUGCAAAUUGGGCACACAUUUUCUAUGCCUAGUUUUCUGCCCAAGGCCCUGUAAAUGAACACAACCUCAAUUUUAAGGAGUUUCAAAACGAUGGUUGCUUUCUCGAAGGGGAGAGGAGUUUCGAAGGGUGGUAAGAGUUUGUUUGCAAUGGAAUCAAAGACAUUCGAAAUCCCCAUUGAAGGGAUUCGAGGCAACAGAUGGGAUUAUUCCGAAAAGGAACAAAGGCUUCUCCUCAUAGAUAAAAUUUGGUGAAAAGAGCUUCAGUUUUCUGUUGGAAGGGGUGGAAGACUAGUGCAGAGGAGAGUCAAGCUCGAGGCACCUUAAAGUUUAGGAAGAAGAAGGAAGAAAAUAUAGGUUGGAGUGUCGUUCAAAUGAAGCCGAUAGGUAUCUACUAUGCUCGAUGAGGGAUUUGGAAGCUAAGAGGUUUUGUCUAGUGUUUCCAGAAGGUAAAGGCUUAGUAGGAGGGUGGUUUCUGUUGGCUUAGAAGUUAAGGGCCCUUGGAGUUUCUACUCCAGCCUUGAGUAAAGGUGAUCUGGGUACUUCCAACUCUGAAAAGAAUGGUUAUAUGGCCAAAGGAAAAGAUAAAGGGAAAGGAGUGUAUGCAGAAGUCGUGAGAAAGGAGGUAGGGGAAUUAGGGGAUGCAUUGUGAGUGCAUGUUGGGGAUCGUGACCUGCUCAGUAGGGAAGAACAGCUUAGCCAUUGUUUAGUAGGAUGUUUUGGUGAUAGUGUAGAGGUCGUCCCUUCUUUGUCCUUAUUGAAGGAGUGGGCGUGUGAAAAGUGGUAUCUCAAGGGAGGUUUAUAAAUCUCCAAUUUGGGUGGAGCCCUUGUGUUGUUCGAAGUUGAAGAUAAAAGUUGAAGUGGAUUUGGUGCUUUUAAGGGGUAGUAGAUGUCUUAAGAAGAGAGAGUUUUUCCUGCAGAAAUGGGGACUUGAAGUUGGGUGUUUUAGAAAUGGGAGCCACCCUAAGGAAGUGUGGGUGAAAGUUGUCGGACUUCCACUUCACCUUUGGAGUAGAGAGGUGUUCAAGAGUAUUGGAGAAAGAUGUGGUGUUUCAUAGCUGUGGAUAAGGAAACUGCUUUCUCCUCCGAGUUGAUGUGGGCUCGUAUCUUGCUGAGAGCCUUUGGGAAGUUUAGACCAGGAACUUCACAAGUGGCAGUCGGGAAUUUUUGUUGGACGGUGAGUCUAUGGUGGAAAACUCCCCCAUGGUUCUCAAAGGUAGUGGCAAGGUUCGCCUAGUUUGAAAAUGAGAGACGAGAGAUCAGGGAUGAGGUUGGGGGUGAAACACGUGCCGAAGUUAGCGUGCAAUAUGUUCAAAAUUUUCAAAUUGAUAUGCAGUCUUGGGGGACAGGGGCGCAGGUUGUGUGUGGCAGAAGGAAAAGAAAGGAAGUAGUUGUAAUGGUUGCAAAGGGUAAGCUGCCUAGUGUAGCUGAUAUGGACUCUUCUUGCAGUGGGUCUGGGCCCAUAAAAGAAAAUGGGAAGGCUUUCAAAGGGAAUGGUUGUUUGGGCUUUAGUGGUGAAGUGGUUUGGGCCAAAGGCCCAUUGUCCGUUAGCCUUGAAGAGGCGAGCUUAGGUAAGUCUCCUAAGCCCACUUUUAAUAAGGCUGGCACAAGCUUUUUGGAGCGUCCCUCCUCAGCUAGGGCUCCAUCUAUUCCCGCAGGGGGUGUUGGGGGACGGAUGCGAAGCUCUUGGCUGUUGAAGUUGCAGUCACCGCGGAGUUGCUGCCACAUCGUCGGAGCGUCACUGACAAGGCUCUGAUGGAGGAGGCUUCCAGGUAUUAAGCUAUUCCCAAUUUUUCUUUGUUUUUAGGGCUUCGGGAAUCCUCUUCUUCUUCUCUCUGGGGCCACACCGAAGUUGUAGGGGUGUCGAAGGGGUUUGCUUAUGGAACGGAAUGGGAGUUGGGUCGGUUUCCACCGAGUGUGGUGCGGAAUAGAGCUGAGUCGACUUUAUGAGGCUGGAGUGAGCCUUCUUGGGACUCGGUUGACGCUAAGAGAGUGAAUGGGUUAGCACUUGUCCCGAUGAGGUCGGACUUUACGCGCCUUUUUGAGAAAAGGAGUGUCUGUCACCUAGAAGAAGGGGGAUGUGAUGAAGGGUAAGGGGGAUGUGAUGAAGGGUGGAGUUCAAGCCGUCUUGCGGUGUUCAGUCGCUGCUUGGGUAUGCCAACGAAAGGCUUCGAAAAGGAAAUUUUGUACUUCUUAAGGAGAAUGACAGGGAAAAUUGAGUAAAAGGGUAAGAGAGGGGUGACUAGGAAGACAAGUUUAAAAUCUUCAAAAUCCAACAAGGAACUCAAGAAGCUGGAGUGGACUGUUAAAGAGGCUAAUGAUAGGGGUAAAAGGAAGAUUAUCAAGUCAGUCAUUAAAUCCCAAAGAGUGGACCUGGUUUGUUUACAGGAAACUAAAAUUAAAGAAAUGACUACAGGGCUUGUUCGUAGUCUAGGGGUGGGAAGAAAUCUAAAAUGGAGAGCAGUCAAUCCUAGGGGAGCAGCUAGUGGUAUUCUGUUGUUCUGGGACAAUAGACUGGUGGAGCUGGUUGGCUAGGAAGAAGGGGUUUUCUCAAUUUGGCGUUGGUUUAAAAAUUGCAUGGAUGGUGUAGUGUGGGUGUUCACUGGAGUGUAUGGGCCAGUAUGCAAUAGAGAUAGAGAGGAUUUCUGGAAGGAACUAGGGUCAAUUAAAGGGUUAUGGAGUGACCCUUGGUGUGUAGGAGGGGAUUUCAAUUUGGUAAGGUUUCCAAAAGAGCGUAGUAGGAGAGGUGGGCUUAUUGCUUCAAUGAGGAGAUUCUCAAAAGUGAUAGAAGAUUUGGAGUUGAGGGAUUUUCCUUUGACGGGGGGCUCAUUUACUUGGAGAGGAGGCUUGAAUAACCAGGCCCAGUCUAGGCUUGACUGGUUCUUAUUGACGAACAACUGGGAUAAUCUGUUCAAUGGGGCCAUGCAGGGAAUUCUCCCCAGACCUGUCUCAGAUCAUUUCCCGAUCCUCCUAGGAGGAGGGUUGACGAAGGGACCUUCCCCUUUCAGAUUUGAGAAUAUGUGGUUGGAGGAGGAGGGUUUCAAAGACAAGAUGAAGACAUGGUGGGGGAGUUUAAAAUUUACGGGGACAUCCAACUACAUUUUAAAUGCUAAAUUGGGGACUCUUAAAAAUAUUCUGAAGAUUUGGAAUAAAGAAGAGUUUGGGCUCUAUUGGGAUGAAAAGAAGAAAUGUGCAGCUUUAAAUAUAAAAGAGUGUGAAGCAAGAAAUGGAGCAAGAGUCCUACAAGUCUUGGGUGACGAGAGAAGAGAUUUUUUGGAGACAAAAGUCUAGGAAGUUGUGGCUGAAGCGGGAGGGGGGACAAUAAUACUAGAUUUUUUCAUAGGUUGGCGAAUGCUCAUAAUAAAAGAAUCUAGUUGUCCAAGUUGAAAGUUAAUGGCUAUUGACACUCAGAGGAAAAUAAUUUAAAAAAGUGUGGUGGGGGCGUUUCAAAAACCAUACUCAAAAGAAGAGGGGUGGCGCCCUAGUAUCGACAGGUCGUCCUUUAUAGGUUAGAUAGAAGUGAGGCUGAGGGGUUGGAGAAUCCUUUCUCGGAGGAAGUGGUGUUUGCAGCUCUUUCAGAUCUAAGCAAAUACAAAGCCCUAGGGCCGCAUGGUUUUACCAUGGCAUUUUGGUUUUUUUGGUGGGAUGUGGUGAAGGUUGAGAUUAUAGGCUUUUUUAGAGAAUUUCAUGAAAGGGGUAGAUUUGUAAAAUCUCUAAAUGUCACCAUCUUGGGUUUAGUCCGUAAGAAGGGAGGUGCUCAAGAUUUGAAGGAUUUCAGACCGAUUAGCCUUGUGGAGCCUUUACAAGUUGUUGGCCAAGUGUUGCCAAAUAGAAUCAAGAAGGUAAUGGGAAAAGUGAUUUCGGAACCCAAAAUGCCUUUGUGAAGGGUAGAUAAAUACUUGAUGCAGUUUUGAUUGCAAAUGAGGCUACGAAUUCUAGGUUGAAAAGCAGUCAAGGGGGUAUGAUGUGCAAAUUGGAUAUAGAGAAGGCCUAUGAUCAUGUCUGCUAAAAGUUCGUGUUGGCAAUGCUAAAAAAAAUAGGCUUUGGUGAGAGAUGGAUUAAGUGGAUGGAGUGGUGUAUCUCUAUUAUAAGAUUCUCUGUUCUUAUAGAUGGUUCUCCCUCCGGGUUUUUCCAAAGUUCAAGGGGUUUGAGACAAAGAGACCCCUUAUCCCCUUAUCUGUUUGUGAUAGUUAUUGAGGUAUUUAGUUGCUUAUUGAGAAGGGCCAUUAGUGGGGGCUUUAUAUUAGGGUGGAGGAUAAGAGGCAGGGUGGAGAGGGGAUUCUGAUAUCUCACUUGCUUUUUGCGGAUGACACCUUGGUGUUUUGUGAGGAGUCUCAGGAUCAAUUGACGCAUCUAAGCUGGCUUCCCAUGUGGUUUGAGGCUUGCUCAUGGUUGAGAGCUAACUUGGAGAAGAGUGAGCUUAUUCCGAUGGGGAGGGUAAAAGAUAUAGAAUAUUUGGCUUUGGAAUUGGGCUAUAAAGUGGGUGGUCUGCCUUCCUGUUAUUUGGGUCUGCCUUUAGGGGCACCCUUCAAAUCAGAGGUGGUAUGGGAUAGUGUUGAAGAGAGGUUUCGAAAAAGGCUAACUAUAUGGAAGAGACAACAUAUAUCAAAAGGGGGAAGACUCACCCUAAUAUGAAGCACUCUCUAGUUUGCCAGUUUACUUCAUGUCUCUCUUCUUUUUGCCCAAAAAAGUAAGGCUAAGGUUGGAGAAGAUUCAGAGGGACUUCCUGUGGGGAAGAGGAGCUCUUGAACAAAGGUCACAUCUUGUUAGGUGGAACUUGGUUUGUCUGGAAAGAAAGAAAAGUGAUUUGGGUGUGAGAAAUUUAGCUUUGAUGAAUAAAGCUCUCUUGGGUAAGUGGAAUUGGCGCUUUGCCAUUGAAAGUGAGGCUUUGUGGAAGCAAGCGAUCGGUCACAAAUAUGAUGUAAAGGAGGGGGGAUGGUGUACUCGGGCCGUAAGUGGGAGGCAUGGUGUAGGGCUUUGGAAAGCUAUUAGAAAGGAGUGGUUGGGUAUGUAUAGAAGUUUAGUCUAUCGCGUGGGCAGUGGUAGGAAAGUGAGAUCCUGGAAGGAUAAGUAGUAUGGAGAUGAGCCUCUUUAGGAGUCCUUCCCUUCUUUAUUUGCCAUUUCCUUGGCUAAAGAUGUUUGGGUAUCAGAUGUGUGGAAACCAGAUGGUGUAGAGGAUGGUUGGACCCCUCUUUUCUCAAGGGCGCUUAAUGAUUGGGAGAUUGAGAUGGUGGAGCAGUUUAUGCUAAAAAUCCAAGCCUUUAGGGUGUAAAGGGAGGACGAGGAUACAGUGGUAUGGACAGCAUCUAAAAGUGGAGGACUAGUAUUUGGAGAGCGUAUGUGCCUCCUAAGGUAACUUUCUUCGCUUGGGAAAGCAUCCUGAGGCAAAAUCUUAACUUUGGAGCAACUCCAUUGAAAGGGGUACUCUUUGGCAAAUAGAUGUUUUCUUUGCCUUUCUGAAGCAGAAAGGGUGGAUCACCUUUUACUUCAUUGUGUUAAGACACGGGCAUUGUGGAAUCUUCUUUUUUCCCUCUUUGGUGUGACUUGGGUUCUCUCUGGUUUAGUUAAGGAAACUCUCCUUGGUUGGCAUGGAGCAUUUGUGGGAAAAACCCGUAAAAAGGCGUGGCAAAUGAAUCAUUUAUCUAUAUUUUGGUCAAUAUGGAAGGAAAGAAAUUUAUUGGCUUUUGGGAAUGAGGUGUUUUCACUCCAAAGGUUGAAACAUUCUUUUGUAUGUAAUUUUUGAUCUUGGGUUAGGGUGUUUAUAGUUUUGAGCCCUUGUUCUCUUGUUAGCUUUUUUGAGUGGCUAGGCUCUAAGUAAGGGUAGGGGUUGUCGUUUCUUUCCCCUUUCUUGGUUUAGAGUAUGUGGGUUGCUUUUGUAUACUCCCUGUAUACUUAGAGGGCACUAGUUUGGUGUUUCCUCUUUUUGUUUAAUAUAUUUCUUUUUACCUAUCAAAAAAAAAAAAAAAAAACUAUUUUUGAGAACUUUUUUCAAUAACCGUUUUUUAAGAUUUAUUUUCAAAAAAAAUUCCUAAACAAAGCCUUAACCUUCAAGGAUCUAAAACUUUGCACUAAGUUUGGUGUUUUAUUGUUGGAUUUUCUUAGUCUUGCAAGCUUUAUGAUGAUCUUGCAAUAUUUUCUUUAAUUUACUAUUCAUUUUACCUGAGCAUUAAGUUUGGCUAAGUAUUGAAGAAUAACCUUGGCAUACAUUCAACUUCUUUUAUGGACAAAGGAAUGGAGCUAGAUCAGACUUUCUUUAAAUUUAGUCAAUUCUGAUUUACGUGACUCAUAAUCAGAUUGUAAAACAUUCAAAUUUUUUAACAAGGUACCUUGCUCAUUUUCAAGGUAAGAGAUUUUUUUCAAGCAAGGAAGUCUUCUCUCAUACUUCUUUUAUUCUCAUCCAACUUUCACAAUUUUAAUCUUAAGGCUUCCUUGGCAAUCUCAAAAGACAACUUUUCUUCCAAAUAUGUUGUAUCAUGAGAUGAACCUUCAAAAUUUUCAGAUUCAAGAUCAGUUUCAAAUUUAACAUUUUUCUUUUCAUUGCAAAGUGAUAUAGAAGGUAACAAGUAUAUCAACAAUUUCGUCAGGCUCAUCAUGCUCAAAAGACACAAAUAUCAUCAAUGUCAUGUGACAAUAAAUCAUAAUUAUGUUUAUGCAUGUUUCUAGCAACUUAAUGCAAUGAAAUUUGUACAUUCUUCAUCAAAAUCAUACCAAAUUACUUCUAUGACUUUAUCCUUUUGACAUUCAAGAAAGUGACCUUUCUUGACACAAUAGAAACUUUGAAUCAACUAGAUCUUUUUUGUGCUUUUUAAUCUUUUUAUCACAUUUCUUUUCCCUUGUUUAAUCAAAUAGGUUAUCCUUUGUUUCUGGAAGCUUUUUGAACUUUUUGAAACUUUAUCAAGCCUAUAAAUUUCCAAUAUUGGUCCUUUUUUAUUCCUAUUCUGAUUUAGAAGCAUGUUUAUCUACUCCUAGUGCAAUAUUAAUGUUUCUUUUUCUUAGGAACACUUGGAGUCAUCUCCAAUUGAAGGAAGCCAACUAUCUCAUCUGGCUUUAUUGAAUCAACAGUGUUCCAUUCCUCUAUUGUUAUGACCUUAGGUCUAAAACGAUCAAAGGGGAUCUUAACAGUUUUUCGAGUAACCUUGGAAUCAGGUAGAGGCCUACAUAGAUUGAAAGUUAGCAUUCACAAUGUCCAUGAUUUCAAUAAUAUAUUAAGAAAAUAAUUUUGUUGUGAUCAUUUGAAAUUCAUUACUUCACCUAUCCCAACUUUACAUAGUUUUACCUACCCUAGUGGAUAUACAUCCAAUCUCUAUUUAGCACCUUAUCAGGAUAUCAACAAAAUUGAACAGAACUCCAAUCUCUAUUAGACUUCAUUUUCAAGAAGUAUAUCAGUUGCACCUUGGAGUGAGUAUAAUUAUCUCCUUUGAAGUAUGGAGGUCUACCUAUAGAGGUUCCUUCUCAGAGAAUUUCCAUCUUAAGAGAAUAUAGUUUAUCCAUAUUGAGAACAUGAGCAAACAUGUUUUGACACAAUUUAUGAGUUUUUAAGAGAGUAUGCAAUGAACUUGAGAUCUCUUUUAGAUUAUCAAAUAACAUAUGCACAUGAAUGUGAUUGCGUGAUUAGCACAAGGUCAUAGACUAAAAUGUCUCUAAUGAAAUCUCAGCAAACAAGCACACAAAUAUUGCACAAGAUAUAACAUGAAAAAUCUCUAAGUGGAGAAAGGAAAAUAAAUAAAUAAAUAACAGUGGGUGCCUUUGUUGUUGCAAAUCCACUAUGAAUAUAAAUCCAGUUUUGCCUACAAGUCCUCCAAGAUCAAUCACCAAUCCCCUUAAGGAAUCCUCAAAGUGAUUAUUUCUUCAAUCCACACCUCGUUUUGAUAUGCUUCAAUACGGCUCAUCAUGUACUCACCACCAAUCUCUCACCAUAGCCUCCUUCAACUCUCUUCAAUUACCACGAGUUUUCUUCUGCUCUACUAAUUACAUUACAACAGAAUCACCUUCAUUAUCUCAUUGAAGUGAUCUCCAAAAACUAGAAAACAAAAAUUCCAUUUGCAAAGCAACUUCUUCAUAUAGAUUCAGAGAACCAAAAUAAGAAGAUGUUUUCACUUGUAGCAACAUCUUCAUGUAGAUUCAGAGAACUCAAAUUGUAACUUCAAAUUCACUCUUAGAAUCUCAAUUAAGGUAAAGCUCACAUUUCAAAAUCUCCCACCAAGAGUUUCACUUACUCUUCCUUUUUGAAAUGAGAGUAGAACCAACUUAGUGCCAAGGGACAUAAGGCACACUCUUAUUGGCCUAUUGUCAUGCAAAUUUCUAGGUGGAGGAGAAUCCAACUAACUAAACAAAUGUUUUUUCGCUUCUGGCCAUUUGUUUCUAUGGUCUAGAAAAAUAUGUCCUAGAUGAUUCCCAUUGUUUCAACUCUUUCAUGAAAAAUGCUUCUCAAAUCACUCACUCCAGUCUUUCAUUCACAUUACCUGUGAACUCCAAUCUGCAGUAGUGAAAUCCUAUCAAAAGACUUGGAUUGAGUUCCUGGUUCUCGGUUGCCUAGCUCUAGCAAACCAGGACUUCUGUUAGCAACCUGGAACAAGUAGCUUAUCCUUUCAAUCCCAUUUUCAAGCUCAAUUCCCUCCACCAGUGAAAACAAAUGGUCUUAUAUAAUCAACUCCAUUCACUCCAGGGCUAUACAGGAAACACUUGUGAGCUGGCAGGCAGUAGCUCCUCCCGACUCACCAUAUUUCCAACCCCAUUUGCUCCAUCAAAUUCAUAAGAAGCUAACAAAAUAACUAGCAUUAUAUAUCAUACAAUAUCUAUGCUAGUUAAUUUACAUGGAAAAUGCAAUUUCUACCCUAAAUAUGCCAACAUACAGGAAUACAUACAAUUUAUACAAACAUUGCACGCUAACACAAGAAAAUCAUACCUGACUUGCUGAUUUGAGGCAAUUCACCAGAGAAUGCAUAGGUGGCAAUGAGAUCCCAAUUGAGCUGUGACAAUCUAACAGUCGCAGACUUGAAGGAAGCUCUGGAAUUUGUGAAAGCUUCUUGCAGUGACUCAAGUCAAGGGCUCUAAGGUUAGAGAGUUGACUGAUACCCACAAGUAUGUCACUGAGGGUUCCUCCUUCCUCUGGACUGCACCGACUUAGAUUUAAUACUUCCAGUGAGGAUAGAUGGAAAAUACAAUGGAACACUCCUCCAUUUAGAAUGCAAUUUCCUAGACUAAAUUCUUUCAAUGCGUUCAAGCAGUUAUCACUCUUUAUUACUCCUGGUGUUAGAUUGCAUUGAUCUAAAUAUAGUUCCCUUAAGAGAGAUAAACCUGACAGAGAAGGCAAUUGACAACUAAGCGAAUUUAAAUAAAGAACCUCUAGACAUGGCAUUCUCUCCAAGUCCUCCGGCAAUCUGUCAAGUUUUGAGCAGCCUUCAAGACUUAGAACAACAAGAAAUCUCAAAUUACAAAUGCUGUUCGGGAGACCCUCAAGGUUUUUACAAUUAUCCAAAUUCAAGUAGCGAAGGCCUUCUAGAAGUUCAAUCGAUGAUGGUAGCUCUUUUAUAGCUGUUUCAUCUAAACAAAGCUCCUCUAGUUUUGCAAUAUUGCUCUUGAUUUUUGGAAAACUAGCUAGUUUUGAACAGCCAGUGCAAUGAAGAGUUAAAAGGUGUUUCGACUCAUGAAUGUCCCCAGGAAGACUCUCAAGGCUUACACACCCUAUAAAAUUCAAGGAAAAAAAAAGUUAGUUUAAUAACACUCUUAUAUGUGUGUGAACCUUAAGUAAAAUUAUACAACCUGAAAGAAUUAGUUCCUCCAAAUUUGGCACGUUUGAGAAAUUUGGUAGCUCAAUGAGUUGUUGUGAAUCGCUGAGAUUGAUGCGCCUUAAAUUUCUAAGACACUGGAACAAAAUAGAAUUUCUAUUAAUAAAUCAAUUUUAAAAAACUUUAAAAUAUUAUAAAAUAAAAGCACAAAUAAAUAAUAAUCAUACCAUGUUUCCUUUCCAAAGUAGUUUUAUGUUACUAUUGCCCAAUAUGAGGGAAACAAGAUUGUUCGCAUGAAAGUUUGAUGGUAGAGAUUCUAAAGAAUAUCCAUUCCAUCUAAGGUAUGUCAAGUCAUACGGAAAUACAAAAUCUUUAGAGAGUUGUACGUGAUUGUGGGAGAUGGAAAGCAAUCUAAGUCUAUGCAUCCUUUCGAAAGCUUUGGAUGUAAACUGUAUUUGUUCUGAUUUGUCCACAUGAAGAUAUAUCCCUUCGAUUUUUUCAGUCCCCUAGAUAAUAAGAGUAUAAAAUUAGAAAAGCGCAAUAAAUAUAAAUCCUUACUAAGGUGAUAAAGAUAAAUAACGUCUUGAACAAAACAUAUUUUCUAUAUAUAUAUAUCUUACCGUAUUUCUUUUUAAUACUCGAUAAAUAUCUAUAUGUCUCCAUAAUCUGCUCCUCUCUCCUGGCUCAUUAGGACAUUCUUGAUCAACAAUGCCCUUGCCCAUUUGGGCUAACAAAUCAUGCAUAUCUAUUCUGUUGUCCUUUGAAAUGGUUAUGAAACACCUAUCAACGAGAGCAUUUAUUCCACUUUCCGCAUUGAAUUCGGAAGCAUCCAAUAUUCUUGAAACUCUUUUCACAUCAUCUCCUCUAAAGAAACAUGCAAUGUCGAGAAAUAUCAUCCUUUGUGUAUAAUCCAAUCCAUCGAAACUUAUUUUAAGCACUUUUACAAUUUCCAUGUUAGGCACCUUUUCCAGCUUCUGCAAUUCACUUUUCCAAUCUGGUAGUCUCUUUCCAAAUAAUAGAGAACCCAAAACUUUAAGUGCUAAUGGAAGACCAUCAGCAUAUUGUACUACUUGAUGAGAGAGAUCUCCAUAACCUUCCUUCGGAUGAUGUUGUUUAAAGGCAUAACGGCAAAAAAGUUGAAGAGCUUCGUGAAAAUAUAAUUUCUCAACUUCAUACAUAUCAUUUACUUCAUGCCUAGUUAGCAAAUCUUUUUUCCUAGUAGUAAUGAUGAUUCUGCUUCCUGGACCAAACCAAUCAUGCUUUCCAAUUAAGUGUUCUAAUUGUGUCAGCUCAUCUACAUCAUCCAGAAAAACAAGAACCUUUUUUGAGGAAAGCUUGUCCCUUAUUUCUUUGAUACCUUCAUGAACAUCCCUUAAAACUAUUUUCCUCGUUGUCCUUAGAGUAUCAUUAAGAAGUUGUUGUUGUAACUUAAGAAGACCAGAAUUUUCUGUGGAUUCUUUUCUGACAUCUGUGAGCAAGCUAACACUUUCGAAUUGAUUUGAGAUUCGGUUAUAAAGAGCAUUGAUGAUGGUGGUCUUGCCGAUACCACCAAGCCCAUAAACCCCGACCAUGCGAACAUCAUUCAACUCAAUCUUUAACAAUGAUAUUAGUCUUUCCAAACGAGAAUCCAUUCCAACAAUGUUCUCGUUAACAACUAAAGUCUUAGGGAAGCUUCUAAGGACGUUCUCAAUAAUUUCAUCAAUAAGCUCUGAUUCGUACCUGCCAAUUGCAUUAGGAUGAGUUGCAAAAAACAAUAAAUUAUAUGAAAUAAAUUUAAUGAUGCCUAGUUUUCCAACUUUAACUUAAUAGGGCUAAAACGAAUUGAAAUUAAAAUAAAAUAAACCACAUCUAACAAAUUACGUAUCAGUACAAUUUCAUUAUUCUAUACAAUUGCUCAUGUAUAUGAUAGAAAUAAGGGAAGAAAAUACAAAAUAUGAAUUGGAUUAUCAAAAGCGGAAAAAAAAAAAAAAACUAAAAUAUUUUUGUGUUAGCUUAUACUAUUCAAUCUUGUGGAAGGUUCAAAAUAAAGUUGAGUUGUCUAGAACAUUACUACCCUAUUUUGAUAAGGGAUUCCAUCAUAGGAUCAACUGCUAGUCUGCAUCCAAGCUUUUUAAUCUAAUGAUUUUACUACUGAUUAGACGGUCAACAUUACUAUCUUCUAUACUUGCAAGACUUUCUCUCACCAUUUAUUUAGAUAAAUGUCUCUUGCUGUUCCAUAUGUUGUAUUUUGCAUUUAUUUUUGUCUCUAGCUGUAUGAACAAAAAUUUUUGAAAACCGUUUAAUUAAAAAAUAACUUUCAUGAAUUAAUUAAAAAUAUUUUAUUUAUAAUUUUAAUUCUAUUGCAUGAAUGAAUUAAGAAAACAAAUUUACAUCAAUUUUAACCUAAAAUAAUUUAGUAUAUUCUUUAUGAAUCAAUAAAAUAGAAUUUUGUUUUUAAGAAAUUGUAAUAUUAUGGUAUCAAGUUUAAAAUUUUAAUGAACAGAUCUUUAUUUUAUAAAUAAUAAAAAUGAAUAAAAAAUUAUAAAAGUUUAAAACUCACUUAGCUUUAAAAAUUAUAAAAAUGAUAUAAAUAUUUUUUAUAUCAGCAGACAGAGAAAAGGAGAGUACUUCAAAUGACAAAUGAAGAGAAGUUACAAUUACCUGUUCGUCGCAUCAUAUCCGGCUAGAUUGCUUGCUUGCCUCAGGGCAGUCUUCCAUUUCCUUAUCUUUUCCUUUCUCUCCUCCUCUGCAUUCUUCUCAUGAUGGGUAAAUGCUUCUCCGUAAAUCUCAGUUUGGUUCCGCACUUCAGACGGAUCCACAUGAUAGAAAAUUGGGAUAACUACCAUUUGUUCCCUUUCCUCUUUGCAUUUCAUGAUCUUGACAAGCUCUUCCAGACACCAUUUGGAACGAGCAUAGGUUUCUGAGAAGACAACAAUGGCACUCCUUGAUUCCUCAAUAGCUUUUAAGAGCUCUGGUGCAAUCUCUUCACCCCUUCGAAGUUCUUCAUCAUCUCUAAAGGUUCUAAUACCGCUAUGAAUCAAAGCCUUGUAGAGAUGAUCAGUGAAGUUUCUGCGAGUAUCUUCACCUCUAAAACUCAAAAACACAUCGUAACUCCAUUGAGAAUGGGAAGUGGAAGAAGAAGAGGCCAUGGUUGAACAGAAAUUGAAAGAAAAAUAAGGGUCUUUGGGUAUUUAGUGGGUUGAUUCCCUUGGCCUUAUAGAAGUAUGGAUGUUGGUGGUGGGAUGUUGCCUUUUCUUUCUCAAUUGUUUUUAUUCUUAGCUGUAUCCCUCUUGCUGGUUCACAUGACUCAAGACCCUACCUCAAUUAUUUCCCUCCACUCUUUUCUUAUACAUUUUACUCUCACUUUUCUCUUGUUGACAGUCAACAAUGGCCGACAGUCUCGUCUCUGCAGUUUACAGCUGUUCUUUUCUUUUAUUUCCAAUUAAUUUCUAAAAUAUAAAAAAUGAUCAAAUCCAUGUGAUCUUUACUUAGGUCAUAAGAUCGUGUGAACGCACAUUAAAUUAAAGUUAUUCAAUUAAUUUUUGUCUUUUGCAUAAUGAGCAAUAUUAUAGUAGAAAAUAAAGGUUUAUUAUGUUGAUAUGUCAAGUAAAGCUAACAACUUUGGUAUUAUAAGCUUGAUUUUUGUAGAUAGAAAAAUAUGAGAAGUCAUAUGACAAAAGGCAAAGAAAAUUUUGAUCAUGAAAAGUAGAAAAAAGCACAAAACCUUCAUGAAAUUCUAAUUCUAAGGAAGAAAGACCAUGCUCAAAACUCGAAAUUUAAAUUCUCACAAUCUUUUCAUAUUUUGCAGAUAGGUUUAUUAUUAAUAGAAGCACAUAAAUAAAUAUUGUACUUAAAUCCCACUAAUUUAUAGGUCAUUAUGGUAUAUGUAGGUCAUCAUAGUAAUGAGUGGGAAGGUGGGUACCUUUAAAAAGAAUAAGCUAAACCAAUCACCCUAAAUUUCAAAAGCACCUUUAUCAUAAAAGUGUGGUAAUGAGAGUGGAUAUCUUUUAAAAGAAUAGACAACCCUGAAUUUCAAAAAAAUGUCUGUUUCUUGGCGAUUGUAUCCCAACAGUCUUAUCUUUUUUUACUUUAUAUCUUUUUAUUAUUAUUAUCGUGAGGAUGGUUAAAGAUGAUGCUAGAAGUUUUUCUAUGGUUUAAAAAGAAAAAAUGUGAGUGUUAAGUUGGCAUUUUUGUCUUUUUAGAAAAUACUUCAUUUUAAGAUCAUUAAUAGAAGAAAUAAAGAGUUCAUAAAAAAUAAAGAAAUUUUUAUUGACUGAUCUAGGUAACCAUUUCAUGGCUUUUAAUUGUAACUUUGUUGAAAAUCUUACUCCUUCCUCCUUGUCUUCCUCUUGUUAUUCAAAAGUUUCAACUCCUUUUUUUUUUAAAUAAUAAUAUUGAUUUUAUGUUUUAAUGAAAUAAGUUGCAAAUUUGAAGAAAACAUAUUCUAAUGUAUUUAUUGAUUAUGGUCCUCUUUUCAAAAGGGUUAUCGUUAUUUACAUUCUCGAACUAAUCAAGUUUACAUCUCUAAAUAUGUAAUCUUUGAUAAGUUUGAGUUUUCUUUUACUAACAAAACUUCUCCCGUAUCUUUCUUGUAGGAACAAAGUCAAAUGACCAUAUUUUGAGAUUCUUAUCAACAGUUACAACCAUUCAAUCCAAACACCAACUCAACCCACAACUUCACUUCCACCAAACAACCUUUCAAACUAUCGUAAUAAUGUAGAUCUUCUAUUUUAUUUUUUUUAACACAUCUCAUCUAAAAUUGUCUUCUUACAUCCUUUAACACCUUAUUAUGCACUUAUGGUUAUUUUUCUAAGCUAUUUUUCUAAAAUUGUCUUCUAUUCAUUGUGAUUAUGUUGAUUACUAAUUAUUUUAUUUUAUUUUAUGCAAGAGACAUUCUGAAGGGAUUAGAUGCAUUCCAAUAUUGAUUUUAAUGAUUUUUAAAUCUUAAUUUAGGACUUUAUUUUUUAUUGAUUUAUAACAUAUUUAAGUUUGUUUAAAAUUUUCAAACUUUAAUUUUUAUAAAAUAGAUUCAAGUUUUGAAUUAAUUAAUAAUUGAUUUCAUUCUCUUUAAAGUGUAGAAUAUGAUAAAAGGCGUGUAACAAAUUCAAACAAAUCAUUAUACAAGUGAGAAUUUAGGUCAUCCAAUCAUUUUAUUAAAAAUCACUCUAUAAAUUAUAAAAAUAAAGAUAUUAAUCACAUCUAUUAAUAUGUUUUUUUUUAAAUUGACAAAUCAUAAUGAAAUUAUAAUCUUUUUAAUAUUUUAUUAAUUAUAAAUUAAAACGUCAUUAUAAUUAUUCAAUCCCCACGGAAUAUAAAAUGAGUUAUUUUUAAUAAUAAUAACUAAUCAUAUUUGAAUAACAUUUCAUCAAUUAUAUAUAAAAAUAAAGUUUUAUGUUUAUCAUAACCUAUGUUUUAAAUUAAACAAAAUAAUAAAAGUUACAUUUCCAUUUAAAUGUAUUUACAUAUCUACCUCCAUAGCCCAUGGUAUUAAAAUAAUCUAAUAAAACACAGUAUCCCAUAACCGGUCAACAGCACAGCUGCUCCUAGCCUUAGCCCCUUGCAGCUGCAAUCAGCUGUUCCACUCUCUGUUACAGUCCAGCUUUGGCCGCCCAAGACAUACAUCUUUUCACCCAUCACCCAUUUACCCCUGCCACAGCUAUUUUUUACCUUUGAGCUGCCCAAAGUCACACCAAACUAGCUGAUAAACCAUACCUUACAACCUGCAAACCAUCUCCUCAGCCAUCCCUAAUAGCCCACUGCCAGCCCUUUGUAAGAGUCACACCAAAGCCAAAUUUUUUUUAUUAUUAUUUUUAAUCAACUCCAGCACAGCCUCGUCAGACCGCCGAGCCUCCUGAUCUCAUCUCCAAACACGUUCUGCAGCUGAAUCCUUUGCCUUUAUGAAGUUUGGAUGCUGGUGGUGGGAUGUGCUUUUCCUUUCUCAAUUAUUUCUGCUUAGCUGUAUCCCUCUAGCUUUGAACUUUCACUUUUGUCCCUUUUGGCAGUCAACAAUGGCCGACAGUCUUGCCUCUGCGAUUUACAGCUGAUCUUUUCUUUUAGGGAGAGUUGGGAUUACUGGCUGUUAUACGAGAAAUACAUGGUUUUCAAAACCAUAUAACUGAAAUAUGAUUUACCUGAGAAAAAUUGUGAGAGUUGAGUUGUCAUUUUCGCCAUUUUAUAAAAGACUUAAUUUUAAGACCGUUAGUACGUAGAAAUAGGGGUCUCUAAAAAGCCCGCGGCCCGCUUUAGGCCCGGCCCGGCCCGGCCCGACGGGCUAAAGCCCGGCCCAAGCCCGCCGGGCCCAAGCCCGGCCCGAGCCCAUUUAUGGGCGGGCCGGGCCGCGGGCCUAAAUUUAGGCCCGGCCGUUGGAGACCCUUGCGUAGAAAUAACAAGUUCACAAGAACGAAAGAGACCUUUGUUGACUGACCUAGGUAACCCCUUUCAUGGCUUUUUCACUUGUUUGUUUUUGGAUUUUCUUUAAUGAGGCUAGGUGAUUGUUGUUUAUUUUGACUUAUAUUUUAGAUGGAUUUCAUUUUUAAUAAGAGUUUUUCAUGGUAAAAAUUGAUGUGAUACAAAUUUUUAUUGAUAUUAAUAUCAUUUUAUCAUAAAUUAUUUAGAGUAUAGAUAUAAAUAAAAUAUCAAUACCAUAGGAAAUGUUAAAAUAAAGUUAGGUGCAUAUGCAAAAAAUAAAAUUUGAAAAAUAGAAUAGUCCAGUCCAACCAUAUCCACACAUCCAUCUUCCUAUAAAUUAAACUAAUGAUAGAUACAUAAGUCAAAAAUAAGAUUUGAAAAAGAGUAUAAUCCAAUUCAACUACCCACCUUCCAAUAAAUUAAACUCAAAAUGGGCACAUAUUCCAAAAAUAAAUUUUGAAAAAUAAAAUAGUCCAAACCAACUUUAUCAACAUGUCCAUCUUCCAAUAAAUUAAAUUGGAAAUGAGUCGGCAUGUGAUAAAAUAAAUGUCAAUUUCCAUUUUACUUAUAUUAAAUUCACUUAUAUAUUUAUAUCGAAAAUUAUCCUUUGAAUCUUUCUAGAAACAUUAGAUUUUAAGGAAAUCAUGCAAGUAUACUUUUCUUAUUAUCAAUUUAAAAUAUAAAAUCCUUCCAUAGUUAUUUAUUAAAGUUCUACAAAGAAAAUUAAGAAAAUAAGGAUUUGGUAGGUAAUUAUGUUUAAAAAUAAUUUUCUAUUUUUUAUAGUAGAAAACCAGGUUCUAACUUUUUUUUUUUUAAAAAAAAAAAACACAUUAGACAAAUUUCGACCAAGAAGAAUUUCUUCAAAAUUUGCUCUAGAUACAUGUUAUUUUAAAAACAUGAUUUUGACAUAUUUUCAAAUAUUGUUUGUAUAGUUUUUGAGCAAAAAAUGAAAAGAUGGAGAAUACUCCAAAAACUUUGCAAAUGAAAAUACUAUGUUUUAUAUUUAUGUUUUCAAAUACAAUUUUGCAAAUGAAAUAUUUGAGAAUGUUCUUAAAAAUUAUUUUUUAAGAAGUGCUUUUGAAAACUUGGCUAAACAUGACCUAAAUAUCCUAAACAUGAAAGAUACAAGAAUGCAAGAAAAACAUUUUCAAUAAUUUUAUUUUAUUUAUUAUAUUAAAGAGUAACAUUAAUGUUUCAUUAUGAAGUUAAAAUGUUUCAUUCAAUCAAAAUUUAUUCUGCUAGUUUUCAAGGAAAGCAUUAUUUAUCAAGAUGCUUGCCUUAGUUGUUUUGUAUUUUAUAUUUUUCUUUGAUUGGGAUUGGUGAGAAUUGUCCUAAAUAUAGAUUUUAUUUUGAAUAAUUUCUAAAUUAGACUUGUAAAAAAUAAGAAAAAGUAUCUAGUAAUUCAUUGUUACACAUGAAUGUUGCAACUUGGUAAAAUUUAUGAUAUUUAUCACUAGGAAAUUUUGCUUAUAGAUAUAAAUAAAAUGGUAACAUCUAUCACAAGGAAAGGUUGGGAAGGAAGCAAACAUAUUAAUAGGUGAAACAAGAAAAAGAAAAAUAAUAAUAAUAAAUGAUAAAAAAAGGUAAGGGAAUUCAGAGUCAUGAGUUGGUACUCUAUAUUAUUUAAAGUGAUUAUAAUUUAGGGUACAAAUUUCUUUAGAAAUAAAUAACGUAAAUAGAUUCUAAAAAAGAUUAUGUAAAAUUAUCAUUUCUUAAAAAAGAGAAGAAGGUAUUUUCUUUAUUUUUAAACAUUUAUUAAUUUUUAAUACUAAUACAAUAUUAAAUCUAAUGAGAAGACCUCCUUUAAUCUUCUCACUUUAUUCAUUGAAGUCUUUUUAAAUAAUUUGAGAAAGUAAUUUUAAAUCCAAUUACAUGGUGAAGAUCAAGGUAAUAGUUAGAAUAAAACUACAAAUAACAUGGUCAAGAUCAAGGUGGGUGUGUGUGUGACAAUCUUAUAUACUUUUUUGGAAGUAUGAAAAGAGUAAUGAAAUCAUGUACCUAAUAAAAAGUAAAGAAAACUUUAAUUCUACUGGAGGAAGCAAACACUAAACUUCCUUAAGAAAAUGGUAAUGUUGAAUUAAAUAACUUGCAUUGACGAACAUUAUGGUCCUUAUUCUAAAUUAUUUCAUUUCUUUUAUUGUGUCUCCAUUCAUUUAACAUGAUUUUUGAAAGUAUAAAAAGAGUAAUAUAAGUUACGUACCUAACAAAAUUAAAAAAAAGUACUUUAAUUUAAAUAGGGAAUGAGACAUGAAACUUCCUUGAAAAAAUGGCAAUGUUGAAAAGUUAAUAAAGUAGUUUAAAUUUUCAACUUGUUACAUUAGAUAACUUGCAUUAAAGGACAAUAUGUAUCUUAGAAAUAGAAAGUUUUGAAGUGAAACAUCUAAACAUGUAGGAACAUUAAACAAUGCCUUGGUCAAAAAAGGAAAACGCAUAGGAACAUAUAUCAAAUAAUAUCUUGGUCAAAAAGAAUAAUGCUUUAGUAAAAAAUGGAAAAUGCAUAGGAACAUUAAAUAAGACAAUAUCACAUAGGGUUUAGGUAAGACAAUUCUCUAAUCCCUUAUCCUUGUUGGCUCAUACACUUGUUGAACCUCUUUGAUACGAAAAUAAUCCAAAUGACUCAUAAAAUAUAGUGUUUAUAUGGAUGCUAUUAAGAUAUAAAUUAGGCUACAAUGAAAGUUAAUUAUAACUUUAAUGUUGGAGGGAAUAAGCAAUUUUUUGUGAGAAAGGGCAACACCUAGAAAGUCAAUAAGAUUAAUUAUCUUAAUAAUGGAAAAAAAGUUCAUUCUUAUGAAUCCUCAAAGUGAAUCAAAGAGACAAACUUCAAUUUUGAAGUGAACAUAAUUAUUAUUUUUUUGUUUCUUUGUUAAAUAAUUAGUAAUACUUAAUUUAUCGAUCGUGUAAGAAUCAAAGAAGAAUAGCUACUAUUCAUGCAAUGGGUCUCAUCUUAUUGUAACAAAACUUAUGAUUAUUUUUCUUCCAUGUAUUGGAAGUUACUAUAAAUUCAUUUCCCACUUGUUAUGUGACUUAGGUAUCAAAUAGAGCCCACUAGAUAAAAUUUCUCUCAAGGUAUUUCCACAUCAAAUUUCUUUAUUUUAAACAUGUUUAUGGAUGUAAGUUUGCAUUGAAUAAAUUUCAAGUAUUAAUGUAGACUAACAAUAUUUAAAUAAAAAUGAUAAUAUAUUUAAAUUUUUAAUAAAAAUUGAGUUGAAUUUUUCAACCAACAUUUGAUUUCCUUCCACUCACCUAAUGUUGGCAUUAAAAUGCAUUAAUAUAUAUAUAUAUAUAUAUAUAUAUAUAUAUAUAUAUAGAUAUAUAAAUAUAUAAUCAUUGUCUUGGGAACUUUUUCUUCGGUGCUUAUCCUCAAACCUUCUUAAAAAAAAUAAGAUUGAUUCUUGUUGUGCUCACCUAAUGCUUGCAUUAAAAUACUAUAAACUUUUUUUUUGUGAGCUUAUCCUUACACCUUAGAAAACAAGAUUGAUUCUCGUUGAUAAGAAGAUAAGAACAAAAACUUCUAAUAAAUUAUAUUUGGUAUAUUGGUAAUUUAAUGGGAAAAGACCUUAAAUUUUGUAAAUGUAAAAGGAUAAUAUAGUUGGACGACACAUUUAUACAAAUAUAUGAUUGGAUUUUAAUUUUGUAACUUAAUUAAUUAAGAAAAUAAAACCUUUGGGCUAUUUAAAUAUAAUUGGAUUUUAAUUUUUAGUUUGGGUUAAAGUUACAAAAGAAAAAAAAAUGACCCAAAUAAAUUAAUUGGGCAUUUAUAUUUAAACAAUUAGUCUUUAGAAUUAAUAUUUAAUUGGAUUGAAAAAAAAAAAAAAAAAGAUAAUAAAGGGAGUAGAAUGGUCUUUUCCCAUUAGAAACCUAGGUAUAAAUAUUCACCACCCUUCUUUACAAAAGUCUUUUGCAUAGAGAGAAAAUGUGGGGUUUGAAAUCAAUCUUUUAAAGCAAACAUAUAUAGAUUCAAUAUUUAGUUUCAUUUUUAAUGGUCAUAAAAAAAUAAAUAAUCUAGAAUCAUAUCAUGAUAAUUAUUAAAUAUGAUUAAUUUUUAUGAGAAAAUUAAAAAACACAUAAUUCUAAUUAAUUAUAUAGUCAAAUACCAUUAACCAUUCUUAGUUAAAAAUUUAAAGUCUUUUUCCAUUUGCAUUGGACAUUACUAUUAAUAGAUGCAUAUCCAUGAAUAUUGUACUUAGUAAUAUUUCUUUUAGAAUUAAAUCCCAUUAAGAUUAUAUUGCAUUGUGAUGUAUAUGAGUUGCACCUUCAAUUAUUUUUAUUUAACUUUGGUUCUCAGAAAAUAUUAAGGAAAAAAAAGAUAUUAAGGAAAAUAAUUCUUCAUGUUUGAUUGUCUUAUGAAAAAUUUCAAAAAAAAUAAAAUAAAAUAUAAUUAAAAUUAGUUUAGAACUUAUGUAUUUUCAAAUUAUUUAAUCUUUAUGUUGAUGAGUUAAAAUAAAUAAAAUGAGUUUGAAAUAACAAAUAAAAAUAAUUUAUCGACUUUAACCUUAUUUUUUAUUUUCCUUCAAUUUUUCAUUUCUUUUUUUUUUUUUCACUUUGUUUUCUUUCCUUUGUAUUUUCCCUCAGAUUUUUUUGGAAACCAAACAUAACCUUAAUGAUUAUGAGAUCAUAUUAGUUAAAAAGUGAAGUUUCUACCACUACAUAUAAUAAAUGCAUAUACAUGUAUAUUUUGAUCUUAGCCUAGACAAUAUUUAUAUAAAAAUGAAUAGAUCAUUAUAAAUGACAUUAAAAUUGAUUUCCUAUUGAGAAAUUACAAGUGUUCUAUACUUUUUAUAUAUAUAAAAAUUUCUUAAUCAAUAUUAUCAAAUAACUUUUUACAUUUUUCUAUUGAAAUAUAUAUUUUUUUGCAAAAAAAUUCCUAUUAUUAUAAUAAAUUUUUUUUUUUCAUAUUUUUCAAUUAAGAUAUACUCUUCAUAAGGACAUUCCUAUUAUUAUAAAAGAUAAAUUAUUUUUUAUAUGAAUAUUUUAUUUAAUCAAGAUAAACAUGGAAAGAAAUUGUUCUCACAUGUCUUAUAUUGAGAAAAAUUAUAUAUAAAUUGGAAAUAAUUUUAAAAUUAAUAAAAUCUAAAAGUUGUUUCACUAUUUUCUAAAAUUAAUUUCAAUUUUUUUUUUACUUUUUAAUUAGUGUAUGUUUAUGUAUGUAUGCAUGCAUGUAUAUAUGCAUACAUAUUAAAAAAUGUUGAUCAUUUAAGUGGCUCUAAACUAAUUAUUUAUUUGCAUGAAAAAAUUUAUUUAAAAUGAGUUGUUCAUCUUUUAUGAGAUAUAACAAAAGCCAUUUGCACUAGGUCAUAAUGGUAAUGAGUGGGAAGGUGGGUGCCUGCCUUUAAAAAGAAUAGAAGUGAACAACCACCCUAAAAUUCGAAAGUAUAACAUACAAAAGUACCUUGCAUUGAUGUACGCAUACACAUGAAACUUCCUUGAGAAAAUAGUAUUGUUGAAAUGUCAACAAAGUAGUCAUACACAUGAAACUUCCUUGAGAAAAUAGUAUUGUUGAAAUGUCAACAAAGUAGUUUAAAUCCUCAACAGGUUGUUACGUUAGUGUGUGUGUGUGUGUGUGUGUGUGAGAUAAAAGAUUUCAAAAGGAACAAUCCCUUGGUCAAAAAACAGAAAACAUAUAGAAACAUAUAUUGAGAAUAAUAUCUUAUUAAAAAAGAAUAAUGUCUUGGUGGGAAUGGGAAACGAGUAAGAACAUUGAAUAUGACAAUACCACAUAUGGUUAAGUAAGGCUAUUCUCUAAUCUUUUAUCCUUGUUGAACCUCUUUCAUUGAAAAAUAAUCCAAAUGACUCAUAAAAUAUAGUGUUUAUAUGGAUGGUAUUAAGAUAUAAAUUAGGCUACAAUGAAAGUUAAUUAUAACUUUAAUGUUGGAAGAAAUGAACAACUUCUUAUGAUAUAUAUAUAUAUAUAUAUAUAUAUAUAUAUAUAUAUAUAUAUAUAUAUAUAUAUGUGUGUGUGUGUGUGUGUGUGUGUGAGAUAAAAGAUUUCAAAAGGAACAAUCCCUUGGUCAAAAAACAGAAAACAUAUAGAAACAUAUAUUGAGAAUAAUAUCUUAUUAAAAAAGAAUAAUGUCUUGGUGGGAAUGGGAAACGAGUAAGAACAUUGAAUAUGACCAUACCACAUAUGGUUAAGUAAGGCUAUUCUCUAAUCUUUUAUCCUUGUUGAACCUCUUUCNNNNNNNNNNNNNNNNNNNNNNNNNNNNNNNNNNNNNNNNNNNNNNNNNNNNNNNNNNNNNNNNNNNNNNNNNNNNNNNNNNNNNNNNNNNNNNNNNNNNGAAAUAGAAAGUUUUGAAGUGAGACAUCUAAACAUGUAGGAACAUUACACAAUGCCUUGGUCAAAAAAGGAAAACGCAUAGGAACAUAUAUCAAAUAAUAUCUUGGUCAAAAAGAAUAAUGCUUUAGUAAAAAAUGGAAAAUGCAUAGGCACAUUAAAUAAGACAAUAUCACAUAGGGUUUAGGUAAGACAAUUCUCUAAUCCCUUAUCCUUGUUGGCUCAUACACUUGUUGAACCUCUUUCAUUGAAAAAUAAUCCAAAUGACUCAUAAAAUAUAGUGUUUAUAUGGAUGGUAUUAAGAUAUAAAUUAGGCUACAAUGAAAGUUAAUUAUAACUUUAAUGUUGGAAGAAAUGAACAACUUCUUAUGAUAUAUAUAUAUAUAUAUAUAUAUAUAUAUAUAUAUAUAUAUAUAUAUAUAUAUAUGUGUGUGUGUGUGUGUGUGUGUGUGAGAUAAAAGAUUUCAAAAGGAACAAUCCCUUGGUCAAAAAACAGAAAACAUAUAGAAACAUAUAUUGAGAAUAAUAUCUUAUUAAAAAAGAAUAAUGUCUUGGUGGGAAUGGGAAACGAGUAAGAACAUUGAAUAUGACAAUACCACAUAUGGUUAAGUAAGGCUAUUCUCUAAUCUUUUAUCCUUGUUGAACCUCUUUCAUUGAAAAAUAAUCCAAAUGACUCAUAAAAUAUAGUGUUUAUAUGGAUGGUAUUAAGAUAUAAAUUAGGCUACAAUGAAAGUUAAUUAUAACUUUAAUGUUGGAAGAAAUGAACAACUUCUUAUGAGAAAGGGCAACACCUAGAAAGUCAAUAAGAUUAAUUAUCUUAAUAAUAGAAAGAAAGUUCAUUCUUAUGAAAUUGAAUCAAAGAGAUAAAUUUCAAUUUUGAAGUAAACAUAAUUAUUUUUCUAUUUUUGUUAAAGAAUUAACAAAAUUUAUCAUGUAAGAAUCAAAGAAGAAUAGCUACUAUUCAUGCAACUGGUCUGAUCUUGUUGUAACAAAACUUAUGAUUAUUUUUCUUCUAUGUAUUGGAAGUUACCAUAAAUUAAUUUCCAACUGGUCAUGUGACUAUUGCAUCAAAUAGAGCCCACUAGAUAAAAUUUUUGUUGACGUAUUUCCACAUCAAAUUUCUUUAAUUUAAACAUGUUUAUGGAUGUAAGUUUGCAUUGAAUAAAUUUCAACCAUAGAUAUGCACUAACAAUAUUUAAAUAAAGAUGAUAAUGUAUUUAAAUUUUUAAUAAAAACUAAGUUGAAUUUUUCAACGAACAUUUGAUUUCCUUCUGCUCACCUAGUGUUAGCAUUAAAAUACAAAAAAAGCUCACCUAAUACUUGCAUUAAAAUACUAGAAACUUAUUCUUGUGAGCUUAUCCUUGCACCUUCUUAGAAAAAAAACAAGAUUGAUUCUUAUUGGUCAGAAGAUAAGAACAAAAACUUCUAAUAAAUUAUAUUUGAUAUAAACUCGUCAAUCAUCACAUAAAAAACAAUUUCUCCAGAGGGCGAUGACCCCAUCAACCCCCAUAAGCUAACCAAGCAGCUCGACCUUAACAUCCUAAGCAAAGCGCAACAAUACUGAUUCAAGCUUCACAAUCCAACACCAAUAAAGACAAGAACAAUUGACACUCAAAAAAAUUAUUUCUUUUAACUUUUUCCCUUUAAGUUGAAUUUGAUUUUAAAAUAGUGUUAUCUCAUUAAUUAUUUUACAAAAUAUAUAUAUGUUAUAUCUUAAAAUUGGUUAGUAAAUUAUAUUACAAUUAUCAAAGAUAUUGCCAUAUAUAAAAUACAACUUAAUAAAUCUUAAGCAUAACACAAAGCACAACAACAAGAUAUAUUAAUUUAAGUUACUAAGAGCUUAUUUAGUUGUGUGAUUUAAAAAUGGUUUUCUAUUUUAAAAAAUAAAAAAUUAUUUUAAAAAAUUUAUAACACUAUUUUAAUGUUGUUCUUUGGAAACAAUGUUUAAAGACAAAGUAACAUUGAGAACAAUUUUUAAAGAACAAGUAGGAGUUGUUUUUAUUAGUUUUUAAAAAACAAAAAAUAUAUAAACUCAUUUUACUAUGUUUUUUGAAACUUGUUUUUAAAUUAAAGAAUAAAAAAUAAUUUUUCAAAAUAAGUUUCAAAAAAUAUGACCAAACAAACCCUAAAUGGUCGGGGUUUAAUAUUAAAGAGAAAAAAAGUUAAUUUAAGAGUUUGCAUGCAGGUAGACAUCAGGCUGUAAAACUGGUUUACUAAGACACUCAUUUUAUUUAUAUAUUCUUCUAUGUGCAUGCAUUGACCAUGUGGUUAGGAUGUGUUGCACCAAAAUCUAAUUAUUAACUUGCAGUUCGAAAUCACAAACCAGCUGUAUGUAUUAGAAACAGACCAUAUUGGGUCAUGCACAUUCUCCGUCAUUUUCUAUUUCCUAGCAACAUAUAUGACCAAAUGAAAUUGUUAUAUCCUAAUUAUAUUUUUUAAUUAGGCGAUAAAUGAAUGGAUUCCUUUUAAAAAUAAUAAUUGAGAUAUUAGGGAUGAUUAAAAUAUUAUUAGAAGAAAACAACCACUAUCUUCCAGAUUAAUCACAGCUUAAUAAAUGUAAAUAAAUUAAUCUGACACUACAUUUUUCUUUAUUUGUUUUGGUUUCUUUACAAGAAUGUUUCUUUAUGUAUUCUUGUUGAAUCUAUAAAAUAUCAUCUAUAAACAUUCUUUUUGAAUGAUUAAGAAUCCGAUAUUUAAAUGAUUGUGUGGACCUUGCAUUUUUGCUCAAUGCGUUCCCACUCAAUGUUGAACUCUCUUUUUAUUUAUUUAAUGAAAAAUAUGAUUUUUUUUUUUAGAAAAGACUUGGAGUCGCCACUUAUUUUUGUUUUAUUUUUAAAAAUGGUAAACAAAAUAAGAAAGAAAACCCUAAGUGUGACUCCUUAUUUUGGAAAAAGUGGUAUGUGAAAAAUCAGAUCGGGCUCGGGGAUUAGGUUACUUAUCGGGAAGGUACAGUAAGGACCAUGACACCCCUCUAAGUCCCUAAAGUCGGGUCUCUAUUGAUAAAAGGAAGCUGACAUGGCAAUCAAUAAGGAAAUCAAUGGGUACUCAAAUCGAUCAUGCACAUAUGGAAAUUGGAAUUUUAGAAAUUGGAAAUUAAAUUCGAAAAUGGGAAAAUUGGAAUCUCAAAAAUUGGGAAUUGAAUUUGGAAAUCAGAAUUUUGAAGAAUUAUUUAAAGAUGAAAAUUUUAAAAGUAAGUAAAUAAAUAAAUAAAUAAAAUAAUAAUGAUUGGAUAAAUAAAUGCGAAAAUUGGAAUUUUGGAAAUCGGAAAUUAUAUUUGGAAUUUGGAAAAUCAGAGUUUUGGAAAUUGAGAAUUAAAUUUGGAAAUUGGAAUUUUGAAGAAUUAUUUAAAGAUAGAUUUUUUUAAAUAAAUAAAUAAAUAGAAUAAUAAUAAUAAUCGAAAUAAUAAUAAAAUAAAUGAACAUGAACAUUAAAAUUUUUUGAAAUAGAAAAUUAAAUUUGGAUGUCGGAAAUUUGAAAAAUUGUUUAAAAAAACGGAAUUUAGAAAAUAAAUAAAUUAAUUAAAAAAAAAGUAUUGUAGUGAAGGUCAUCAAACUCAAAGUCUUAUUCAUGACCCAAUUUCCCAUAUUUGAUUAAGAAUCCAUGCAACAUUACUAUGGGCCACCUGAGCCAAAAUGUCUACACGUUCCACUCUUACACCAUCCCAUUGCAGCUCUCACCACAACAGCCACAACAGUGGAAGUAAAAAUAAAAAAUAAAAAAUAAAAAAAUCACGCCACAUGAGUUGACCAUGAUGUCACCUCUUCCAACACAAGCAAUACACUUCCAAUUGGAACUCUGAAAGCAAUAGUCACUUCAGCACGACAGCGAGGUAGACUAGGGCAGUAGGUGUUGAAUGAGUGAUGAAUCCGAAAAGAAUGGGUUUGUAACAUAAAUGAUUAAUCUUACAACAUCACACAAGAGAUAUGAAUCCAUAUUUACGCACAUAUCCAAACAAAACCAUAUGAACAAUAGAUGAGACCAUGCCACAACAAACCAUUAUAAGAGUAAGAAAAGGAAAAAAGAGAGAGAAAAAAAAAGACAAACUUCAGCAUAAAAAAAAACAAAUCUAGAAGGUAGUGAAGUGAUGUAUGGAGAGUCACCGUGAUCAUACCGAAACAAACUCACAAACAACGCAAAAUAAUCACAUAAAAAAACAAAAGGGUAAUAGGAUGACCAAUAAUAAUCCAUGAACCUUAUCAGUCUUACCAGGUAAAGCUUUCUAUCCACUGGAGUUUUCUAGACUUUCUUUCCAACUUCCCUCCUCCUCUUUCCUGCUUCAGCCUAUCCCCGAAAAGCUUGCUCUGCCCAUUUUUCUACAACCAACCCAACAGCUAGCUUAGCCCCCAAAAAGAUGAAGACGCUCCCCCCUAUUUAUUCUCUCCCGUUCAGCUCAUUUCCCGCCCAGUUUUUCUCUCCAGAUUUUUUUUCCCCUAGUCCUCACAUGCUCCCUACUCCUUGCUCAACCAAUCUGUCACCAUCUCAACCACCACCAUGGCGAGGUAGUGGUGUCGUCCUCCAUGCGUCUCAUGCAUGCUAAUAUUUGAAAAAGUCGAUCCCCCUUCCUCCUACAACAAGCUGCUAGCUAUCCGGGUGGCUAGCAUGAAGGGUCUACAAAUAUGCCCCUCUUCAGUAGAGUUCACGAACGUAAAGAAAUAUGAACACUAGAGUGAAAAGAAAGUGUGAAUAGUGAGCGAAAUGAAGUGAACUUUACCGAAAAUGGGCAUAUUUGUAGACCCCUCAUGCUAGCCACCCGAAUAGUUGGUAGCUUGUUGUAGGGGGAGGGGAGACCGACUUCUUCAAAUAUUAGCAUGCAUGAGACGCAUGGAGGAGGGCACCACUACCUCGCCAUGGUGGUGGUUGAGAUAGUAACAGAUUGGCUGAGCAAGAAGCAAGUGAAGACUAGGGGGAAAAAAAAGAUCUGGAGAGAAAAAAUAGGUGGAAAAUGAGCUGAACGAGAGGGAAUAAACAGGGGAGAGCAUCUUCAUCUUUUUGGAGGGUGACCUAGCUAUCGGGUUGGUUGUAGAAAAACAGGCAGAGCAAGCUUUUCGGGAAUACGUCGAAGUAGGAAAGAGAAUGAAGAAAGUUGGAAAGAAAGUCCAAAAAACUCCAAUGGAAGGAGAGCUUUACCUGAUAAGACUGAUCAGGUUCAUAGAUUAUUACUGGUCAUCCUACUACCCUUUUGUUUUUUUACGUUAUUAUUUUGCAUUGUUUGUGAAUUUGUUUCGGUAUGAUCAUAGUGACUCUCCAUACAUCAUUUCCCUACCUUCUAGAUUUGUUUUUUUUUUGUGCUAAAGUUCGUCUUUUUUUUUUCUCUCUCUUUUUCUUUUUCUUACUCUUACAAUGGUUUGUUGUGGCAUGGUCUCAUCUAUUGUUCAUAUGGUUCUGUUUGGAUGUGUGUGUAAAUCUGGAUUCAUAUAUCUUGUGUGAUGUUGUAAGAUUAAUUGUUUAUGUUACAAAUCCAUUCUUUUUGAAUUCAUCACUCAUUUCACACCCGUUGCCUUGGUCUACCUUGCUGUCGUGUUGGAGUGGUUGUUGCUUUUAGAGCUCCAAUUGGAAGUGUAUUGCUUGCAUUGGAAGAGGUGACAUCAUGGUCAACUCAUGUGGCGUGUUUUAUUUUAUUUUAUUUUUACUUCCGUUGUUGUGGUUGUUGUGGUGAGAGCUGCAAUGGGAUGGUGUAAGAGUGGAAGGUGUAGACAUUUUGGCUCAGGUGGCCCAUAGUAAUGUUGCAUGGAUUCUUAAUCAAAUAUGGGAAAUUGGGCCAUGAAUAAGACUUUGAGUUUGAUGACCUCCACUCAUUCCACCACCAAACCUUUUUUUUUUAAUUAAUUUAUUUAUUUUUUAAAUUUCAUUUUUUUAAACAAUAUUUCAAAAUUCCGACAUCCAAAUAUAAUUUCCGAUUUAAAAAAAUUUCAAUGUUCACGUUCAUUUAUUUAAUUAUUAUUUCUGUUAUUAUUAUUAUUCUAUUUAUUUAUUUAUUUAUUUUUAAAAAAUUCAAUCCUUAAACAAUUAUUCAAAAUUCCGAUUUCCAAAUUUAAUUCUCAAUUUCCAAAACUCCGAUUUUCCAAAUUCCGAAUUUAAUUUCCGAUUUCCAAAAUUCCAAUUUUCGCAUUUAUUUAUCCAAUCAUUAUUAUUUUAGUUAUUAUUAUUAUUAUUAUUAUUUUAUUUAUUUACUUACUUACUUUUAAAAAUUCCAUCUUUAAAUAAUUCUUCAAAAUUCUGAUUUCCAAAUUCAAUUCCCAAUUUUCGAGAUUCCAAUUUUCCCAUUUCCGAAUUUAAUUUACAAUUUCUAAAAUUCCAAUUUUCGCAUUUAUUUAUUCAAUCAUUAUUAUUUUUCGUUAUUAUUAUUAGUUUAUUAUUUACUUAUUUAUUUUUAAAAUUCAAUCUUUAAAUAAUUCUUCCGAAAUUCCAAUUCUUAAAUUUAAUUCCCAAGACUCCAAUUUCCAAAUAAUUUUCGAGACUCUAAUUUUCAAAUAAAUUUCAAAAAUCUAGUUUUCACUCGAACAAUUUUAAUUCCAUUCCGGUUCUCAAAUAAUCUGUUGUUUUUCUUGAUUUUACAUAAGCAUGAAUGUAAUUUUUCACAAUUCCACAAUAAUGGAAUAUGUGAGACUAAUUCAUGCAAGAUAGAUUGGGUUUUGGUGGGGGGCCCAACAUUGGUGUUUUUUUCCUCUAAAAAUAAAUUUGAUUGAAUUGAAUUGUGAUAUCUGUUGAUUUCUCACUCUGUUUAGUGGCAUGUGUGACAUAGUCUGUUUUGUUAAUUGUGCACUAAACCCAUUUCUUGAUAGUGCAUUAUGACUCGUGGCCCAGGUGCGCAUCCGCUCCUAUUCUGGUCAUUCUCUAUGCAUGUUCUGAUUCCCAUAUGUGCAUGAUCAAUUUAAGUACCCGUUGAUUUCCUUAUUGAUUGCCACGUCAGCUUUCUUUUAUUAGUAGAGACCCGACUUUAGGGACUUAGAGGGGUGCUACGGUCCUUACUAUACCUUCUCGAUAAGUAACUUGACCCCCAAACCCAAUUCGGUUUUUCACAUACCACUUUUUCCAAAAUAAGGAGUCAUAGUUAGAGUUUUCUUUCUUAUUUUGUUUACCCUUUUUAAAAAUAAAACAAAAAUAAGUGGUGACUCCAAGUCUUUUCUAAAAAAAAAAAAAAUCAUAUUUUUCAUUAAAUAAAUAAAAAGCAAGUUCGCCAUUGAGUGGGAACGCAUUGAGCUAAAAUGCUGGGUCCAUAAAAUGGCGACUCCACUGAGGAUGAUUUAGAAGGUCAAACUUGAACUUAAGAUGAAGCAAAUGCGACAUUUGAUGGGUCGAUCAGUGGGUACCUAUCUUUUAAUUGCACAUUGAGAGUUCUUGAUAUCAUUGGAUGCAUGCUUGGAUAUUGUAUUCAUUUUGAGACAUUGAUAUGUUGGUUAUGAUGAUUGAUUUGUCUUGAUUGAGGAUUCCGAGAUAGCUAUUUUUUUUGUGCUUCAUUGCUAUAUUUGUUUGGGAUAUUGACAUACUGAUUGUAUCAAUUUCUUAUCUUGCCUUGCUUAGCAUAGUGACCCUGAUUCUUGCCAUGAUUGUUCUGCUCACUUCAUAUGCAUAGACUCACUAUUGUACACCAUUUGACUUGAUGUGUUGUUUUCUUUGGCUUGUGUAUUAUCCUGAUCGUCUUUGAGCAUGAUGCUUGUAUUAGUAUUCAUUUGAUCGUCAUAGCUUGUAUGUGUACAUGAGCAAUAUAUCAUGUACUCUGCCUGGUUGUAUGUCGCAUGACUGCACUCCUUUGCAUGUUGCUUGUUUGUGUGGGUAGCACAUCUAUCCCCUUAUCUCCAACGCUCUGGGUUUCGAUUAUUUCCUUUAUUUCGGUUUUCACUUUUGCAAGUGUGAGGCCUUGUGUGUGCUUGUACUUUGACCGAGGAAGAGGUUAGGAGUAGGGUCUAGCGACGGGCUAUAUCGAUGUUUGGGAGCAUUCUGGAGGUGACCGACACAUUGACGUCAAUUGGAGUCCGAUCAUUGAAGACCUGUAUAGCCUGGAGCUAGGUUUCAUGGAUAUUUGUGCGGCCAGUGUGUUUCCCUUUUUGAUUUAGCUUCAUAGAGUUUUCGGAUGCACCCACACCGCUCACUGCGCACUCUAGUUGACCAUUGAGUGUUGAGAGUUUUGAGAGGUUUCGCCAUAGAAAACCUCCUGAGAUAUCGAGGUAGUGCAUGUGUGGAGGUGAUGACCACCUUGCAUAGAAGCGCCCAUUCUUUUCGGAGGCGUGCAGAGGGUUGCGUACCGUCGGAGGGUACGAUCGCUUCUGUUAGGGAUCCUUUAAAGUCCACCCCUCUUCUUUUCAGAGCCACCUUGACCUUGUAGGUCGAGCCUUAGAUAUUUCAAUCAGGAAUUUCUUCCCUAACACGUGGGUGCAUCUGUGGGCCUUCAAAGUUACUUCAGUAGUGAUAGGUUUAGUUACCUUCGUAGUGGUCUCUUAUACAUCUGCUCAGGAUUGGAUAUCACUUUGAUUGCUUACGAGUUACCUUUCGACAUAUUUGAUAGACUUUCUUUGUGGAGAUUUUCCUAACCUUGUAUCUUAUCUAGUAUUUCCAAUAUUGUAGGAGCAUUGAUACAUAGGGUUUGGGUUCGACUUCUUGGAUCCAGGUUAGGGGUAGAUUGAUCAGAGUAUCAGACCCGUUAGACCAGAAAUCAGAUCAUAGAAAUAUGGACUCACAGAUGGUUACCGUUGGCAGCAGGCCUAGGAGGUUUCGCCUCAGGAUGGCGCACAGUAUGACCCUACAGUGCCGUCAUCCCCUCCACCUAAUCAGUCAGCACCACUAGCCAUACCUUUCACUCUGCAUAGUCAGACCGAGGUUGUCCCGACUCCUAUCAUCGUGCCUACCCCAACCUCAGAGGACCCACAUGCUUGUAUGGAUAGGCUCGAUAAGAAGUUGAGACAAUUGAGGAGUUCAGACAGACCUGUUACUUGGGACGAUUUUGAUGGACUACCAGUGGCCAGUUUGCCGGCCAAGUUCAGGAUGCCAGAGAUUGAGCGAUACACGGGCAUUGGCUGUCCUUGCAUCCAUUUGAGGCUUUAUAGUACUAUCAUGAGGGCCCAUGGACUAGAUGAGGUUCAGAUGAUUAUGUUUUUCCCCAUGUGCUUGAACGGUGUGGCGUAGUGAUGGUUUGCUUUAUUGGAUACAUCCCAAAGUCGGACUUGGGAUGAUUUGGCCUAGGAGUUUUUGAGACAAUUCACAUUUAAUACUGUCAUUGACGUCUCGAGGAGAGAGUUAGAGGCAUUGAGACAGAGGCCAGAGGAGUCGAUCACCUCAUUUAUCUCCCGUUGGAGGGAGAAGAUUUCAUAGGUUAUUAAUAGACCAUCGGAGAAGGAUCAUAUUAGCAUGAUUAUGAGAAGCUUGCAACCUCGAUUUGCUAGACACUUGAUGGGAUUUCCUCAUAGAGAUUUUGGAUCUUUGGUACAGGCCUUGUAUGGUAUAGAGGAGGGCAUAGCCAGAGGAUUAUGGUCUGAGUCUUCUCUUUCUAAUUCGAAGGGGAAGAAACCUUUAAGAUGAUAGAGGCUAGUUGAUGUGAGCGCCCCUAGUUCUACCAGCCAGAGGCCUCCUAUGCGUCAUUAGUCAGUGCCACAGCUUCCUGAGACUCAUCCUUCAUAUCCACCUCAACAGUACAGGCCACGAGCGCCUCGUCCGACUUUUGAUCAUGCUUACAUGCCUCAGACACUAGUUUUGCCUUACUAUGCCACUCAGGGCAUCGAGAGACCACCUGUUUCAUAUACAGCCACAGGAUAGCCAUGCUAUGCGGCGUAGUUUACCGCAAGACCUACAUCUUCUUAUCCCAGGCUUAGAGCUCAACAGACUUCUGUUCCUUUUGUUUUGAGGACGCAGAUAUAGUUCUCGCAGUUAAGCAUGCCGUUGAGCCAGGCUAUUCGGAAACCUAUAGAGGUUGGGUUGUUGAUUGCUCUCACUCUUAGGCCACCACCUCAGCCUCUUCCUUCUCGGUUCAGGAUGGAUUUGCACUAUGCAUACCAUCAAGGACCUAGACAUGAGACUGACCGUUGUACCGCUCUGAGACAUGCCAUCCAAGAUCUGAUCGACCAGGGUUUGGUUCACUUAGAUUAGCCGAGUGUAACCACAAACCCACUAUCGACCCACACCACACAUGCGGUUCCCCCACCAACCAAUAACAUUCAUUUUCUGGAUUUUGCUGGGUUUGACGACCAUAUCCAUAUGUUGAGCCGGGAUGACACAGAGCGAGAGCCCAUAGUGUCAGAUGGGAUUUAUGAGAUGAGUGGGGUGACUUUGGGACCUUAGAUACCCGCUCCAUUCAGAUUCGUCCCUAAGGCGGUAUCGGUACAAACGACCACUAUCGAGCGAUUGACUUUCUCACAUUAUAGUGUUCAGACGCAUUUUGUUUUGAUUCCAGAUGUUGAUGGGGUUCAGACUUCUUAUGUUGAUGUUUAUCAGACUCCAUAUGUCGAUGAUGUUCAUACUUUAGAUGUGCAGUAUGUUAUCCACGGAGGUAGGGUAGUACGGCAGCAGCCCCCCGCUGCCGCUAGACCCUUGAAGGGAACGUCAUCCCAAGAGGAGGUCGAGAGGGAGGAUGAUCAGAUUCUGAUGCAGUUACAAAGCACUCAUGCUUGUAUUUCCAUCUAGAGCUUGUUAGCAUCUUCUAGUAAUCACCGAGAUGCUUUGAUUUGAGCCUUGAGCCAGAUCAGAGUUGAAACUACCACCACUCCGGAGGGAUUGAUUCAUAUGGUGAUGGCUGGCAGAGCCGCAUGCAUAGUAUUCUCUGAUGACGGCUUGCAACCAGAGAGUGCGAACCAUACAUGUCCAUUUUAUAUAUCAGUUGGUUGUUUAGGCUAUCGAGUCUCAUUUGUCAUUUUGGAUAACGACUCGGCCCUGAACGUUUGCCCUCUGGCCACUGCCAUCGCCCUUGGUUAUGCGUCCUCUGACUUUGGUCCCUUCACUCAGAUAGUUCGAGCAUACGAUAACACUCAAAGGGAGGUCAUGGGCACUCUAGAGAUUGAGUUGCUGAUAAGUCCGAUCACAUUUGUUACUUUGUUCCAGGUUUUGAAGAUUCCUACAUCAUUUAACCUGCUAUUGGGUCGACCUUGGAUUCACAAAGUCGGGGUCAUUCCUUCUUCCCUUUAUCAAAAGGUGAAGUUCAUUUGCGAUGGUCAGGUCAUCACAGUGCGGUCUAUAGGAGAUAUGUUUAUUUCUACUCAGCCGGUGCUUCAGAUUAGUCACAAUGAUGAUGACUUACUUCUGAGUGGAUUCACAUUCGACGAGGUGCAAACCCUAAAGAUGGAGAAUUUUUUCCGAGACUUCGUAGCUAUGUCGUUUGACUAGCAUGGUAGCACGGUGGUGCUCGAUAUGAUGAGGAGUAUGUCUUAUCUUCCCGGUAUGGGAUUGGGGCGACGUCAGCACGGGCCUAGUGAGUUCAUGGCUAUCCCCGAUCACGAUGUACCGUUCGAACUCGGGUUCAUCCCCACUGAGGCUAAUUAUCGAUAUAUGGCGCAACUGCGCAAGGAGAUGGGUGAGAGCCCAACUGACUCACACGCCUUUUGAUUAUCCUGUUCGCUCAUACACCAUGAGCUUAACAGAAUACUUUGUGAAGGCGUCAGUGCCGCAGAUGCCUUCAAAUGGGAUAAUUGGGGGACUCGAAACUACUCAAGAGGCCAAGCUUCAGCGCCUCGUCUAUCAGCUACAGUUGAGUGAUGGAGUUCCUGGCACUUCGAUAUCUGUGUUGGCUGCCCUAUCAUCUCCAGAUCGUAUGAGCCUUAUGACGCUUUAUUUCCCGGAUGAGAUCAACGAGCAUGAGACAUUUGCUCGAGAUUGGAAACAUAGUGGACAGAGCCAUUCCACAUAAAGAGUACGUCGAUGAGAUGCUCGCGAUGAGCUUAAGCCAGAUCAAGGAGAUAGUUCAGCCUGGGCUCCCUUCACCAUUUGAUCUUUUCGGGGUGUCCGUCAUCCAGAUUGCUGAGGAGAUCCCGACUGCUUCUACUCCGGAGUUUACUGAGGGUGCCAUAGCUGUUAAUGACUUGUUUGAUGGCCCUGUUGGCCUAGUUGAGGGAGCGUCCGACUUUGUGGACCCACUUAUUUCAUUUGAUGUUUUAUCGGGAUUUGUUUCCCUUCAUGAUGAUGUUCUUGGCUCUUCAUUUAUGGAUUUGAGUAUUUUUGAGUAUUUGCCUGCCUCUUGUGAUAUUGCUUUAUCUACACCAUCUUCACCCACAUCACAGAUAUUUGACAUUGAUGAUGAGAUUGUACAACAUGAUUCAAAUGAUGACUCAUCAUCCGCUUCUGAUUCGAACCCCAUUGAUUAGAGAGUUUCACCUACUAUAGGGGAUGCUGAGAUUGUUGAUUUCAGCACAACAGAUCAACUUAGGGAGUUGAGGAUCAGAUCGGAUUUAUCUACUGAUAAGAGGGAUAACCUCAUCCAAUUGCUCAAAUCAUACUUGGACAUUUUCGCAUGGUCUUAUGAGGACAUGCCGAGUCUUGAUCCAUCUAUCGUCCAACAUCAUUUGCCACUUCUACCCUAUGCCAGACCGGUUAAGUAGAAAUUGAGACAGUUGCACCCUCGUUGGAGUUUGCAAGUGAAGGAGGAGAUCCAAAAGCAGCUCAGUGUGAGAUUUUUUUCAAUGGUCGAGUACCCGGAAUGACUCACCAAUGUCGUCAUUGUUCUAAAAAAGGACGACAAGGUGAGAGUCUGUGUUGAUUUUCGAGAUCUCAACAAGGCCAGUUCUAAGGAUGAUUUUCCUCUCCCACACAUCGACAUGCUAGUUGACAAUACAACAGGUCAUUCGAUGUUGUUCUUCAUGGAAGGAUUUUCCGGGUAUAGUUAGAUCUUGAUGGCUCUAGAGAACAUGAAGAAGACGUCAUUCAUUAUCGAGUAGGGUACUUAUUGCUAUAGAGUCAUGCCAUUCGAGUUGAAGAAUGCAGGAGCCACUUAUCAGAGAACAACAACCACACUCUUCCAUAACAUGAUGCAUUGAGAUGUCGAGGUUUAUGUAGACGACAUGAUAGUGAAAUCCCGAGAUAGAUCAGAUCACCUAACAACUCUGGAGAGGUUCUUUGAGAGGAUCAAGCGGUUUAGAUUGAGAUUGAAUCCUAGGAAGUGCAUUUUUGAAGUGACUUCUGGGAAGCUCCUAGGAUAUAUGGUCAGUGAGAGAGGCAUAGAGGUAGAUCUGGAUAAGAUUAGAGCCAUCUUUGACAUGCCUGCACCGAGAACAAAGAGAGAGGUCAAAGGCUUCUUGGGUAGACUUCAGUACAUCAGCAGAUUCAUCGCCAGAUUGAUAAACAUCUGUGAGCAGCCCAAUUUUCUACUCUUGAGGAAGAGUCAACCUACUGUUUGAGAUGAUUAGUGUCAGCAUGCAUUUGAGAGGAUCAGAGAGUACUUGUUGUCACCUCUAGUAUUGGCGCCUCCUACACCAGGCCAUCUUUUACUCCUAUACCUAUCAGUCUCAGACGUAGCAUUGGGAUGCAUGUUGGCUCAAGUCGAUGAUUCAAGCAAGGACCGAGCCAUUUAUUAUCUAAGUAAAAGAAUGUUAGAUUACGAGACGAGAUAUGUCAUGAUUGAGCGCUAUUAUUUGGCAUUGGUUUAGGCCACUCGUCGACUGAGACAUUAUGUGACCGAGUAUUCAGUGCACUUGAUAUCCCAUCUAGAUCCUCUUAGAUACUUGUUUGACAUACCUGCCUUGGUUGGUCGCCUCAUGAGAUGGUUGGUACUUCUGACUGAGUUUGACAUCCAUUAUGUCACUUAGAAGUCCAUCAGAGGGAGCAUUAUCGCAGAUCACCUAGCCUCAUUACCAGUUUCUGAUGGUAGGACUAUUGAUGAUGAUUUUCCAGAUGAGGAUGUUGCUACUGUGCUUAGUCUGUCAGGUUGGCGCAUGUACUUUGAUGGUGCAGCCAACCAUUCCAAAUAUGGGAUAGGAGUUUUGUUAAUAUUCUCUCAUGGUGACCACAUUCCUAGAUCUAUUCGUUUGGCAUUCUCGAAUUGACACCCAGCCACGAACAACAUUGUUGAGUAUGAGGCUUGUAUCUUGGGAUUAGAGAUGAUCCUUAAGUUUGGGAUUAGAUAGAUGGAGGUGUUUGGUGACUCCAAUAUGGUAUUAAGAUAGAUUCAAGGUGAGUGUAAGACUAGAGAUGUGAAGCUUAGGUCUUACCACGCAUAUUUGGAGCUACUGGUUGGGAGAUUUGAUGAUUUAAGAUACACACAUCUACCUAGAGCGCAGAACCAGUUUGUUGAUGCCUUAGCUACUUUGGUUUCCAUGAUUGAUAUUCUUGUCGAUGCCAUUGUUUGCCCUUUACUGAUCAAGUCGAGAUCUGCUCAUGCCUACUAUUACCUAAUUGAUGAUGUAGAGCCAGAUGAUGGUUUGCCCUGGUACCAUGACAUAUAUCACUUUCUGAGACUUGGCGUAUAUCCUAAGGCCGCCAUGACCAAGGCUAAGAAGGCAUUUGAGAUAGUUGGCUGCCCGAUUUGUGAUUUGUGGCAAGACACUAUACAGACGAUCAGUUGAUGGGAUGUUGCUAUUAUGCUUAGACCACGCCUUUACUGAUCUAGUGAUGAGAGAGGUUCAUGCAGGAAUCUGCAGACCACAUAUGGAAGGGCAUAUGCUAGCUCGUAAGAUCAUGAGGACUGGCUAUUUCUGGUUGACCAUGGAAACAGACUGUUGCCAGUUUGUUCAGAGAUGUCCUGAGUGCCAGAUACACGGUGACCUCAUUCACGUGCUUCUUCAGAAUUACAUGCGUUGACUUCGCCGUGGCCAUUUUUAGUAUGGGGUAUAGACAUUAUUGGGAAGAUUUUACCGAAGUCUUUCAGUGGGCAUGAGUUCAUCUUGGUCGCCAUCUAUUACUUCACCAAGUGGGUGGAGGUUGCUUCGUAUGCAAGAUUGACGUCAUUUGAAGUUGCUAGUUUCAUCAGAUCACACAUUAUUUGUCGCUAUGGAGUCUCUCAUGAGUUGAUUUCCGAUAAAGAGGUACAUUUCACAGCAGAGGUUGACACCUUAGUGCAGCGAUAUGGCAUCCGACAUCUUAGGUCAUUUGCGUACAGGCCGUAGACGAAUGGAGCAGUAGAGGUCGCCAAUAAGAAUAUUAAGAGGAUCUUACGAAGAAUGGUUGGGACUUCUCGGGAUUGGUCAGAGAAAUUCCCUUUCGCAUUGUGGGCUUAUCGAAUUUCUUUUCGCACCUCCAUAGGAGCCACACCCUACUCUUUGCUGUAUGGUAUGGAGAUAGUGCUACCAGUUGAGAUUGAGAUGGGUUCAUUGAGGAUAGCAUUAGAGCGGCAGAUUCCAGAGGCAGAUUGGGCUCAGGCCCGAUUAGAUCAACUCAAUCUCCUAGAUGAUAGGAGAUUGAGGGCAGCAGACCAUGUUCGCUCAUAUCAUUAGAGGAAGAUGACCCGUGCUUUCAAAAAGCGGGUCAAGGCUUAACCACUAUGGAUAGGUGACUUGGUUCUGAAUGUCAUCAAGGGAUUGAUAAGAGAUCCUAGAGGGAAGUUCAAACCCAAUUGGAGCGGACCUUACUUCAUCAAGGAGUUAACCCUAGAGAACGCUACAUGGUUGAUGGAUCUAGAUGGAAACCGAUUCUCGGAGCCGAUCAACGUAGAUUAGCUAACGAGGUACUAUGUUUGAGACCAUGGUCAUAGGAUGGGUGGUCAUCAUUUCAGUUAGCCAUAUACCUUGUUAUUCCCCUUUGAUACAUAGACUGUUGCUAGCCCAUUGAGCCUCGUGUGUGCAUUAUAGCAUUUCUAUCUUAUUACCUUGCUCACAUUGUUACACCAGGAUUGGGGCCCUUUAGUGUGUGCAUGCGUUGUUUGGGAGCCUGAUAAGUCUUGGACCUACAAGUGCGUCUUUCUCUCAUUAUUUUUUCCUACCAUCACUCUAAUGCAUAUCAUCACAUCUCGUUGGCCAGGUUCUUCAUUCAUUCUCCUUUAUUAUAUCUACUGCUUGUUUUGCUUCAUAUUCUCUUCACCCUGAGUGGUAAUCCUCCUCAGUUCAUUGCAUGAAGGAUAGUCACAUCAUUUCCACCAUCUAUCCCACGGACACUGAUUCUGAGAUCCUUAGUUUGAGAAGGUUAUCUCGUCAGAGAUAGUUUUUGAGAGUGUGUCUAUCCAUUGUAGAUGUCAUAUUUGGGGAUCAUUUGUUUAUGAUUCAGGGUAUAUGCAUUUGUAUAUAUGUAAAAAAAAAAAAAAAAUGAAAAUGUAAAACAAAAGAAAAAAAUGAAAAUGAAAAGAAAAGAAAAAUAAGCAUGUGUGUAUGUGCAUAGUAUUCUCCAUCAUUGGGCAUGUAUAUUGAUGUUUGAGGGUUACUUCAUUAAGUAUGUUUGUUGAUGAGAGCUCGUAUGUGAGCUUUCCGAGACCGUUCAUUAUUUGUAUUCAGGUUUCAUGUAUUUUGAGAGUGAGAUGAGUGACUUUCUCUUAGGAGCUUUGUAUCAUUGUCCUUUCCAUCAUUACAUUCAUUGUUGAUGUGACUUCACCUCAUGUUGGAUUUGAGCGGAUCAUCAUUCCUCUUUGUGUUCUUCGCUUCACCAUCAUCCUCGUUUUUGCUUUUGAUUCAUCAUCAUCAUCUCACCCCUUGUCAUUUUCUUACAACGACUCUUUUAUUCCCAGUUUGACACUUCCUCCACAUCAUCCUUACACAUCUCAUUAUCAGAUCAAUUUUUUUUCAUUGCCUCGUUAUUGACAUCAUAUUCACAUUAGGCACCCUCAGGUCCGUGACUCACGAGAUUUUCUAUACAUGUGGCAUUUCAUACAUGAGGGCAUGGGUUUCUGUUCAUUUGGUAUUUUGGCCUAGUUUCCCUUCAUUUUUAUCACCCUAUCAUCCCAGUCUACGUUACGUCCCGUGUCUUAAGACCACCCUAAGGCCAUGAGAUCAGAUGUCAUCUUUGACAACCUAUAAUUGGACUGGUGUUUGAGAUCUGAUUGACAUUUAGAUAUUGUCAUGCUUCCUCUUCUGGGAGAUGUCUUUCUGAUGAUUAGAUUUGUUUCAAUUAUGUUUGGAUUACCAGGAUUACAUGUUCGAUGAUAGAUGAUUCCAUGUCACCUAAUUUUAUGAUCUAUCACAUAUUUGGUGUCAUACUAGGGCAUAUUCCGUUUCGGGCGAGAUUUACAAAUCUUCACGGAGUUGCAUGCUUAUCCCCACUUGCGAGAUAUACGCCGAAAUGAUUGACUGGUUCGCUAUUUUAUGAUGAUCCAUUAGUGGAGCCUCUGUGGAGCCGUUCAGCCAGCCCCAUAUUUCUCGGUAUUUGGUUAUUAUCAUGCUUCUUAUUCCGAGAGGCGUUCCCUAGAUGUUUGGAUUUGAUUUGGAUCACGGAGAUCACAUGCUCGAUGAUAUAUGAUUCCAUGUCACUUGAUUUUCUGAUUUAUCACAUAUUCGAUGUCAUACUGGGGCAUAUUCCGUUUCGGGAGAGAUUUAUAGAUCUUCAUGGAGUUGCAUGCUUAUCCCCACUUGCGAGAUGUACGUCGAGAUGAUUGACUGGUUCGCUAUUUUAUGAUGAUCCCUCAGUGGAGCCUCUGUGGAGCCCUUCGGUCAGGUCCACAUUUCUCGGUAUUUGGUUACUAUCAUGCUUCUUAUUCCGAGAGAUGUUCCUUAGAUGUUUGGAUUUGAUUUGGAUCACGAAGAUCACAUGCUCGAUGAUAGAUGAUUCCAUGUCACCUGAUUUUUUGAUCUAUCACAUAUUCGGUGUCAUACUGGGGCAUAUUCCAUUUCGGGCGAGAUGUACGCCGAGAUGAUUGACUGGUUCGCUAUUUUAUGAUGAUCCCUCAGUGGAGCCUCUAUGGAGUUGUUAAGCCAGACCCAUAUUUCCCGGCAUUUGGUUACUGUCAUGCUUCUUAUUCCGAGAUACGCUCCCUAGAUGUUUGGAUUUGAUUUGGAUCAUGAAGAUCACAUGCUUGAUGAUAGAUGAUUCCAUGUCACCUAAUUUUCUGAUCUAUCACAUAUUCGGUGUCAUACUAGGGCAUAUUCCAUUUUGGGUGAGAUUUGCAGAUCUUCAUGAAGUUGCAUACUUAUCCCCACUUGCGAGAUGUACAUUGAGAUGAUUGACUGGUUCGCUGUUUUAUGAUGAUCCCUCAGUGGAGCCUUUGUGGAGCCGUUCAGCCAAACCCACAUUUCUCAGUAUUUGGUUACUAUCAUGCUUCUUAUUCCGAGAGACGUUCCCUAGAUGUUUGGAUUUGAAUUGGAUCACGGAGAUCACAUGCUCGAUGAUAGAUGAUUCCAUGUCACCUGAUUUUUUGAUCUAUCACAUAUUUGGUGUCAUACUGAGGCAUAUUCCCUUUCGGGAGAGAUUUAUAGAUUUUCAUGGAGUUGCAUGCUUAUCCCCACUUGCGAGAUGUACGCCGAGAUGAUUGACUGGUUCGCUAUUUUAUGAUGAUCCCUCAAUGGAGCCUCUGUGGAUCCGUUCAGCCAGGCCCACAUUUCUCGGCAUUUGGUUACUAUCAUGCUUCUUAUUCCGAGAGACUUUCCCUAGAUGUUUGGAUUUGAUUUGGAUCACGGAGAUCACAUGCUCGAUGAUAGAUGAUUCCAUGUCACCUAAUUUUCUAAUCUAUCACAUAUUUGGUGUCAUACUGGGGCAUAUUCCAUUUCGGGCGAGAUUUACAGAUCUUCACGGAGUUGCAUGCUUAUCCCCAUUUGUGAGAUGUACGCCGAGAUGAAUGACUGGUUCGCUAUUUUAUGAUGAUCCCUUAGUGGAACCUCUGUGGAGCCGUUUAGCCAGGCCCACAUUUCUCGGUAUUUGGUUACUGUCAUGCUUUUUAUUCCGAGAGACGUUCCCUAGAUGUUUAGAUUUGAUUUGGAUCAUGGAGAUCACAUGCUCGAUGAUAGAUGAUUCCAUGUCACCUGAUUUUCUUAUCUAUCACAUAUUCGAUGUCAUACUGGAGCAUAUUUCCAUUUCAGAUGAGGUUUACCAAUCUUCAUGGAGUUACAUGAUCAUCUCCACUUACGAAGUAUGAGCUGAGACGAUGACGUGUUCGUUACCUUAUCAUGAUCUCUCAGUAGAGCCUCUUUGGAGCCAUUCAGCUCGACCCACAUUUUUGGCAUUUGGUUGUCGCCAAGCUUAUUAUUCCGGAGACGUUUCAUAGAUGUUUGGGGUUUGAUUUGGGUCAUGGAGAUCGCACAUUUGAUGAUGGAUGAUUUCAUGUCACCCAAUUUUCGACUUAUCGUACAUCUAACGACAUACUGGGGCAUAUUUCCGUUUUGAUCGAGAUUUACAAAUCUCCAUGGAGUUGCAUGCUUAUCUCCACUUACGAGGUACACACCGAGAUGAUGACCUAUUUGUUAUCUUAUCAUGAUCCCUUAGUGGAGCCUCUCUGGAGCCAUCCAAUCAGAUUCAUAUUUUUUCGGCGUUUGGGUUGUUGUCAUGUUUCUCCUUCUGGGUUAUGGAUUUGGAUGACGAGGUUCGUGCUCCUGAUGAUAGAUGACUUGAGGCCAUUUGAUUUUUCCAACCUAUCACACAUUUGAUUCCAUACUGGGGCAUUUUUCCCCUUUCGAUCAAGAUUUGUAGAUCCCCACGAGUUUGCAUGAUCAUCCCCAUUUAUGAGAUACACAUCAGGUUGAUGAUUCGAUUUCAUUUUGUCUUGAUUCUUUCGUGGAGCAUUUUUCUUGAGUCAUUUCGUCAGGCUCACACUUUCUGAUUUUGUUGUGAUUUUUGGAUAGAGUCAUCUCAGGUGCAUAGGAUCCCAUAUCAUCAUUUCAGUGGGACACAUGUCAGAUCUUUUAUAUAUUCCCAUGGAGUUAUUCUCGGGUUAUCAUGAUAGACCGAGUACAUCUGACGCCAUAUUGGGGCAUAUUUCCUUCCUCCAGCUGUAGAGUUUCGAUGAUUUUUGCUAAGAUGAGCCACCAGAGGAACACGACUUCCGGGUUUUGACUGCCCUACUAUCCAUGACUUUUCAGUGGAUUGAGAUCGUAGUAGUUACCCUAGCAGACUAUUCUUUUGUGACCCCCUAGUGGAUCAUUUUUUCGGUAUGAUGAUGGAUUCUUCCAAUAAAACAUUUUGAGUUAGAGAAGUUCUACUUAUUGCGACACUUCAUCAGAUCUCGCGAUUUAGUCAGAUGGGUUGUGAGACUAAGUUCACAGUCGAUUUAAUCAUUUCGACUCGCUAGCAGAGCAUCCUUCAAGACUCAUGAAGUCUUUUUUGUCAUUUCCAUGGACUGAAAUCUGUAGUAGCAUGCUACAUUGGGGCAUAUUCCCCCCUCAUCAUCUCUAUUCAUCUUCAGUCUCGGCGUUCAGAGCCACCGUUUCUUCACAAUUUGGCGUUCAGAGCUAUAUCUUCAGUUUGGUGUUCCAGGUCACGCAUUCUUUUUAGCGUUCAGAGCCAUCAUCAUGUUCACAGUUUGGCGUUUAGAGUCACUAUCUCUUCUUAGUUUUGGUGUUCAGAGUCGCAUCUUCAUUUUGGCAUUUAGAGCCGUUAUUUCUGUUCAGCAUUCAUAGUUACUAUUUUUAGUUUGGUGUUCAGAGCCACCGUUUCUUCGUAUUUUGGCGUUUAGAGCCAUAUCUUCAGUUUGGCGUUCAAAGUCACACUUUCAUUUUGACGUUCAAAGCCAUCGUCAUCUUCUCAAUUUGGGUGUUCAGAGCCACCAUCUCUUCUUAGUUUGGGUGUUCAGAGCCACCAUCUUUUCUCAGUUUGGGUGUUCAGAGCCACCAUCUUUUCUCAGUUUGGGUGUUCAGAGCCACCAUCUUUUCUCAGUUUGGGUGUUCAGAGCCACCAUCUUUUCUCAAUUUCGGCGUUCAAAGCCACCAUCUUCUCAGUUUUGACAUUCAGAGCCACCAUCUUCUUAGUUUAGGCGUUCAAAGCCAUCAUCUUCUCAGUUUGAGCGUUCAGAGCUACCAUUUUCUCAGUUUUGACGUUCAAAGCCACCAUAUCUUCUCAGUUUCGGAAUUUUAAAGCCACCAUCUUCUCAGUUUCGGCGUUCAAAGCCAUCAUCUUCUCAAUUUGGGCGUUCAGAGCCACCAUUUCUUCUAAGUUUCGGCGUUUAGAGCCACCAUAUUCUCAGUUUCGGCGUUCAGAGCCACCAUCUUCUCAGUUUGGGCAUUCAAAGCCACCAUCUCUUCUCAGUUUGAGCGUUCAGAGCCACCAUCUUCUCAGUUAAAGCAUUCAGAGCCACCAUCUCUUCUCAGUAUGGGCAUUUAGAGCCACCAUUUCUUCUUAGUUUGGGCGUUCAGAGCCACUAUCUCUUCUCAGUUUCGGCAUUUAGAGCCACCAUCUCUUCUCAAUUUGGGUGUUUAGAGCCACUAUCUAUUCUCAAUUUGGGCGUUCAUAGCCACCAUCUCUUCUCAGUCUUGGUGUUUAAAGCCACCAUCUUCUUACGACUCAGCCUUCAAAGUCAUCAUUGCUUAUCGGUUACGACGUUCAGAGUCAUCUUCCUCGGUUUUGACGUUCAGAGCCACCAUUUCCUUAUAGCUUGACGAUUAGAGUCAUCAUCGCUUCUCAAUUACGACGUUCAGAGUCGUAUUUCUCAGUUAUGGCGCUCAGAGCCUUCAUCUUCUUCAGUUUGACGUUCAGAGUCGCACCUCUAGCUUGGCAUUUAGAGUUACUAUCUCUUUACAAUUUUGCUUUCAGAGCCAUCAUCCUAUUGCGAUCGGGCAUUCGUUGCCACUUUUUCGACAUUCAGAGCCACCAUCUUUUCUCAAUUAUGGCAUUCAAAACCAUCAUCUCUUUACAACUUGGCGUUUAGAGUCAUCGUCCUUCUCAAUCAUGGCAUUUAGAGCCACAUUUCAGGCAUUCGAAGUCAUGAUUUUCUAAAGCUUAUCAUCCUCCCUUGUGCAUGAUAUAGCUCUUUGAGCUUAUAGCUUAUGUUUUGAUUGUAUCAUUGGUGCCCCUCACUUCGCGCUCUUGUAUGGUGCAUGUAUAGUUUCCCUUUUAUAUAUGUUCCUCUCUAUGCUCCUAGAUGGUUUGACUACUACUCAACUUUGACUUCGAUCUUUGAAUCACUUUUGGUGACAUCUUAGAGGGAGUCUAGAUCCUUAGCGCGGCUUCAAAGGCACUUUGAGAGAUCCAUUUUUCUCUUAGGAUUUUAAAGCUCUUUUUACUCCUCUGAUGGUUUGGGUGAGUUUGUGUUUUACUUGUGUACCUUUAGGGAUCUUUCUUUGUCUUCGGUAGAGUUCACUUCAUUUCACUCUCUAUUCACACUUUUUUUUCACUUUAGUGUUUACAUUCAUUACACUCGUGAGCUCUACCGAAGAGGGGCAUAUUUGUAGACCCCUUUGUGGACACCAUCCGAGAGAGUGGUUUUUCUUUCAUUUUUUUGAAAUGGGGGGACCCCUUUCUGCCAAGAACAAGCUGCAUGGACAUGUGGCCAAGAGCAUGGCUCACCAUGGUGGUGGUUGAUGGUGAUGACAUCCUCCCGGGACAAGGAGCAGUAAAGUGGUUGGUGGCUUGCGGGAGAAGACAGAAAUGGGGGCAGGCAAGCAAGCUGCGAGGGGGUAGGUGAUUUUGGGGUUGCUGGUUUUGGGGAGAUACACUGGAAAAUGCUUUCUUUGGCUGGGGAGUCUUUGUUCUAGGGAGGAGGAAUUCUUUGGCCAGGCAAGAACUGUGAAAGAGCUCUCAGGUAAGUUUACUGGGUAUCUCUUGUUCACAUUUACUAUCACCGUUCUUUCAUUUUCCCCCUUCGCUAUUUGGGGUUUUGUUUGUUUGUUUGGUUAUGGAUAACAGGAGUUAUGCAUGAGUUUUGUUAAUUUCCAGUUUGUUCAUAUACCCAUUGAUCGCUUCAUUCACUAUCCUUCUUAAUAUUGGUUUAAACCCAAUGAAGUUCUGUUUCAUUUUGCUCUAUGUGAAGAUAUUGCUUGUUAUUUUCUCGUUUGGACCUGUUGGUACCCUUCCCACCCAUCCAAGCCCGUUGAAAGAGCAUUAGAUAUGGUUUUUCUUAAUUCACACACACACAUAUAUAUAUAUAUAUAUAUAUAUUUGUUUACUUUUCCUGGCUCUCCUUUGUUCUAGUCUAUAUUUUCUUUUUCCCGUUUUUUUUAUGCACUCGAUCCAGAAUGUCGGUUGAUUGAGUGUCGGUCAGAGGAAUUGGUUUUGGGCUUGUUCUAGAGAAAUGCGCUGGUAAAUAUACAUGCACAAUGUGGAAAAGGUGAAGUUGUUAAUACCUUAUCCAUUUGUUUUUCCGGGCACACGAAUGUUGGUCAAGUAGCCGAAAGAUUAAGAUGAGGCUUUCUCCCAUCACCAUUCCAGCUGAUUCAGUUGUGACUGUUGGUAUUGUGCCCUAUUCCGGGGUCCGUUCAAAAGUGUCUUCGGCUAAGGUUGUGCAAGCUAAAUCAGUUGAUGCUUAAUAUGCUUAGGAAUACUACUUGUGCGUUUUUCAAAUUUUAUGCAAAGGUGACAAGCCAAACAUCAGUGGAAAUGAUGCAUGACUCCUCCAAUAGAUCAGUUCAUACAAUUUUCAGGUGUGGGAAUAUAUGCUAGCAACGUUCUUGAAGUCACUAAUUGGUUCCCAUUUCCAACCCUAGAAGAGAAUGGUGAGACUGAAACAUCAUGUGGUCCCGACAUUUCAUCAUAUAUAAUUCCUUCAUACCCAUAUUCCCACUACCUUCCAUCCUCUAAGCCUCAUUCAUACCCAUAUCACUACUUCAUCUACCCGUAUUCUCAUAUUUCCAUCUCGUCACCAUAUUUUCUCUCUUUACACCACGUGCAUGUCCAUUACCACUCAUGCAUAUCACCACCCUCCUAUGCCCACCUUGCCCAUUCUUUCUUACCACCUUUCUCUUUUUACACCACAUGCCUCCCAAACCCACUACUCGUAUUUCACGCUUCAUCCCAUCUCAUCCCAUAUCCCUCCCAUGGAUAUCAUCACUUUCACAUACCCAUCACUACAUUUCUCUCUCUACACCACACCAUGUUCCCACUUUUUUUUUUUAAUAUGUCACUAGAUCCAUUUCUUCCCACUUUGCAUGGUCAUGCAUGGCCACACUAUGUCACUUCCACACUCAUACCCGUUCCAUACCCACAUCUUCCUAUCUGUAUUCCUACCCUUUUUUAAAAAAAAAAAAAAAAAUCCACUCACUCGUUUCUCUCACUACCACUACCCUUCAUUACUCAUCCCUACCCAUGGCAACCCAUACUCUCCUCACUCAUCUAUUACACCCACUGUCAAUAGCUCUCUUCAUCACCAUACCUAUUUUUUCCACUCUUUCUAAAUCCAUUGGACUCUCUCAUCUCACCACCCUCCAUCAUCCGUUCCAUCAAUAACCUCCCCGAAGACCAAGAAGAUUUUGCAACUUCUGCGCUUGAGAUAGAUAUUUAACAGUGUCUUCCUGAAAGUGAACAAGGAAACAACGAAUAUGUUGCACAAGGUUGAGCCUUACGAGACAUGCGGGUAUCCCAAUUCAAAGAGUGUUAAGGAAUUGGUUCACAAGCCAGGGUGCCUACCCGCUACAGUGAAACGCUUGGCUUUCAUAGUCUGCAUCGCGAGACAAUCAUGAAGCAUCAGUAUUGUUUGCAUUAGAGCGGGGUAUACCUUCCAUAGUUGGUACUCUUGGAAGUAUGUCUAUGGGAUGAAGCUGAUAUAUUAUCUGUUUUAUUUGAUAAUGGAUGAAAUCAUGGUGACUUUGUGGUCUAUAUCAUCCAGAAGUUCUCUCAAGAGAUAUAGCCGUCAUGUGAAGAUUCUUUUUCCUCACACGGUUACGCUGCUAAGAAGGAUUUCUCAUGCUUUGAAGGUCAUCAUGAAUCGAAAGACUCAAGAAGAAGGGUUAGCAUUGGUUCGUACUCAUCAGAUGCCUAGAAACAAGUGGGCAGAGUUGACAAAACUCUCGUCGAGAAGAACAGACAAUGCAAUAAAAGACCACUAGGACAGUUAUGUAAAGAAGAAGUUGGACUCUCAUAUAGCAUCAGAUUCACUUGCACAGUCCCAAGGCCAGCCUCUUGUUGGUCACUGAAACUGAUCGAUCCAUUCAUCUUCUUCAAAUAUGUAAUAGAGUAGUGGAGGUGAUGGCGGAGCCAAAGGUGGGAUAGAAGCAGAGGAAAUUUCAGAAUAUAGUCAAGGUUCAAUUGCGGAUUUUCUGGAAGCGUGAGGCACCAGUUUAAUUCAAAUGGGCAACCCACUCCUUCUUUUGAGCUGGGACAAGCAUCAUCAGGUUUAUCAUCGCAUUUUAAAGGUGGCAGAGGAAACCAGGGCACAGUUUCUGUCCCGUUCAUGAACUUCUGUAGGGUUGAGUGAUUCCUCUUCCACGGGAAAUAUAGGUGUGGACUCUGAUAUACCUGAGCAUUUACUGAUAUCUGAAGGCGACUGUUGUGGGUUCAGAUUCCAAGAGGAACUCCAGCUUCACAGUCAUAUUACUCCCUAAGGAUGACAGCGGCAAGCAUCACUAGCACCAAUAGGGUAGUCACAAUCGCACCCAAGGCCCAUGUGUAUUAUGGCCAACCUCCCAGACCCAUUUUCAAGGCCCACGUGCUUCUUUCCUUCACCUUAAAAAAAAAAACAAAAAAUGAUGAUUUUCUGAAAAUCCAAUUUCCAAAUAAUUCAACUCUCUAUUCUUUCAUCUCUAGAAUUUUUGGGUCCUAAAUUCCAUUUCCCAAUUUCCAUAUUUAUUUAUUUAAUAAGUAUUAUUUUUGUUAUUAUUAUUAUUAUUAUUCUAUUUAUUUAUUCAUUUAUUAUAAAAUUCCACCUUUAAAUAAUUUUCCAAAAUUCCGACUUCUGGAUUUAAAGUUCCAAUUUAAAAAAUCUCAAUAUUCACAUUCAUUUAUUUAAUUAUCAUUUUUGUUUUUAUUAUUAUUCUUUUUAUUUAUUUAUUCAUUUAUCAAUUCUUCAAAAUUUCGACUUUCAAAUAUAAUUUCUGAUUUUUCAUAAUUUCACUAUUCACAUUCAUUUAUUUAAUUAUUAUUUUUGUUAAUAUUAUCAUCAUUCCAUUUAUUUAUUUAUUUUAAAAUUUCAUCUAUUAACAAUUCUUCAAAAUUCCAGUUUCCGAAUUUAAUUUCCAAUUUCAAAUUUUCCACUAUUCACGUUCAUUUAUUUAAUUACUAUUUUCGUUACUAUUAUUAUUACUCCGUUUAUUUAUUUAUUUAUUCAUUUUAAAAUUUCAUCUUUUAACAAUUCUUCAAAAUUCCGGUUUCGAAUUUAAUUUCCAAUUUAAAAAAUUCCACUAUUCACAUUAAUUUAUUUAAUUAUUAUUUUCGUUAAUAUUAUUAUCAUUCCAUUUAUUUAUUUUAUUUAUUCAUUUUAAAAUUCCAUCUUUUAACAAAUUCUUCAAAUUCCAAUUUUCAAAUUUAAUUUUCAAUUUCCAAAAUUCAUUUUUUCACAUUUAUUUAUUUAAUCAUUAUUAUUUUCGUUAUUGUUAUUAUUUUAUUUAUUUUAAUUAUUUAUUUUUGAAAAUUCCAUUUUUAAAUAAUUCUUUAGAAUUCCAAUUUUUGAACUUAACUUCCAAAAUUUCAAUUCUUAAAUUUAAUUCCCAAUACUCCAAUUUCCAAAUAAUUUUCAAGACUCCAAUUUUCAAAUAAAUUUCAAAAAUCCAGUUUUCACUCGAACAAUUUUAAUUUCAUUCCGAUUCUCAAAUAAUCUAUUGUUUAUCUUGAUUUUACAUAAGUAUGAAUGCAAUUUUUCAUAAUUCCACAAUAAUGGAAUUUGCGAAACUAAUUCGUGCAAGAUAGAUUGGAUUUUGGUGGGAGGCCCAACAUUGGUGUUUUUUUCCUCUAAAAAUAAAUUUAAUUGAAUUGAAUUGUGAUAUCUAUUGAUUUCUCACUCUGUUUAGUGGCAUAUGUGACAUAGUCUGUUUUUGUUAAUUCUGCACUAAUCUCAUUUCUUGAUAGCACAUUGUGGCUCAUGGCCCAAGUACGCAUCCGCUCCCAUUCUAGUCAUUCUCCAUGCAUAUUCUGAUUCUCAUAUGUGCAUGAUCGAUUUGAGUACCCAUUGAUUUCCUUAUUGAUUGCCACAUCAACUUCCUUUUAUCAGUAGAGACCUGACUUUAGGGACUUAUAUGGGUGCUACGGUCCUUACUAUACAUUCCCGAUAAGUAAUCUGACCUCCGAGUCUGAUCCGGUUUUUCAAAAAUCACUUUUUUCAAAAUAAGGAGUUACACUUAGGGUUUUCUUUCUUAUUUUGUAUACCCUUUUGAUUACUACUCAAAAAGUGCUAUUUGAUAGCUUGUAAUUAACUCUUUUAAACACUUUUGAGUAGUAGUUAUUGCCUUUUAACCCAAUUAACAUGUUAAGGACCCUUGCAAUCAAUUCUAAUCAAAUUGUGUUAAGUUUUGGUGUUUUUGUUAGUAAUUUGAUCACCAAAACAAUCCAAGAUUGAGGAGAGUUAUUUGGAAUCCAUGGCAAAGCUUUUGGAAGCUCAAAUUUAUGAAGAACCAAGCUUUGGAGCUCCAUAGCCCUUUGCCAAAGUCGUUCAAAGUAUGCAAGGAGAGAAGCAAGGAGAAGAGGAAAACAGAGUGAAGAAAACAGAGGACAAGAAGCUGCAGUCUUCAUGCGCACUUUUGGAGCACUUCCCGAAGUCCAUUUUCUACAUUCUAUAUACCAUUUCAAAGCUCAGGAAGUCAAGAAUCCAAUGCUUCAAACGGUGCGUGAUUCGGAGUUGAAACGAAGAAGUUACAGCCAUUGCAAGCAGAUCACUCCAAAGUGUUGCGAAAUCAGCCUUUUGUUGCGAGAAUUUCGCAGCCUUUUUGUACAGUGCUAUGGAAUUCCUCCUGAAGCUACCCGAUACAUGCCGCAAGCUGGAACGCUGAGAACCUCAAGGUGGAAGCCAAUUUCGCAGCCCUGCGAGUUUAACUUGUUGUUGCGAAAAUAUUUCGCAGCCCUCUUGGGUGUCUGCGAAAUCUCGCAGACACCAUUUUCACCUGCGAAAUGGUUCCUGAAGCUUCCCGAUAUUUUCCACCGACUCUUUUGGAUAUUUUUCUUCAGAUAUUUUUGUAUAAAUUUCCAUUUUCUCCUUGUAUUCAGCCACUCAUGUAAUUCCUUAGCUAGGAAGUGUCCAAGGAAGGGUAAAUUACCUUCCUAUAUAAACUCUCUUGCAUCCACUGUAAAAAAAACGCUCGGAGAAGUAUGUAAUAUAGAAACAAUAUAUAGAAUCAACGAACAGAGCACUUGCUCUGUUUUUUCAUAUAUAUUCUUGUCUUCUCCUUCAUUUUCAUUUUCUAGCCAACCAAACUCUGAGGAUUUUUCCACAGAGGAUGAGAGGCUAAGCUUUUUGUCUCUUGGAGUAAGGAAAGCCGGGUAAGUUUCCACAUGCAUAAUUUGGAAGUUUUGUUGUUUUAGUUUUAAUGAAGAGAAAGUGUAACCCGUUAAUGGUUUUUAUCUUUUUAGUUAACUUAAAACACCUUAGAGUCACCUGAGCCAACACUUGGUAAGGCAAGUGAUUUCUAUCCAUGGAAAUGCACUAGUUUACCCCUUGCGAGCCUUUGGGAGGUGACUUGAAGGUAGGAUUUUCUAGAAUAGCCAACACUUGGUAAGCUUUUGGACUCCAAGGAGACAUCCAUUAGUUAUCUCUUGCGAGCUUUUGACGGGUAAUCCAAGGUUAAAGAUCUCCUUGAAUGGCAAGUGCUAGGUGAGAGGUAUGAGCCAUUGCAAGAUGCAUCAGUGAGAGGGAUUUAGUGUUUGAACCCAUUAAUGGGAAGCAUCUGUACAACACCGGUUGGAGAAGGAACUAUAUGUUAAUUCUCUAAUGCGAGGAAAAGAAACAAGUGACCGGAACUCCCUUUUUGUAUGAGGAAUCUGAGCCUAGUGAUCUGAAAUUCCAAGAAACACUUUUCUUUGUAAGUAAAAUCAGUUACUAUUUUUGGUUAGCUUAAAACCAAUCCUUUUUCAUUCAAAAAUCUUUAUGUUUUCUUUUAAAGCUAACCUUGAAAUGAAAAGGCACCAAUUCAGCUUUAAAUUAAUAUCAUUUGCAAAGUGAAAACCCAUCCCAGUGAACGAUCCUAGAGCCACUAUACUAUAGUAGUUUUGUCUUUGCUACCCUAGUAUAUGGUGUAAUAGGUUAUAAAUUUUGUUGAUUACUCCCUCAAUCAAGGAGCACCAGCUGUACACGAAUCAGCUGAGACAUCAAUUGGGCACGAAUCAAAUGGCGCCGCUGCCGGGGAUCGAACCCCGAAUCAAAUGGUGCCAUUGCCACUGCCGCUGCUAGGGACGAAUCAUUAAAAACAAAACAAAAAUAAGUGGCGAUUCCAAGUCAUUUCUAAAAAAAAAAAUCAUAUUUUUCAUUAAAUAAAUAAAAAACGAAUUUGCCAUCGAGUGAGAACGCAUUGAGCAAAAAUGCGAGGUCCACAUAUUGUUAUUUUUAUUUAUAAAGAAUCGAAAUUUACUUUAUCAUUUAUUAAUUGGCAUGAAAUGUUUUGACUUGCCUUGAUUAAUAAGGACUUCCAUGGCUUACCUGAUAGAGUUGGGCCCUUAACGUUAUCCACUCUGCAAUGUAUCAUGCCCUUCCAAAGCUUAAUCAAGUCAACGGCUAAGGUGUAAUUUCAUGCAUUAAAUUAUUUUAAAAAAUGUUUAAUACUGCAGUCAAGCUCGUACUACAUAUACUCUAAAAUCAACAAUGUAAUUUUCUGCACUGAGCAAUUUCAUAAAAAUGGUUUUUGAGUAAAAGAGAUUUGGAUUUUGGCCUAUGGCCUAUGGACUUUCAAAACAGGGGGUUACUCCUUGCAUUAGCUUUGUCAGGAGCACAAACCUGACAAAGAAAGCAAUUGGCAACAUGUUGAAUUUAAGCCACAAGCAUAGAGAAUCUUCAAACUUUGCAGCCUCCCCAGGUUUUGUGGCAACUUGUGGAGUUUUGAACACUCACUGACAUUGAGAACUUCAAGAAAGCAUAAAUUACAAGUGCUUCCUGGAAGAGUCACAAGGUUUUGGCAUCUGUCCAGAUUCAAAAGUUCAAGCCUAUUCAAAUGUUCGAUUGAUGAUGGUAGCUCUUUUAUAGCCGUUCCGUUCAAGUGAAGCUCCCUUAAGUUUUCCAUAUUCUCCAAGAUUUCUGGAAAGUACUGUAAUUGUGAACAGUCAGAGCCAAAGAGAGAUUUUAGGGAUUUGAACUCCCGAAUGCUUGUUGGCAGACUCUCAAGGUUUUUGCACUCUCGCAAACAUAAGGUAUCAAAUUCAGAGGCAUGCUCAAUGGGUAGUAGGUUGAUUGUCUGACCCUUUAAACAAAGCUUUCGGUGUUCCACGUUCCUCUGACAUUCCACGCAGCUAGCAUCCACAUCCUCAGUCUGUACUAUUGGAUCUUGGGAGUAUAUAGGUUGAAGCCCACACUUGAGCACCUUAAAAUGAUUGCGAGAGCCCAUAAAUAGAGCCCCAAGAAACAUGGAUGGAUUGGUGUGACAGCUCUCCAGAAUAGCAGCCUUGGGAUAGAAUAUCACCCACAUUUGUUCUGAUGCACCUCCAUCAUGGUAGCAUUUACAAGUAGUGCGAAAACUGAGAGGUUGCACACACAGGGGAGAAAAUCCAUAUCCAUCAUGCAAUGACAAUUGACAUUCUAACUCAGUGGAGAUUGAAGAUUCAGCUUCAAAUAAAUCGUCAGAUUCAUUCAGGGCUUCGUCACCAGAUUCAUUCUCCGAAAAUGUAUGUGCAAAAUCAUUUUCUGGUAUGUCCUCACAUUCAUCGAGUGGAGCAUAAACACAGCAUAUAGCAAUUCCCAAGAAGUCAUUAUUUUCAUAACAACUCUGAGGAAGGUCCAUUGUGAUCUGAUAUCCCUCUCUCUGUUUCCUUAUCCACUUGGGAAUUCCACUGCUUCCCGGAACAACAAUACAGAUUCCAUGGCCAAUGAAGUCAGAAUCAGGGAGAAAUACUUCAUUUGAACUGCUCUUGUAUUUCAAAUCCUGUACAAAGGGACAAUGUAAAUCCAGUGGGUCUGUGCCAUUAUGUGAGUUUUUAUGAGAGAGUUUGUUAUCGGUUUUUGAUAAAUUGAUUCCCAGUUUUAACUUUCUUUGAUCUAUGCUCCUGAAUCUACUUAAUAUCCCUUUUAGAUGACGGAUAAUCAAUCAACAUGAAAGUGAGUGACAAGAUUAAGUGUGAAAACUGGAAGUGAGGGGAAACUGAAACUGAAAGUGAGUAGAAUAAGCAGAUCUGUUCUUCACUUGCAGUAGCUUCUUCUCCAUUCAGAUUCAGAGAUCUUAGAAUUGUAGCUUCAACUUAACUCUCAGAAUCUUAAAGACAAAGUUCGCUCAAGUUUCAAAAACUCACAGAAAAGUUUCUCCUCAUGUUUCUUUUAAUCCCAUGAGGCGACAGACAUGUAGCACACACUUACUGGCUUUUUGCCAUGCAAGUUUCAAGGUGGAGUGUCCAAUGAACUAAAACAUUCCCUCAAAUCCUAGUGGAAAUUCACACUAUAAAUUUCAGAAUUUGCUAAAGAAAAGUUUAAUUAAUUUUACCCAUGACUAAAAAGGCAUGUGAGGGCAUUUUAACAGCCUAUUAAUUAUUAUAUUAAACUACUAUUCUCAUUACUCAAACUCAUGAUCCUUCACAUCAUCACCACAUUUUGAAGAGACUUUCGUCAACUCUUCUAUGAAUGAAUUGAUGUUUAAGGAGGCAUAAUAAACUUUUAAUUGAAUUUAACAUUAUUUCUAUCCUUAUACUCAUCUUAAAUUAUUAUUUUUUUAUAUUCUUAUCAAAAUAAAUAAAAACUUAACAAAAAAAAUAAAGAUUUCAAAACAAACUUUAUUAGCAACACUUAUUUACAUCAUUCUUUAAAAAAAUAUUCAAAAACAAAUUUUUUUACAAUUAAAAAAAUGUGAUUUAAAAUUUAUAAAGAACAAAAUUUUUAGAAAAAUAUGGUAGUUGUUUGAAAUAAAAUAAAAGGGAAAUCAAAAUUCUUAGUAAAUGAAUAGUCAAAAAAACUGUAACAGAUAUGCAAAUGAGAAAAAAAAUAAUCAAUGUCAAGAAUGAGAAACAAUUUUUUCUUUUUUCUUUUCUUAUUUUAUGCAUUCAUUACCAUUUUUAAAUUAAUAAAUAAAGUUUUUCUCACAAAAUUUUAAAAUGGCAUGUAUGCUUCAAAAUUUAUAUAUUGUUAUUAGAUUUUUAUAAAUUUCAUUUAUAUCCUCAAAAUUAGAAUCAUUAAACUCACAUUUUAAAAUAAGAUAUCAAAUAGUUAUUUUUUCAUCCUUUAGCAAUAUCAAACGUUUUUUGUACUUUAAUAAAAAAAAAAAAAGCUAUUUUUUCUAAUUAAUGACUAUUUUGCAUAAUAUUUGUAUAAAUUAUUUAAUAUAUAAAUAUUACUUAUUUAAUAGUUUUUUUUUAAUUUCUUAUAGAAAGAGUAGUGCAUACAUAAUUCAAACAAAAGGUAAUUUUAUAUUGCAAAAAAGUUUGUGGAAAAAGGAAAUUUGAACAAGGAUUGAAAUUUAUAGAACCAUAUUGGACACCUAGUUCUAGGUUUGUCCCUUUCCAACAAUCAUGACUUGGUAGUAGCCUAAUCUCAAAUCUAACUUUGUCAGGCCCUUCCUUUACUAAGUCGAUCAAACAAGUUGUUAACAAACAGAAUAAGAUAUUUUUUCUUUUCACCUUGUUGAGUCUUCGAUAAUCUAUACACAUUCAGAGGGAUCCAUUAUGUUUCUUUUAGAAUAAUAUUGAUGUGGCAUAUGAAGCUUUAGUUGGUUGGAUGUAUCCCAUGUUAUGCAACUUCUUAAGUUGUUUCCUUUGUUCUUCUAAAUUAGGUAGUAUCAUCCUAUGGGACCUCCAUGGCAAGGGGCUUAGCUCCUGGCUCUAAGUCAAUCUUGUGCUCCCCUUCCCUUAUUUGUGUGAGUUUCUUAUGUAAUUUUAAUGACAUCUAAGGAUGGCAAAGUUUGAUACAAUUUUUCAACCAAACUUGAAGAAGCGUUAUUAGUGGGUUUGGAAAGUUCUAAUCUAUUUUACUUUUUAAAACAAAGUAAAAUAGAGAACAAUUUUUAAAGAACAAUUAGGAGUUGUUUUUACCAAUUUUUAAAAAACAAAAAAUAUAUAAACUCAUUUGACUAUAUUCUUUUAAACUUGUUUUUAAAUUAAAGAAUAAAAAAUAAUUUUUUAAAAUAAGUUUCAAAAAAUAUGACCAAGUCGGGGUUUAUAAUAUUAAAGAGGAAAAAAGUUAAUUUAAGAUUUUGCAUGCAGGUAAACAUCAGGCUGUAAAACUGGUUUACUAAGACACUCAUUUUAUUUAUAUAUUCUUCUAUGUGCAUGCAUUGACCAUGUGGUUAAGAUGUGUUGCACCGAAAUCUAAUGAUUAGCUGUAAAACGUUAAUUAAUCCGAGCAUACAUUUUUCUUUAUUUGUUUUGGUUUCUUUACAAGAAUGCUUCUUUAUGUAUUCUUGUUGAACCUAUAAAAUAUCAUCCAUAGACAUUCUUUUUGAAUAAUUAAGAACCGAGAUUUCUAAUUGGUUGGUUAUUAUUUUUAUCUGUAAGGAAUCGAAAUUUAGCUCAUCAUUUAUCGUAUGAAUAUCAUAUAGAUUUGAAAAGAAUUUCACACUUAGAAAUGUACCUCUCAGAACAUUUGAAGUUAAGAUGUUUUUGUCUUCUUCAAUUUGAUUGCUCAUUACGACUUUGAGAUUCAAAUUCCUUUUGAUGUAAAAAACAAACUUAAAUAAAUAAAAAGAAUUAAAAGAUAAGCAGAGCAAAAAAUUAAAUAGUGUGAGUUGGAAUGAAUAAAGUUUUAAUCAAAAUUGGAAAUUAAGGUGAAACAUCCUAAAUUAUAUACAAAAGCUCAUAUAAUAUUACACCAUAAUUUCUCUAAAUUAAUCUUAACCUUUUAGUGCAGUGUGUACAGUCAUUGCUUGUUUGUGGAUUAGAAUUAGUAUCUUCUGCUGCUGAUCUGGUAUCACAACUUCUCUGCUCAUCAUUGUACUCUAUCAUUGUCUGAUGGUCGCGCCUGGUGGCUUCUGUGUUGUCACAGCUUCUCCGAGCAUCACUACUGGUAUCUUCUGGGAUGUUUCUGUUUAUAACAUCAGGUGUAUAUAUAAGAUGGAACCCACACUCUUUCACUUCGACUGGUGUACCGUCCAAGCUAUGAAAUGAAGCCUUCAAACGUCUCCAUUCGUUCGACCAAUACUGGUUGCCAAUAACAACCUUGGGAUAAUAAGUCACACACAUUUGACUUGAUUCACCGCAAAUUCGGCAGCAAUAAGACCGGACAUCAUCCACGUGACAGCAUUCAGAUUGAUCACCACAGAUAUUGAGUUCGCAAUUCAACCAACCACAAGCCAUAGGAAUAAAAACAGAGUAUAAAGCAAAUCCUAAGAAGCCAUCUUUUCUGUACAAAUCCGUAGAAAGCUCUAUUGUUAUUUGAGAUCCUUUUUUUGGCUGGCUUAUCCACUCUGGAAUUCCAUCAUUUCCCGAAAUAACAACUCUGAUUGCCUUGUUCCAAUAGGAGCCGCAUUCAAAUUCCUGCACAGAAGUACAGUGUUAAUACUCUGUUCAUAAGGAAAAAGGGCUGAAUGUUAUGAAAAUCAUACCUCAAUCAUUGAUUUGAAGCAUUUGAACAGAGAAAAACCAAGUUGACUUGAUGGACUUGAUAAAGUUUCCAAGCAUGUGCAACUGUGGACAUCUAGAACUCGUAAACUUGGUGGAAACUCUGGAACUUGUAGAAGCCCCUGGCAGUGACUCAAUUCAAGGACUCUCAGUUUAGAAAGUUGAAUGAUGCCUGCAAGUAUGCUACUAAAACAGUCCUUGCUUAGAUUUAGACCUGAAGCGUACAAACCCUCUAAACAUUGCAAACUCCUCAGGUUCUCGGGAAAUCUCUCAAGUUUUGUACAGAAACUGACAUUUAGAAUUUUGAGAGUUUUCAAAUUACAAAAGGCCUCUGGAAGACUCACAAGGUAUUGCGAGAUUCAAAUAUUGAAGCCCUCUUAGAUAUUGAAUUGAUGCUGGUAGUUCUUCGAUAGCAGUUCCAUCUAAAUGAAGCUCUCUUAUAUUUUCCACAUCCUCGAGGAUUUCCGGAAAGCUCCUUAAUCGUGAACAGCCUGAGCAGAAGAGAGUUGUAAGGGAUUUCAACUCACAUAUGCUACUGGGAAGAAGCUCAAGGUUUUUGCAUUCUCGCAAACAUAACCUAUUAAGUUUAUGGGGACACUCAACAGUGGGUAGUUCAUUGAUGGCAUUUCACUUUAAACAAAGCUUCCAUAGGGAUUGCACAUCCUCUUGACAUUCCCGGCAAACGGUGGAUAUCAUUGCUUUACCAUGGUUCUGUUCAUGAUCAUGGGCAUAUAUAAGAUGGAUCCCACACUCUUCUACUUUCACUGCUUUACCUCUCAAGUAGCCACAAAAUGAAGCCGUCAACUGCCUCCAUUUAUUUGAGUGGUACUUCUCCUCAAUCUCAUGCUUAGGAUAAUAAAUCAUCCACAUACAAGGUACAACAUAGACGUGAAAUGAGGGAUAAAACUGGAGUUUAUCCACAAACUGAAUUUCAUGACCACGCAAAGUUAAACCAUACUCGAAGUAAGUUGCACCAUUCUCCAGUGUCUCCUCAGAUUCAUUAUCCAGUGGAUAAUAGACACAGUACAAAACAAAACCCAACAAGUCGUCAUUUUUAUACCAAUUUUGAGGAAGCUUUGCUACUACUUCAGCUCCCUUUUUGUGAUGGCUUAUCCAAUCUGGAAUUCCACAACUUUCUGAAAUAAUAAGAUUUACUCGGGCAAAAGGUUUUUCUAAAGGAUAAAUCUUGCAUUCCAAAUCCUGCAGAAAAUUUAAUUAACACUUAAAUCCCCAUGUCUCCACAAAAAAAGUUUUGGUCUAUGAAUAUCAUACCUGAAUCAAUGAUUUGAAGCAGUUGAAUAGAGAAGACCAGAGUAGACCUGAAGAAGUUUCCAGCCGUUUGCACAAAUGUAUAUCUAAGACACGCAAACUGGAUGGAAGUGCUGGAAUUUGUCGAAGCUCUUGACAGUUACCCAAGACAAGGAGUCUCAGCCUAGAAAGUUGAUUGAUCCCAGCAGGUAUGCUCCUAAAAAGAUUCCCGAAUAGAAAUAAUUCUUGCAGAGAUGAUAGCUGGCAAAUUUCAGUGGGGAUUCCUCCUUCAUCUAUACCACACACACGUAGAUCUACAACUUCCAAGGAGUACAAGCAGCAAAUAUCACUCAGGACUACUCCUUGCAUUAGCUUUGAGUAAAUAAGAUCUAACUCCUUUAAGGAGCAUAAACCUGACAAAGAAAGCAAUUGGCAACAUCUUGAAUUUAAGCCCCUAGCACGGAGACACUUCAAGCUUUGCAGCCUCCCCAGGUUUUGUGGCAAUUUGUGGAGUUUUGAACAGUAAUUCACAUUGAGAUCUUCAAGAAAGCGUAAAUUACAAAUGCUUUCUGGAAGAGUCACAAGGUUUUUGCACCUCUCAAGAUUCAAAACUUGAAGCCUAUUCAAAUGUUCGAUUGAAGAUGGUAGCUCUUUUAUGGCCGUUCCGUUCAAGUGAAGCUGCCUUAAGUUUUCCAUAUUCUCCAAGAUUUCUGGGAAGUACUGUAAUUGUGAACAGUCAGAGCAAAAGAGAGAUUUUAGGGAUUUGAACUCCCAAAUGCUUGUUGGUAGACUCUCAAGGUUUUUGCACUCUCGCAAACAUAAGGUAUCAAAUUCAGAGGCACACUCAAUGGGUGGUAGGCUGAUUGUCUGACCCUUUAAACAAAGCUUUCGGUGUUCCACAUUCCUCUGACAUUCAGCGCAGCUAGCAUCCACAUCAUCAGUCUGUACUAUUGGAUCUUGGGCGUAUAUAGGUUCAAGCCCACACUUGAGCACCUUAAAAUGAUUGCGACAGCCCAUAAAUAUAGCCCCAAGAAACAUGGAUGGAUUGGUGUGACAGCUCUCCAGAAUAGCAGCCUUGGGAUAGAAUAUCACCCACAUUUGUUCUGAUCCACCUCCAUCAUGGUAGCAUUUACAAGUAGUGCGAAAACUGAGACGUUGCGCACACAGGGUAGAAAAUCCAUAUCUAUCAUGUAAUGACAAUUUACAUUCUAACCCAGUGGAGAUUGAAGAUUCAGCUUCAAGUAAAUCGUCAUAUUCAUUUAGGGCUUCGUCACCAGAUUCAUUCUCCGAUGUAUGUGCAAAAUCAUUUUCUGGUAUGUCCUCACAUUCAUCGUGUGGAGCAUAAACACAGCAUAUAGCAAUUCCCAAGAAGUCAUUAUUUUCGUAACAAUUCUGAGGAAGGUCCAUUGUGAUAUGAUUUCCCUCUCUCUGAUUCCUUAUCCACUUGGGAAUUCCACAGCUUCCCGGAACAACAAUACAGACUCCAUUGCCAAUGAAGUCAGAAUCACGGAGAAAUACUUCAUUUGAACUGCUCUUGUAUUUCAAAUCCUGUACAAAAGGACAAUGUAAAUCCUGUGGGUCUGUGCCAUUAUGUGAGUUUUUAUGAGAGAGUUUGUUAUCAGUUUUUGAUAAAUUGAUUCCCAGUUUUAACUUUCUUUGAUCUAUGCUCCUGAAUCUACUUAAUAUCCCUUUUAGAUGACGGAUUAUCAAUCAACAUGAAAGUGAGUGACAAGAUUAAGUGUGAAAACUGGAAGUGAGGGGAAACUGAAACUGAAAGUGAGUAGAAUAACCAGAUCUCUUCUUCACUUGCAGUAGCUUCUUCUCCAUUCAGAUACAGAGAUCUUAGAAUUGUAGCUUCAACUUAACUCUCAGAAUCUUAAAGACAAAGUUCGCUCAAGUUUCAAAAACUCACACAAAAAUUUCUCCUCAUGUUUCUCUUAAUCCUAUGAGGCGAGAGACAUGUAGCACACACUUAUUGGCUUUUUUACAUGCAAGUUUCAAGGUGGAGCGUCUAAUGAACUAAAACAUUCCCUCAAAUCCCAGUGGAAAUUCACACUAGAAAUUGCAGAAUUUGCUAAGGAAAAGUUUAAUUCAUUUAAUCCAUGAAUAAAAAAGUAUGUGAGAGCAUUUUAACAUCCUAAUACUUAUUAUAUUAAACUAUAAUUCUCAUUAUUUAAACUCAUGAUCCUUCACUUCAUCACCAAAUUUUGAAGACACUUUUGGCAUCUCUUCCAUGAAUUAAUUGAUGUUUAAGAAGGUAUAAUAAACUUUUAAUUGAAUUUAACAUUAUUUCUAUCCUAAUACUCAUCUUAAACUCUGUUUUUUUUUUUUUUAUACUCUUAUCAAAACAAAUAAAAACUUAACAAAAAAAUAAAGAUUUCAAUUACUCCGUGUUCAAAAGGGAAAAUGGCUAAAUGUCAUGAAAAUCAUACCUCAAUAGUUGAUUUAAAGCAUUUGAACAGAGAAACACCAAGUAGACAUGAUGGACUUGAUAAAACUUCCAAGCAUGUGCAACUGUGGACAUCUAGAACUCGUAAACUUGGUGGAAGCUCUGGAACUUGUAGAAGCCCCUGGCAGUGACUCAAUUCAAGGACUCUCAGUUUAGAAAGUUGAAUGAUGCCUGCAAGUAUGCUACUAAAACAGUCCUUGCUUAGAUUUAGACCUGAAGCGUACAAACCCUCUAAACAUUGCAAACUCCUCAGGUUCUCGGGAAAUCUCUCAAGUUUUGUACAGAAACUGACAUUUAGAAUUUUGAGCGUUUUCAACUUACAAAUGGCCUCUGGAAGACUCACAAGGUUGCUGCAAUCUGCAAGAUUCAAAUGUUGAAGCCCUCUUAGAUAUUGAAUUGAUGCUGGUAGUUCUUCUAUAGCAGUUCCAUCUAAAUGAAGCUCUCUUAUAUUUUCCACAUCCUCGAGGAUUUCCGGAAAGCUCCUUAAUCGUGAACAGCCUGAGCAGAAGAGAGUUGUAAGGGAUUUCAACUCACAUAUGCUACUGGGAAGAAGCUCAAGGUUUUUGCAUUCUCGCAAACAUAACCUAUUAAGUUUAUGGGGACACUCAAUAGUGGGUAGUUCAUUGAUGGCAUUUCCCUUUAAACAAAGCUUCCAUAGGGAUUGCACAUCCUCUUGACAUUCCCGGCAAACGGUGGAUAUCAUUGCUUUACCAUGGUUCUGUUCAUGAUCAUGGGCAUAUAUAAGAUGGAUCCCACACUCUUCUACUUUCACUGCUUUACCUCUCAAGUAGCCACAAAAUGAAGCCGUCAACUGCCUCCAUUUAUUUGAGUGGUACUUCUCCCCAAUCUCAUACUUAGGAUAAUAAAUCAUCCACAUAUAAGGUACAACAUUGCCGUAAAAUGAGGGAUAAAACUGGAGUUUAUCCACAAACUGAAUUUCAUGACCACGCAAAGUCAAACCAUACUCGAAGUAAGUUGCAUCAUUCUCCAGUGUCUCCUCAGAUUCAUUAUCAAGUGGAUAAUAGACAGAGUACAAAACAAAACCCAACAAGUCGUCAUUUUUAUACCAAUUUUGAGGAAGCUUUGCUACUACUUCAGCUCCCUUUUUGUGAUGGCUUAUCCAAUUUGGAAUUCCACAACUUUCUGAAAUAAUAAGAUUUACUCGGGCAAAAGGUUUUUCUAAAGGAUAAAUCUUGCAUUCCAAAUCCUGCAGAAAAUUUAAUUAACACGUAAAUCCCCAUGUCUCCACAAAAAAAGUUUUGGUCUAUGAAUAUCAUACCUGAAUCAAUGAUUUGAAGCAGUUGAAUAGAGAAGACCAGAGUAGACCUGAAGAAGUUUCCAGCCGUUUGCACGAUUGUACAUCUAAGACACGCAAACUGGAUGGAAGCACUGGAAUUUGUCGAAGCUCUUGACAGUUACUCAAGACAAGGAGUCUCAGCCUAGAAAGUUGAUUGAUCCCAGCAGGUAUGCUCCUAAAAAGAUUCCCGAUUAGAAGUAAUUCUUGCAGAGAUGAUAGCUGGCAAAUUUCAGUGGGGAUUCCUCCUUCAUCUAUACCGCAGAAAGAUAGAUCUAACACUUCCACGGAGUACAAGCAGCAAAUAUCACUCAGGACUACUCCUUGCAUUAGCUUUGAGUAAAUAAGAUCCAACUCCUUUAAGGAGCAUAAACCUGACAAAGAAAGCAAUUGGCAACAUCUUGAAUUUAAGCCCCUAGCACGGAGACGCUUCAAGCUUUGCAGCCUCCCCAG
Molecule: long non-coding RNA, 119681 nt
Filed under: Vitis vinifera (wine grape)
Lineage: Eukaryota; Viridiplantae; Streptophyta; Magnoliopsida; Vitales; Vitaceae
Description: long non-coding RNA (VVIN_LNC006323)
Source: RNAcentral